RNAcentral lists this long non-coding RNA (93614 nucleotides) under Eucalyptus grandis. RNAcentral's name for it is "long non-coding RNA (EGRA_LNC001971)". The stretch from base 71623 to 71982 matches the Rfam family "Bacterial large subunit ribosomal RNA", at positions 1316 to 1688 of the family's 2925-position model. The record is from RNAcentral. Lineage: Eukaryota; Viridiplantae; Streptophyta; Magnoliopsida; Myrtales; Myrtaceae.
ACCACGCCGCCAGGAGGCGUCUGGCAGGACGACUACAAGGUUGAUGCUAACGGCAACCCAGUGAAGGAGCCGCACAUGGCGGGCACCUCUAUCAUGGCCCACAUCCAACGGAUCGCCUACGGACAGUUCAUGAUCUUCCACCCACUGGCCUUCCUGUCCUCCCUUAGCAUCAUCCUGCUCCUUUUGAGUAGGCUUCCAAUAAAGCGGCGACGCUGGGUGUGGACCCAGAUGGUGAUCAUGUGGCUAGCGAUCACGGGGCAGGUGAUCACCUACUUCAUAGCGCUGCACAACAUAUCGCUGGCUAACACGUGGGAUGCUGAAGGACGUGACAGACGGUUUCAGUGGUGUGAUGGAUGUGCCUAGUGGGGGUGGUGUUCAUGGGGAAUGUGGUGAGGCUAUGUGUGUGGGUGCUAAGGAAGUGGGGUUACUUGAAGAAGAAAGAGAAGAAUGAUUCAAAUGAAGAUGAUGAAAACAAGUACGAGGAAGUGUGACGGUUUGUGUGACAAUCGAGUAAAUUGAACGGUCCUUAUUCUGUGAUAGCAACGACAUGUUCAAUAUGUGUAAAAUUUGUGAAUCUGAUGAGCGGGUUGAUGAUGGGUUUUGAGGUGCUCUGUUUUCUUCUACUUCAAUUUGAUAAGAGAGUAUUUGUCCUACAAAGAAGUUAAGACGGAUUCUGCUAGAGAAAUCUUUGGAUGGUAAACGAUUGAAGAGACUAAUAUGGCGCUUGGAGCAAUCGUGCAUGAUCUCCCUCUGUAAUUUGUACAAAAUCGGGACAAAACACGGUUAUAGUUGCCGCGAUUUCUUCUAUAUACAAUGUUGAAAAUGACAGACGAAGAGAGCUUCAGCCAGUUCGGCCAGGUCUGCUCAGGAAUGGCUCAGUCCUCAACUCGGCCAUCUUUGCUCGGCAUUGAAGAAAUAUGGACAUUGGUCCUCAAUUGAGAUUCAAGGUAGCUAGAAAUAAAUUAGUAGUGCGGGAUGGGAGUUCAUGCAAUCAUUAUAUAAUUGUUUCCUUUGUUUGAAUAUUAUUUGAUGCUGAGAUUAGAAAUGUUUGUCUCAGUUUUCUAUUUCCUGUAAGACAUAAAAAAACAAAUGCGAAAGCCAGGAUCGAUUAUAGACAAACCUCCAGCCAUUGUUCUUGUUCUUGUUCUUGUUCGUCGAAAAAUCCUGAAAAUCAAAGAAAUAUUGGGCACACACUACUAACCCAAUUUUCUCACAUAUACUGAUGGUAUAUUCCAAAUGAGAGGGUCUGUGUUAGACCUUGUGAUCACCCGUCAGAAAUGAACGAUCGUUCCUUUUAAACAUCGUCUCCCAUUAAGACAGUUAUCAAAAUGGGCAGUUGUCAUGAAAAUGUACAAAAUGUGGAAAAACUACAUGUCAAAUAACCGCCACUUUAAAGAGAAAAUAUGGAUCUAAAAUGUGGGAUCACAAAAUAAAAAUAACAUUCUCCCACUUGAUCCCAUCACUUUCAUCAUACAGAUUAUCCAACCAUUUCCACGAAAAACUUUAUGCUUCAAGAAAAGAAACAAAACACAUGGAUCAUGGCGACAUGUCCUCUAAGAGUGAGUAAUAUCUUCCAUGCAUCACAAUGCAUCUUAUUUCUUUAAUGUCAGCCUAUAUGUGACAACAUAUCUUAAUGAAUAAACCCUUAUUUAUUCUAGAACCAAGGAUAAAUAUUAUUCUCAUAAACAACAAAAUGUAUACACCAAAGUUGAGAAUCAACAUUACAACAUAAUAAGAGUUUUAUACAACAAAAAUCGUCCAUAUGACGACAAAUUACAAGAUGGGACCUAUUCUCAUAUUAGUUACAUGAUCCUUAUACUUCAUUGGUGGCAUGCCUUAGUUAAAGGAUUAACUAUCAUCAAUUCAAUGCUAACGUGUUCAAUGACCACUUUAUUCUCCUUAACACGUUCCCUUAUGCCUAAAUACUUGAUGUCGAUAUGCUUACUUCAACUGCCACUUUUGGCAUUUUUAGCCAUAAAAACUAUAGCUAAAUUGUUACAAUAUAUAUAUAUAUAUAUAUAUAGGUAAGAAUAUAUUGAUUUAAACCAAACAAAACAACUCGGAAUUUGGCAUAAAAAACUUAUACUCAACGAGGUAACAAGCCAGGUCGAGUGGAAGGAUGCCAGGAAAAGGAAGCCAAAAGCUACUAAGGUAGCAACAGGAGGCCAAACGGCAUCCACGAAAGAGCCAAAUAGAAAGAAAAGCUACAAGAAAAUACAACCAGACAAGCGAAAACAACCAAAAGGAGCCAACGAACAAGAACAACACCAACCCCCCAAAAGAAAAGGCAAUGAGACCUUGACACGCUGAUAGGCGACGAAACAGCAAAGGCCGAAGCACUUAGUCCGCAAAGAUGGCCGGGUCAAUACCCCAAAUUCGUUGAGUUCUUCUAUUUCUCGGAGUAUCUGUCACUUGGCUAAAGGAGAUGGCUUUGUCCCUCACAACUUUAAGUAGGCGGUUCUUCAUGAUAGGCACAGCAAGAGUCUUGCCCCGAAAGAGAAUGCCAUUCCUAGUUUUCCAAAUAAGAUGGCAAAGUGUAGCGAAGGAAAAUCUAGCAAUCGCCUGAGAGAGCUUUAAGGGCCCAAGAGAUAAUAUCUUGCCAUGGUUUGGUACCAUGCCAUAUAAGGUUGCAUUUAGAAGCCUAAAACGAAGCCAAGCCAGUAGUAAUUGGGCACCCAAAGAAGAGAUGAUUAAUGGAAUCCGGUCUAGAGUUACAAAAAACAUAAGCACCAUCAGGAAUCCUACCAAAGGAAAGAAGAAAGACCUAAGUGGGAAGACGGUUCCUUGUGAUGAGCCACAAAUGGAAUUAGUGUCUCGGGGUAAUAGAUUUACUCCACACAAAGGAAUGCCGAGGAACCACAUUACAGUUCGCACGAAUAGCCUCCCAUGCCGAGGCAAUAGAAAAAAAACGCCUGAGGUAGUCUCAAGCCAUGAAAACCGAUCCGAGGACUAGAACAACAAAGGCAGCGUGUGACUCCACUCUUCAAUAAUACGCUUAGUCGCCAGGCCUGGAGCGGAGUAUAAAUCAGCAACCGAAGCUUGCCUAGACAGACCCGAUCGGUAAAUGUACAUGUCAGAGAAGACCAAGUUGAAGGGGCCUUGUGGUAACCAAGGAUCAAACCAGAGAGAAACCGCUUUGACAUCCCCUAUAUGCCAUAGAAAGAAUCGCUGAAAGUCCUUUCUCAGAGCAAGGAGUUUCCUCCAAGUCCAAGAGCAAACCAUAUGCGUCGGCACAACCCAGUAAUAAAACUCUUCAACAAUAUAUUCUUAAUGGCCUAGAAAUAAAAUCAACAAUUCUAAGCCCAGUAAUGAAACUCUUCAACCAUACACCAUGUGAGGUAGCCUCAAAAUAAAAAACGAACUCAGCCUCCAUAAUGGAAAUAGCAGUCAAAGUCUGCUUGGCACUUCUCCAUGACACGGCUCCGCCAGCUAACAUAAACAUGUAUCAAGAUGUUGAUUUUUGUGAAUCAACGCAACCCGCGAAGUCUGCAUCCGAAUAACCGACUACUUCCAGGUUGUCAGUCCGUUUAUACAAAAUCAUAUAGCCUUUGGUACCUUGAAGGUAUCUCAUCACUUUCUUUGCAGCUCUCCAGUGGUCAAGACCUGGAUUACUCUGAUAUCUUCCCAACAUUCCCAUGGCAAAAGCGAUGUCAGGUCCAGUGCAAACCUGAACAUACAUCAAGCUUUCGACAGCAAAAGCAUAUGGACUGUUGUACAUUUGUUCCCUUUCUAGAUCAUUCUUUGGGCAUUGGUUCAAAUUGAAGCUAUCACCCUUCACAAUGGGUGCUAUACUUGAUGAACAAUCUUUCAUCUGAAAUCUCUCUAGGACCUUAUUGAUAUAGGUUUCUUGAGAUAGUUCUAAAAUUCCUCGAGAUCUAUCUAUAUGGAUCUUAAUGCCAAUAACAUAAUAUGCCUCACCCAUAUCCUUCAUAUCAAAACUCUUAGAAAGAAAUUAUUUCACCUCAUGUAACAAUCCAUUAUCGUUGGUUGCAAGUAGAAUAUCAUCCACAUAUAGCACAAGGAAACAAAUUUUGCUCCCAUUGAUCUUCUGAUAUAUACAUUGAUCCAUGAUAUUCUCUACAAAACCGAAAGAAGAGAUAACAUCAUUGAACCUUAAGUACCAUUGGCGGGAUGCUUUUUUUAGGCCAUAUAUAGAUUUCUUAAGCUUGCACACCAAAUACUCACCUUUACUAGAGGAGAAUCCUUCAAGUUGUUUCAUGUAAACCUCCUCCUCUAGUUCUCCAUUGAGGAAUGCCCGUUUUCACAUCCAUCUGAUGUAAUUCCAUAUCAAAAUGGGCAACAAUGCCAAAACAAUACGAAAAGAAUCUUUCUUAGAUACAGGAGAAAAAAGUCUCCGGGUAAUUGAUUCCUUCCUUUUGAAUAAAUCAUUUGGCAACGAGUCUAGCUUUAUAUCUUUCAAUAUUACCCAAUAAAUCUUUUUUAGUUUUGAAGACCCAUUUACAACCAAUGGCCUCCUUCGAACUAUUAGGUAACUCAACUAAAUCCCAGACCUCAUUAGAUGUCAUAGAACUCAUCUCUUCCUUCAUGGCAUUAUACCACAAAUUGGAUUUAUUACUAUCCAUGGCUUGUGAAAACGUUUCGGGACCAUUCUCAGCUCCAAUAUUAUAGUCAGAUUCUUGUAAAUACACAAUAUAAUCACUAGGAAUAGCCGAUUUCCUUACUCUAGCGAAUCUUCUCAAUGUUGCAUCAACAUUCUCUUGAGGAGCGUGUUGCUCAUCUAGUUCUUCAACAGUUUCUGGUAAUUGCUAAACAACUGGAUCUACUAGAUCAAUAUCAGCAGGUUGUGGAACUUCAACGAUUGGUUGUUCAAUAGCCGACUGAACUGAAUGGGGCAUUAUGAGCAACAACCAACCUUAAACUUGAGGUGAAAGGUUAAGUGUCUGAAUGAUCUUUCCUAGAAACAAGGUCCUUUGAUCGAUUGCUCCUACUAAUUAAGUCAUUUUCAAGAAAUUUAGCGUUCAUUGAUUCCACAAUCCUAGUGGUGUGAGAUGGACAAUAAAACCUGUAUCUCUUGGACCUUUCGGCAUAUCCAAUAAAAUACCCACCUAUGGUCCUUGGGUCCAACUUCUUUUCUUGUGGAUUGUAAACUCUCACUUCAGACGGGUAUCCCCAAACGCGUACAUGUUGCAAACUCGUUUUACAACCUUUAAAUAACUCAAAAGGUGUCAUUAGGAUAGCCUUGGUCGGAACUCGAUUUAAUAUGUAUACUACCGUCUUAAGUGCUUUAGUCCACAAUGACUUAGGAAGUUUGGAGCCGCUAAGCAUACUCCACACCAUGUCCAAUAAAGUUCGGUUUCUUUUUUCCGCUACACCGUUUUGGUUUAGAGAAUCAAGCAUAGUAUAUUGGGCAACUAUCCCAUGCUCUUGAAGAAACUUUGCAAAUGGACCAGGUGCUUGUCCAUCUUCAAUAUAUCUACCAUAGAAUUCUCCACCUCUAUCUGAUCUCACGAUCUUAAUUUGUUUACCACAUCAUUUCUCUACUUCUCCCUUAAAUACCUUAAAGGCAUCUAAUGCUUCAUGCUUAUUAUGAAGCAAGUAAAGAUAAAUGUAACGAGAGUAAUCAUAUAUGAAAGAGAUGAAGUAUUUCUAACCACACGAGUCCAUAUCCGGACUACAAAUAUCCCUAUGUAUAAUUUCUAAUAUUUAUGUUCUCCUCUUGGCACAUUUCUUUGUUUUGUUGAUCUGCUUUCCCUUUAUGCAGUCUACACAAGUAUCACAAUCAGUAAAAUCUAAAUUACUGAGCACUCCAUCAUUUACCAAUCGCUUAAUUCUUUCUAUGGAGAUAUGUCUCAAUUUCCGGUGCCAUAACAUAGAGGAAUGUUCUUUCACAACACAUCAUUUUAUACCAGCGUUAUCAUGAACAUGCAUCGCAUUAUAAUAGGCAUUGUCUUGUAAAUUAAUUCGAAAAAAAAACCAUCAGACAAAGUAUCACUCCCAACAAUUUCAGAUUUAAACUAUAAACAGAAGUUUGAAUCUGAAAAUUUAAAAGAGUAACCCAAAGGUACAAGUCUUGAAACUAAAAUUAAGUUUCUAGAGAAACUAGGAACAUAAAAGGUCAUUUCCAAAUUCAAAACAAAGCCACUAUUGAGAACUAGUCUACAUGUUCCAAUAGCUUCCACAUGCGAACGCAUCUUGUUUCCUGAAUAGAUGCUUUGUUCACUUCCCACUGACUUCCUGUGGUUUUGAAAACUCCGCAAGGAAUUCGAAAUGUGAAUUGUAGAUCCAGAAUCAAUCCACCAAGUGUUGUGACUUACAUUAGCCAUAUUAGAUUCAUAACAAAUACGAGAUAUUGGAUUACCUUUCUUCUCAAGCCAUGCCUUAAAUCUAACGCAAUCCUUCCUUAUAUGCCCCUUCUUUUUAUAGAAGAAACAUUUGAAUUCUUUCUUAAUGUCAGGUUGGGGAGGUAUUUUACAUUUUCCCUUAUACUUGCCAUGACCCUUAUUCUUUCCUUGUGUUACCAAAUAAGCACUUUCUCCCAAUUCCAUAAUCAAUCUUUCUUCCUCUUGAACACACAUGGUCAUGAGUUCAUUAACCCAUUUAUUCUUAUGUGUGUUGUAAGAGAUCUUGAAAGGUGCAUACUGUUGCGGGAGUGUUCAGAAUAUAAUACACAAGGAAUGAUUCAAAUAUCUUAACCUCAAGGUUCUUAAGCUAAGCCACAAUAUCCCUCAUUUGCAUGAUGUGCUCACGCACACCUUUAACACUAGUAAGCUUCAAUGAUGAAAACUUUAUAAUUAGGGUCAUGGCAUGCGCAUUCUCAGAACUCUCAAACUAUGCAUCUAUCGCCUCCAAUAAAGCCUUAGCAUUGUUAUGUUGAGCAACUGAACCACGAAUACUAAGAGAUAUCUUAGCCCUUAUAAACAUGGUACAAAUGCGAUUGGACCGCUCCCAUUGGUUAUAAAGAACUAUCUCAGCUGCAUUGCUCGAAUCAGUUGGAGCAGGUGGUUCGUCUUUCCUUAUAGCAUAGUCAAUGUCCAUCCACCCUAAUUGAAGAAGAACUAACUCCUUCCAAACUUUAUAGUUCUCACCAUUCAAUAUGGGAACAUCACACUUAAAUUCAGAUAAAUUCACAAGUUGCAAAACUACAUAUCAAAUAAUCAUGCUUAUGUCACAAAAUUUGAGGCAAAAUAUACAUAAAUCAUGUUUACCAAUGUAAACAUGUCACAAAUAUGAAUCACAUAACAUAAAAACUACAUGUGGCCUAAGUUUUUAUAUUCAAUAGAUUCAUAAUUACAUUAUUAUAAAACUACCAUAUUAUAUACAUUUUCGUAAUCCCUGUGGGUAAAUUAAGAAAAAUAAUAUGAUAUUUCAUCCUAAUUAAUCAUAUUAAUAUAAUGAAAAUUCAUGUGGGAUAAAAUUCAUCAUAUUGGUAUAAUUGAUUACAAUUAAUGUCCAUUUCUAAAUAUGAUCUGGAGGCUCUUAAUAUAUAUUUUAAUUAAUUAAACAUGCUGUGGCUACUCUCUAAUUAAUUAAAUAUAUGGCUCAUUUGACAUUUAAUUUCGUGCAUAAAAUAUUCAUAAAAAUGCAUGAAAUGGCAAAAUAGUAAAUAAAUGCAUCAAUGGGGGCAGAAUAGUAAAAUAAAUUGGCCAAGGGCAAGAUUGUAAAAUUGCAAGAAGGGCAAAAUGGGAAUUUAAAAAAUGGCAUAGGGGCAAAGAAGUAAAAAGGCACGCCGCGGCACAUCAGGCGUGUGCCAAGCACGGGCCUGCUUCCUCGGCGAGCGCAUGGCUUGCAUACGUGCCAUCCGCCACACAGGCACGUGCAUUCCUAGCAACGGCUAGGGCAGUUCGGCGCACGUGGGCACCACGCGCCAGCGGUUGGCGUGCACGCACACAGCGGUUGCGCACGCGUGACGGCGCGUGGCGCGUGGAUUCCAUGCACCUGCAACUGUAGCGCGCACAUGGAGCCCACGCACCUUCUUCCCCACACGACAGAGGCGUUUUCUUCGUCAUUUUUCGUUGUUCCACCACGGUUUCGCCGCGGUUUCUUCUUCGGCAGCCCAUCUUUGACACAACUAAAUAAUGGGUUUUGGAGAGCAUGCUGGCACGACCACAUAGGUCCAAGUUUCGGUGAAAAUGAGCAAGAAAUUAGCUCCAAAUCAAAAGAAAAUUUCCCAAAACACAAAUCCUCAACCACCGUGACUUCCGCCGCCCAAUUAGCCUCCAGCGAACACCGAUAUACUGGAAAAACUUAUGGCUAAUGUUCCUCAUGGCAGUGCGACUGUACGGGUCCGAAAUUGAGGGGUGGGUCACCGGAAUUUGCCCAAAAUCGGCGAGUUUCUUUCUCGGCCUUAAAAUUCCGAAUUACUGUUCAUUUUCAAAAAUGCCCGAAAAUACACCAAAAAUUCGACAAAAACAAAGUAGAAACACUAAACAUACUCUGAUACCAAAUGUAAGACAUAAAAAUCAAAUGUGAAAGCUAGGAUCAAUUAUAGACAAACCUCCAGCCAUUGUUCUUGUUCUCGUUCCUCGAAAAAUCCUGAAAAUCAAAGAAAUAUUGGGCACACACUACUAACUCAAUUCGCUCACGUAUAUUGAUGGUGUAUUCCAAAUAAGAGAGUUUGUGUUAGACCUUGUGAUCACCCGUCAGAAAUGAACGAUCGUUCCUUUUAUACACCGUCUCCCAUCAAGACAGUUACCAAAAUGGGCGGUUGUCACGAAAAGGUACAAAAUGUGGAAAAACUACAUGUCGAAUAACCGCCACUUUAAAGAGAAAAUAUGGUCUAAAAUGUGAAAUCACAAAAUAAAAAAUAACAUUUCCUUCCCUUCCCAGCUGCUGUUAAACAUCUAUCUUGCCAGACGUUUCUGCUAUGGAGGAUCAACUAAGCUGCCAUCUCAAGCCUCUGUUGCACGAGAUCGAACCUCAUGCAAGUUAGAGUGUAUCUACUGUCUAUGACUUGAGAAUUCCAUGUCAAUUAAACUGUACGAAUUCAUGCACAUUUGAUGAUUAGAAGCACGACUCUGUUUAAGCAUGGUACCCUAUAACUUCUCACCGCCAGACAUAAUAAUUUUUGCUCAAAUCUCUGCUAAACUCAAUUCAUUAGACUAUUCAAAACAAUAUUUCGAGCGAUCGGACUAGCAUGAAAUGAAAGAGAGAGCCAACUCAAAUGAUUGUCAUAGAGGAUGACACUUUAUGAAAGCAUGAACUUAUUCCACACGGAACAAAACAAUUUGUUCUGUCUUUCGCCAUAAAAACUGUUCAACUCUCAUUCAUAUGGAAAAUACAGCACUAUUACAUCAAGGCGGUCUACCUCCAACAUCAGCAUCAAAUAAAAACUGCAGAUAUAAGGGAACAUUAGAACUGUAACUCUCACUACAAACAUGGCCUCUAGCCUGAGUAGCUGCUACCCAGUUUUCUGAUGGAUUAGUUGCUCAACUGACCCAAAUCCACUGGACAUCUUCAAAGCUCGAGGCUUUCUGUCCUGCAUUGUUGUCGGUUAUAGAAAUCCUAUCGAGUCGCUACCUUUGAUCUUUUAUUAGAUCUUCAACAAGCUCUAAAUAGUUCGUGCCAAUACCCCUCCUCUCUUUUAUAAGGGAACAUUAGAACUGUAACUCUCACUACAAACUUAGUCUCUAGCCUGAGUAGCUGCUACCCAGUUUUCUAAUGGAUUAGUUCCUCAACUGACCCAAAUCCACUGGACAUCUUCAAAGCUCGAGGCUUUCUGUCCUGCAUUGUUGUCGAUUAUAGAAAUCCUAUCGAGUCGCUACCUUUGAUCUUUUAUUAGAUCUUCAACAAGCUCUAAAUAGUUCUUGCCAAUACCCCUCCUCUCUAUAGUUUUCGUUCCUUGCUCAUAUCUCCUCGCCGAGGCAUCCACACAAAGGUCUUCCGUUCGACGUGAUCUAAAUCUCUCAAACGACCUCCUCUCAUAUUAUCCUCGAUUGGUUGGCAGUCCCUAAUUUUACCUGUAUUAAUUGAUUUCAAAUCUUGCCUUUUCUCUCGAAUGUCAUGUCCUACGAAGCAUUCUCAAGGUGUCGUCGGCAUGAUCUCCAGUUUUGUCAAAUUAGAUCGAAGUUAAUGGAAGGAUUCAUUCCUCAGUACUCCAUGAUGUUCAAUUUUCCCGAGGUUUCGUUGAGUUCCUAUAAUUCCUAGACUUACACCCCAAGGUUUACGAAGUUUCCCUUCGAAGUUCAGGUUUCUGGUUAGCUACAGCAUGGGUUUCACCUACCAACAUUACAUAAUCUACAGAGAAAAUACACCAAUUGAAAUCGUCUUGAAUUUGUCUUGUCACCAUUGGGGCAAUGGAGGCACCUUCCCCCUUGAAGCUUCCAAUAAAUUAAAAUGGAAACUACCAUAAGUUGCAAUCAUUUUGCAAAUUUGCCCCACGAAAAUACAAGUGUGUACUUAUGAGUGUUGAUUCAACAUGGGAAGAAAGGAGAUUGCAAAAUAUUUAAGUCAUUCAUUUGAUUUUGCUAGAGUCUUUUCUAAUCAAUCAUAUCAGUAAGGCGUUUUGGGUGUUUAAGUUUUACUUACCAAAGAUGAGCUUUCUUGUCAUAGAAAAAGCAAGUGUCGGAAGAAUUAAUAAAAAGGAAAAUGUUGAAGAGUAAGGAUAUUGGUUAAAUUUCAUUAUUUGACAUCUUUUUUUCUCAGAGUUAAUACGAUACUUCUUUAAUUUUGAUCAAGUAAUUCAGGUAAUAAAGAUGUUAUAAGGGUCUUGUUAAUAAAAUACCUCAGAGGCACUAGUUAAAACUAGGGGUGAGCAUCGGUCCAAGGGCAACCUUGGACCAACCCUGGAUCGGCCCAACCCUGCCGGUCCUGGUUCGGUUCCCACGAAGACCGGGUCGGUCCUUGGUCCUAGAAUUCCUGGACCAGCACUGUGCGGGUCAGUUCUCAGUCCUGAGAGUUCCGGGUCGGUCCAAUCCUGACCAAUCCUAACUAUAUAUAUAAAAUAUAUUAUUUAUAAUUUUUUUAUAUAGAGAAAACUUUAAAAUAAAUAGCGUCAACAACAUUAAAUAGCUCUUUAUUGAGGAGUUCAAAUGAUUUUACAUUAUUCUUUAAUAACUUAGAUUUUUAAUGUCUUUUACAGUGUCAAUAAUCAUAAUUUAUGAAAGAGGAAAAUGUUUUUGUGAGGAGUCCUCAUGGCGUCCAAAAAUGCAUAAACAGCUCCUUAUGGCAUCCUCCUCUACUAUUCGUUUUCUUCUGUCUUAUUUGUCCUCUUAGUCUUCACUUUGCCAAAAUCGAAAGAAACAACUUUCCCACUGGCCACUUAACACUCACCUCGCUCGCUUUGGGUCAUUCGUGCCGUUCGCCGCUCGAUGUUCACUUGGCUUGUUGCUCCCCGCUCGACAUUCGAUGCUCAUUCUGUUCGAUGCUCACCCCACUUGACCCUCACCGCUUGCCUUUCUUAGUUGACCUUGCGCGUCAUCGAACCCAUUGGGUCGGUACGGUCCUCAGGUGCCCUUUCAAGGAGCACAAAAAAUGAAAUAAAAAAUUAUUGGUUGGUCCUGGGUUGACCUAGAAACCAGACCGAACCAAUUGGGUCAAUCCGGUCCUGAAUUGCUUUUUUAAGGACUACAAAAAAUGAAAUAAAAAAUUAUCGGUUGGUCCCGAGUUGACCCUGGAACCGAACCGAACCGAACCUAUUGGGUCGAUCCGGUCCUCGGUCCCAAGCUCAAUAGGGUUGGUCCUCAGUCCUAAAAAUUGAGGACCAGUACUAUGCGGGUUAGUCCUAGAGUUAGGAGGUGGACCGGCCCAACCCAGACCAUGCUCACCCCUAGUUAAAACCACUAAAAAUAAAGCGUAUCAGCAUAUGCUGAAAAUUGAGCAACCCUAAAUUUCGAAAAAAGCCACUUACUUCAAUUAUGCAAUUUUAUUUUUCCAAAGCAAAAUUAAUGAGGCCCAACAAGUACCCUAACUACAUUCUUUAACAUUUUCCUUUUUAUUAAUUAUUCUAACACUCGAUUUCUAUGAGAAAAUCUCAUCUUAAAUAAGUAAACCUUGAACCUCUAAAAUACCCCAUCAAUACUAAGGACUGAGUAAGAUGCGAACCCAAAUCUCCACAAUGGCAUUUUAGCCAUAAGAGUCCUUAUCAGGGGAUGAACAUUCUUUGUGCCUAUGAAAGUAUGUAGAUGGAAAUUCUACAUUCCCUUAGUGCCUUCUAAUCUUUAGCUAAAUGGGUCGAACAAUAACAUGACAUGCCAUCAACCUGAAAUUUGAACAUGUAAAGGAUUAGUGUCCAAACGGUACCCAUAAUAUCAACAUCGGUGUAAGGAUGAGAUCCCCUAUCAUCUUAUUAGUGUUUCCAUUUGAUGUCGUAUUCAUCCAAACCAUUAAUCCGCGCGAAUAAAAAGGAAGCGGAUCCUUUCCCAUCGGUGCAGGCAUCGCUUUGGCGAGUUCAAGUUAUUGAAGAUGGGCGGGAGUGCAAAAGACAAGAAAGAAAUAAGCAGUCAAUAAAUCAAUCUCGCGCUACCAGAAAAGGCAAGCUCUACAUAACGUGUGAAACCUCAUUUGAGGUUAGGUGGCAUUGCGCAGUCCUCGCAUUCCAUUGAGGAUGCAGCGGCGAUUUCCUAAAGGUUUACAAUAGGGAGAAGUAUUUAAAAAGUCAUAUUUUUUUUUAUAUCUGUAUCAAUUUAGUCCUAAACUAUUUUCUAGUGUUGAUUUAAUCCUAAACCUUUUUACUUUGUGCCAAUUCAGUCUUUUCCGGUCAAUUUUGGCUAGAUUUUGCUAAUUGAAUGCUAGUCGACUGAUGUGGCCUGAUUGGAGCUGACGUAGACAACUUUUAAUAAAAUUUUUAUUUUCUUUAUUUUCUUUUUCUUUUUUUCCUUCUCCUCCACCUUCCUCCAACCAGUUGACGGUCGAUGACCGGGUAGAGGCGACGGUCGGCGAGGUUGAGGUCAACCUCACUGGCCACCAUGGGUGAGGCUCGACCUCGCCAAAUCUGGCAAGAGCGAGCCUUGCCGCCAAGCACGAGGCCAACUCAAGGCUGCCCACCUCAUGCUGAGCUAGCGAGAUCGAGCCUCGCCCACGAAAGUGAGGCUAGACCCUUGCCUAAUCCGACAAGGGCGAGCCUCACCGCCCAAUGUGAGGCCAACUCGAGGCCGCCCAAGCCGCGAGGGUGAGCCUCGCCAGCCUAGCGUGAGGCCGGCCUGGGUGGCCUCGAGCUGGCCUGGAGCUAGGCAGCCAAGCUCGCCUUCGCCACCCAAGUUGACCUCACCCAUGGUUAGCGAGGCUCAACCCUUGCCAGCCCGGUGCAAGGCCACCCUUGUGGCCACUAGCGAGGUGGCUGGCGACCGACUGGAGGGAGGGGGAGAAGAAGAAAAACAUAAACAAAAAAUGAAUAAAAUAUAUUAAAAUAUUAUUAAAAAUUGUCCACGUCAGCACUGAUUGGGCCACGUCAGCCGACCAACGCCUAGUCAGCAAAAUCUGGCCAAAAUUGACUAGAAAUGACUGAAUUGGACUAAGUAAAAAGGUUUAGGACUAAAUUGGUACUAAAAAUGGUUUAGGAUUAAAUUGGAACAAAUACAAAAGAUUUAUGACUUUUUUAACACUUCUCCUGUUUACACUAUUAGUCAUGCUUAACAGAUAUGUAUAUUGGUUUUGACAUCAUUGGCUUGGUGAUUGCCUAGUUCUUUCGACUUCAUUUUAUUUAAAGUUCAAUGCUUUAACUAAAUUACAAUAGAAAAGUUGGAGCAUUGCGCCCACCCCUGGAUGAAACAUUAGCACACUCCCACGCUUAAUCACAAGCUUCCCACUUGAGAAAGUAGAGAUAAUGCUACAUAACAUAAUGGAUCUAAAAUUAGUAAAAUCAGCAGAAUUUGGUUUGGAGCUUUUGACUAAAUCAACAAAUGGUCAACUAUAAAAGUCUUCUCACAUCCGCACGUGUGUCUUUAUAGUUUCCCGAAAUAUCACCAUUUCACUUAUAGUGUCAAGAUGCAUGUGUAAGGAUAUCAUGUGAAAGAGACCUCUCAUUCAGAAUGUAAUGUAAGGUGGACAAGUCAAUAUUAUUCUAGUUGGUUCAUGAAUCAUUAAUUUCAAAUUCUAAGUGAAGGUGAGUUAUUGUUGAGCUUGGGUUUAAGCUUGAACCUAGCAGUCUCCCUAGGUAAAGGUUUUGGCCUUCUGUUGCACCACUUUGCCGAUUAUCUCAAUGAAGUGGGCCCAACAUGUGUGAAUUGAUGUGUGGUGAAUAUCUCAAGGAAAGAAACCUCAUGUGACUCCUAAUCAAGAUGACCAACAGUGUGAUCUGCUGAGGUUGGCCAAACCAAGGCAAUGGAGGAGUCAAGGCAAAUUUUGUGUUCCUACUGAGUUGGGCCGAGGUAGAGAUUUGAAAUGAUGCUGGUGUGGUAUUAAAGGGAGCAAGCUUAAUAUAGAUGGCCCACACAUGAAGUAUAGAUUUGUUGAGGUGCACGUGUGAGGGUGUUAUGAGGAAGAAGUCCCACAUUAGGGAGCGAUGUAAAGUGGAGAUGUUGUUGAUAUAAUCUUAGUAGGUCCAACUAAAUGUGUUCACGGACUCAAACUUAACAUCUCCCUAAGUGAAUAUAUCAAGCUUCCGCUAUGUCUCCCGACAGUUAGAAUCUUUUCAUGCAAAGCAUAUAUAUGUCAUGUUAAAGCAAUGUGUAUGUGUUUCUAUAAAUAUAAAUAUAUUUAAUACAAAUUCAAACACAGAAAAUCUUCACAGAUGUGUCAUUGCAUCCAACGAACUGAAGAUAGGGAUUUACAUAAACAGAUCAAAUUCAGCACCAAAUAAUUUUUUUAUCAAAUCAUUCUUAAAGCCAGUAUAUCACAUUCCACGCUAUUUACCUUUCCAACGUUGCGGAAGCAGGCAGGAAUGUUCUUUAAUCCCGCGUGUUUGGGUCACUGUUUUGCUUUUUCCAACAUGCAGAUGCUUUUACAACAGUAAUGUUUUAGCUUGGAUGUAAUUAGCAAUCUCAGCCUUUAACAUUUCAACUCCCGGACGACAUAUGUUGUUUCCGGGGGCAUUCCUUAAAUGAUCCAAGAUACCUGAGCCAUUGGGCUCGGACUCCCGUGCUUUUAUUUUUGUUAAGUGCUAUGAUCUCCUUUCUACCCCAAAACAGAAAAUAAUGAAACGACCUAGAUAAAUUUAUUAAACAGUUGAUGAUUUGUCAAAUCUUGGAUCUUUGCAUUCCCAUUUUACAAUUUAAUAGCGGUCUCAUGAAGCCUUACGGAUGUUAGUCAAGCUUAACAGAUAAAUAAACUAGGUGUAUAUUAUGGGUGUACAUUAUUGGUGGGAAAAUUGUUCCGAAAGUCUUAAAUUUAUUGCACUUUUGUAAUUUAAUCAUAAACUUUUCAAUUUUGUCAAUUCAGUUCUAAACAUUUUCAUAUUUUGCCAAUUUAGUCCUAAAUAUUUUCAUUUCUUAUCAAUUAAGUCCAUCCAUCUAGUUUUGGCUAGAAAUUGCUGACUUGGAUGGCCGGCAUUGAUGUGACGAUUUUUUAAUAAUAUUUUGAAUUUUAUAUGGUUUUUCUCUUCUUCUUUUUGGUACUCUUUUUAUUUUUAUUUUUUUGAGCUAGGGUCAGCCAGGUUACCGGCAGACCUUCGCCGGCCACAGGACAAAUUUUAAAGAAUGGAGGGUAGGACGGAGGGUUUGAGAAUAAAAAAGAGGCUAGACCAGAGAAAUUAUGGCAAGGAAAGUUGUAAAUAAUGGCGGAUAUAACAAAGGGUUUUCACCACCAAUGAUUUGUCUUUUUAUUUUUAUGUUGGUCCCUUUCGUGGACAAUUACAAGAAAAUUUGUAAAGAAGGACGAACGCACGGGAGGUCAAGAAAUUUUGAUAAGUAACCAGAGAAGGUGCCUCCAUGUUUCCACCGCCGUUGCUUUGUCGUUUUUCUCCAUGUUUCAUGCGCUCGAACACUGUUUCGACUGACAUGCACAUUUUGUCAAGCACCUGGCCGGCCCUGUCACGCUUCCCGACAAGUGGUAUCAAACCAAUGCUUUAAACAAGUUGGGCCCAAAAUAUGUGCAUUGUAGUCGGGUGAAUGUUUCGAGGAAAGAAAUCCAAUGCGACUUCCAAUCGAGGUGGUGGUAGAUAGUGUUUUCCUGUUGAGCUUCGCAUUGAGGAGUCAAGGCAAAAGUUGUACUUCUGCCAAACUUGGUUGGGCCAAGGUGGAGAUUUGAGUUGAGAUAAUAUCAGUGUGAAAGAAUACCUAGAUUAAAGAAGAACAAGACUGACAUAAAAAGCUCAUACAUAGGGGAAAGAUUUGUCGAGGUGCGCAUGCGAGAUUGUAAUGCAAAAGAAGUCCCACAUUGGUGAUGUGGUGUAAAGUAAAGCAGCCAAUAUUAUUCAAGAGGGUUCAAUCAGAUAUACCGAAGGAUUCAGAUUACAACUUUCCCUCGGUGAUCUCCAUUAGUAAAAAUAUCAUACUUUCACUGUGCCUUCCAACAAUUAGAAGGGUAUAUCUUUGAUAAGCAACGUAUGGACAGCAUCAAAUAACAAUAUAUCACAUUAACAAUUUCGUUGUUCACAUCAUUCUUAAAGCAAGUACAUCACAUUCAAUUUUAGUGGUAAAAAAAACCCCGGUCCACAUGUCAUUUCUACGUGACAUGUUUGACACUGAAGUGAUUAUUUUGAAUAAAUUUUGACACUCAAACAAUUACUUUAAACAAAAUUUGGCACUUAAAUUAUCACUAUUUACAACCUUUUGACGACGUCAUUUGAGGGUUAUAUACUGACUAGGCACGCUAGCGAACCACGUAAGACUGAGAAAUUAAUAAAAUAUGACCACGUUGGAUUUUCAACGAUCCAAACUAGAGUUAGCACUUAAAUGAUCGUCUUUUUUAAAAAGCGGCACUGAAGUAAUCCGAAGAAAGAAAAAAUGGCACUAAAAUGAGCGUUGUAUAUAACUUUUGAGAUUUUUAGCGUACUUAUCCCCAUGUUUGUAUCACCGUUCUGCUCUUGCCAAUAUGUAAAUGCUUAUAUAAGACUCAUGUUUUAGCAUCUUAUAUAUAGUUAACAAUCUCAACCUCUAACAUUCCAACUCCAAGAGAAGUCUAGUGAAAGAAAAAGAGAGAUCGUGUACCUCACGAGAGGAGCAGAAUCACUUCAAGUGAUUAACCCGAGCGAUUUUGAGUUCACCCACAAGCUGGGAACAAUGCCAUCGAUUGCAAGCCCGAGAAGAAGGUCGCUGUCUCUGCCAUCACAUCAACAAGCUUCCUUAGCAUUUGAAAGAAGACACCAAGAGAGGAGGCUCUAUGAAGCGUCGCUUGGCGGGUGCACCGAGUCGUUAGCUCAGUUGCUGCAAGAAGACCGACUCAUCCUGGCUCGGGCUUCGGUUACUUGCUUUGAUGAGACACCAUUGCAUGUGGCCUGCAUGCUCGGUCAUGUACACUUUGCCAAGGCUCUUUUGGCUCAUAAAAAGGAUUUGGCUAUGGAGUUGGACUCGCAGGUAAGUCAAAGCGAAAACCUUGGUUGUGUUUGUUUGAUAUCCUUUUGUCAGAUCAAACUGCACCCAGUCAUCCUAGCGAACCGGAUAAUCGAUGGAACGGCAACUGUUUUGAUUCGGUUUUUGCAAGCUCUAGGCUUUUAGCCAUGUGCAACAUAAUUUAUUGACUAUAGUUCGAUGGAAUAUCUCUACAUAGAUCAGACAAUCUUGCUUGUCAAAUAAGACUUUGUAAAUGUACUAUCGCAUUUUGUUUUCCUGUUUCCAUGAUCUGUGAGAAAUCAAACCCAUCAUAUAUGACAAGGAAAUUAACAAAAUUCAGACAGAAAUCAAGUCAUAGAUUUCCAAAUUAAUUCAGCCUAAAAGAUCUUACAGACACCAGUGAAUUUGAGUAGCUCGGUCUGACAUAUAUAUAAAUAUAUAUAAUACAAUAUAUAAUAUAUAAUGUGAACAUCUCCCUCAAUAAGAAUGCUCCUAGCUAAGCACCUUUUUUCGCAGGGACGUACACCUCUUCACUUGGCAUUUGUGAAUGGAUACGUAGAAAUAGUGAGCGAAUUGUUACAAUCGGAACCCCUUGCAUGCCUUGUCCAUGACGAAGAUGGGAGGACCCCACUUCAUCUGGCCAUGAUGAAGGGCCGAAUUAACAUCGUGAUAGAGUUGGUCAAGGUGAGACCGAAGGCGGCCGAGUACAGGCUAAGCCACGGUGAAACCGCUCUCCAUCUGGGAGUAAAGCAUAAUCGUUUGGAGACUCUGAAAGUUCUGGUGGAGAUGGUGACGGAUGGGGAUUUGGUGAAUGCUCAAGAUGAUGAGGGUAAUACCAUUUUGCAUUUGGCCGCUACAAACAAGCAAAUGGAGGUAACCCUUUUUGCUUUGAAUUGCUUCGAAAUUGCAAUGAUGUCAAACAUCGCAUUCCAAUUGAACAUUUUGUGAAGAUAAAAUUUGGCUCUUUCUCAUUUUUCUGUAGACUCAAGCUUUCUACAUUCGAACUUCAGUGGAUAUAUCGAUUGAACAAACUUACAAGAAAUAUCUUUGUCUCUUGUUUCUUUUAUAAUUUACAAGAAGCCCAUCUUUUUGUACAGACAGUGAAACAUCUGCUUCAAAGAAGUGAAGUGGAUGUGAACACUGUAACGACUGGGGCCCCACUGUGUAAUAUUGUCCGCUUUGAACACUGAGUCCUCAUGGACUUAAAACGCGUCACACAGGUUAAAGGGACCCAAGCCUUAUAAACUAGCCCAGGACUCCCCCCUAAGCGAUGUGGGACUAGAGAGGACCCCUCCCCUUCCUUGGCUGUCAAGCUCUCCACCCCAAACUAGCCCAGGACUCCCCCCUAAGCGAUGUGGGACUAGAGAGGACCCCUCCCCUUCCUUGGCUGUCAAGCUCUCCACCCCUUAAGAGCACAGUGUCCUCGCUGUGACCCCCACACGCGGUCGGGAGUCGGCUCUGAUACCAUUUGUAACGAUCCGGGCCCCACUGUGUAAUAUUGUCCGCUUUGGACACUGAGUCCUCACGGCUUUAAAAUGCGUCACACAGGUUAAAGGGACCCUAAGCUUUAUAAACUAGCCCAAGACUCCUCCCCUAAGCGAUGUGGGACUAGAGAGGACCUCUCCCCUUCCUUGGGCUGUCACAAACAUAGUGAACAGAAAUGGCUUCUCUGCUCUGGAUAUAGUGGAACAUUUUCCAAAGGAUUUCAAAGUCACCGAAUUGAGAGAACUAUUAGUACAUGCUGGAGCUUUGCGAGCCGUAAGAUUUUAUGCAUCAACAACUCACCAAGCAGUUGUUGAUAACACAAAUGAGAAGAAUUCAACUGUUGAAGUUGACAUCACAUCGUAGCACCUCCUCUGGGUAAGGCAGCUCCGCCACCGUCUUUCUUGGGUGAAAUUAGGAAGCAAAAGGAAGACAAACACGAGAAAUGGAUCAAGAAGAAGCGUGAUUCUCUGAUGGUAAUGCUUUAACUAGAUAUCUUGGAGUAGCAUUUGCUGAUAAGUUAGAUCAGAUUAGUCAUGUUAUUGCAAUUAACACCAUAGCUCACAGUUGGUUAAUUUAAACUCUCUAUUUGUUUCCUAAAACAUGGAUGAUUCAGAAAAUGCUUUUUCCUAAAAAUGAUCAUUUAUAUCGCUUAAAAUAAAUAAUUAUGCUUUCUCAAAAAUGUUUUCUACACAUGUAGUACAUGUGCUCAUAAUUAAAUAGUUAUGUACGUAAAGAAGGCGAGCAGUUAUAUUAAUAGAUGGCUUAUUAUUUAAAAAAAUGAGGGUAAUAUAAGAAAUCUAAUAUUGAUAAGAGAUUAAACGAGUGGAUGAUUAUUUAAGAAAUUAAUGGUAAUUUAGAAAUCUAAAUGUGAAGCAGUUGGGUGAUUUUCUUUAAAUAUCUGUGUUAAUACAUAAAGUAAAGAGGAUUUUUAUGCGACUCAAUCUUUUCUCUUCUCCAAAUAUUCUCAACUACUUAUUAGAUAUAUAUUGUAUCAANNNNNNNNNNNNNNNNNNNNNNNNNNNNNNNNNNNNNNNNNNNNNNNNNNNNNNNNNNNNNNNNNNNNNNNNNNNNNNNNNNNNNNNNNNNNNNNNNNNNNNNNNNNNNNNNNNNNNNNNNNNNNNNNNNNNNNNNNNNNNNNNNNNNNNNNNNNNNNNNNNNNNNNNNNNNNNNNNNNNNNNNNNNNNNNNNUCUCUAUUUAUGUAGAGAGCUCGCCACAAUUUCCUUGUAUUUCGAUGAAUAUAGGAAAAGCCAUCAAUUGAAUUUGUGUAUUUGUUGAAAUGACUAACUUUGACUCGAUGAUCUUCAUAUUUUCAAAUAUAGGUGAAACACUAUUUCUUCAUUCGCAAGUUUAAAACUUUCUUUCACGUCACGACAGAUAACUGCCACCGUGAUCGCAGCCAUGGCUUACCAAGCAGGCCUUAGCCCUACCGGCGGCUUGUGGAACGACAAUCAGAAAGCAAAAGACGACACCAUCUUAUACUACGCAGGAAAAUCGAUAAUGGCUGCAAACCAUCCAGAGGGUUUACCACGGUUCUGGAUAUGCAACACCGUCUCUUUUCUUGCAUCCCUUAGCACGAUCUUGUUGCUCAUGAGUGGCUUGCCCUUGGGGAAGAAGGUUCUGAUGUGGAUUCUGGCGGCCACAAUGUGGGUGACCAUCACUUUCAUGGCGCUGACUUACCUCUAUUCCAUGACGGCCAUCUCGUUCGUACAGAGGGAUCCUGAACAUGUGAGGCCGACCACAGAGGUUUGGUAAUCCGAAGAUAGGGGGACGAUCAUGGUGAUUACGUACUCCUUGAUUGUUUGGCUCGGCAUUGUAGCCAUUGUUUUUUAAGUUCACACCGUUCGAUUCCUCACGAUCAUCCUCCAGAAUGCGAAGAAAAAUUCGCAAAAGCUCAAGAAGUGGAUAUCGGCGUGUGUGAGUUGGUGCAGAUCUAGGGGCAACAUCAAGAUCUAGUGUAUUCAUCUGGUGGGACAAAGGAUUACUGCAUAGUCUUGAUGCCUGUGUUCUUUCUAACUUAAUCCCUAUGUCAUAAGAUCAUUCUGAGUACUGCUAGUUGUGCAACGAUUUAAUGAGACUACUAAACCAAACGCAGGGUCCAUCUUGCAUUAUUCUCGAGCUCUCCUCAUUAGAGAUGUCUCGCCCUAAUAGCCGAAUCUUUCUAAAGAGAAUGGGAAGGCCUGGCUAAAAGUAAUCUGAUCUACUCCUAUGUAUGCCGCAAAUUAGUAGUAAAGCACACUGGGCCAUUCUAUGAUUUGUCUCGCACAGCUUCACCAUUCUCUUUCCAAUCACACCAAACAACCGAACCCACCUUCCUCAAAAGCAUCCGCACUUCUUUUAUGCUUCCUUCAUAUUCUUCUCCAUUGCUGAUAGAUGUCCAAAAGCCAUCUGAUCAAAGCUAGUGAGCCUCUCUGUCUGAUCAAUUUCAACCCCAUGGCACCAAACCAUAAUGCAGUCGCACCAUUUUCAUUAACUUCCUACACUAUUUCCUGCCUAAUUUUAAGGAAGUGAUACACUGAAUUUAGAGAAAAUACUCCAUGAUUAUUCGCAGGCCGUGCAAGCUGAUCCUCCCUCAAAGGUCGGAAUCGAAGCAGUGCUAGUUUCAUAUGUAAUGUUCACAUACCAGAACGUGUGCUUCUUCCAAAACAACAUUCAAACUCUGAUAUUAUGACUUCUUGCCGAACAAUCUUUUCAUCUUUAUAUAGACAAGUAGAGGAGGGACAAGGUAGAAACGGAACCCAAAAUCUCAUGGACCGAUCUGUUGUUCCUUAUCACAAGACAAAGGAUUGGUAGCGUAUCAUCCCAAACAAAACACAACAAAUUACUGUUCAUAUGCAAACUGAUUACAGGGGAUGGAAGAACAGAGAGAUGAAAACAAUUGCAUAGACAGAUCUUUUGUCCCUUAGACUGGUGAUAAUCAGUCCAUAACAAUUGGGAAGGUAAGAGAGUUCUCAAAGGCAGGAGCCAGCACUUUCAUCUGUCUUAGACAACCACAUUGUGUGGUUUCGAUCAGCAAGCCCACAACUAAGGCAGCUCAUAAACUUCCCUCAACCCAGCUUGGCAAACCAAGCCUCUUUCAAGAAGUUCCGUUUCACAACCCCAACUUAACGCAACCUGACGGUUUCGUUUGGGAGAAUAAUAUUGGGAUUGCGUAUGUGUGGGUUAAGAGCCGCCAAUUCCUUCCAUUUAGCACCAGUUCCAUGAACACGGGAUGAGAUGCUCCACAAUGUGUCACCAGGCUGUGCCUUAGUUGUUGCUGGGGCAGUAGAUUUAGAAGAAGCAGUCUUCGACUUCAGGAACGGAUGCUUAUUGCUCUUUCCCAUUCCAUUAGCGAGCAACCAACGGGAACCAGAUUGUUGCUGGUUUGAACUUCCCCAGACCUUUCUCUUCCCAGGAUCAAAUAUGUUUAAUUAAUUCUAGAUUAUAAUUAUUUUACGCAUGGUUGUGAUACCCAUGCCGUGCAUCUACGACGACAUGGGAUUUAUAGAUUUUAAAUGAGAUGAGAGCUUAGAAGAGUUUAAGAUUAAACCAUCAUCUUCUAAUAAUUUAGAUAUGUCAAAAUGGGACAUAGACUCAAUUUUUAACCAUAUUUGAUGGGUUGAGUUAUUAUAUGAACUAGUUAUAUUCACUAUGGGUUCAGAAUGGUAAAACUUAUAAUAAUAUAAGUGUUAAAUAGAUUCACAACUUAUUUAGAUCUAUUUCAUCUCUAUGACCUUUCUCUUCAUUCUCUCGUCCUCACUUGAUCUCACGCUCGCUCACUCUUUACUCUCACUUCAGUUUGUGUAUGAUUUUUUUUUUAAAUUGAUUAAAUAUAAAAGUGUUUUAGCAAUACAUGUUGUGUUGUUCAUAGGUCACUAGAUUGUAUUACACGAAAAUAUGUCAAAAUAUGUUAAAUAAAUCAAUUUAAAUUGGAUCAUUUUUUACCCUACUCAUUAUUUUGAUGGGUCUGUAAUAAUUUAAGGUUUUGCAUGGUUCACAUGCAAUGUUUAACUAAUUGUGGAUUAAAGUCGAUUUUACGCAUGGUUUACACAUGCCGUGCGUCCACAAUGACGUGAGAUCUACAAAAAUUUAUAAACAGGGUGAGAGGAGUUAUAGAAGAAGUUAAGGAUUAAACCGUUCGUCUUGGAUUAUUUGUUCGUACGUAAACGAAAAUGGCCAAGUUGUAAGGUCAACGCGAUCUUGCGGAAACACGGGAAAAGGUCGAGACCGUUGACCGGGUAACGAAACCGCGCCCCCGCUUCGUUUUUUAACCGCCGGAGGGGAUCGUACGACAGCCAGCGAGACCAAACCCGCGCAUGGCCCCACUCGCUGAGCAGUCCCCCUAAGUUGAAAUAAUAGAAAUAUUAUUUUACUAAUAAUAUUAAAUCUUUAAUUAAAUAUUUUUGUGAACAAUAAAAAUACAUUUUAAUUUAUUCAUUUUUAUAAAUGAAACGAAUAAUUAUUUUUAAGAAAAUAUUUUUCAAACUGUCCAUUUUCUACGAAAUAAUUAGGAAGCUAAAUACAUUAUGUCAAAUCCCCAUAUAUGCAAACGCCCGAGGUCUCAAGUUUGUCCGAGCAUAUCGUGCUUCUAGAGAUGACGGCAAGCUGCAGCGCAGCUCAAAGGUGGGACAAUUUGCCAUUGGCAAGAACAGGGGCAAGCACGAAAGUUGGGUUCGGAGGUGGCUGUACAUAGAGAAGGAUGGAGGGAACCAAAAAAAAAAAAGUUGGCCCUAAUUAGGGUUUCGUAAUAUUUCAGAUUGAAUGCGGUUGCGAUUAGAGUUAAGUGGACACAUGUCGCAAUCUCAAUUCGAAGACUUCGAGCGUAUGCACAGUAGGAGGCAGCAAAUCUCCGAUCCGCCUACAACUCGCAAACUCGCAGCAACCGGUUGGCACGCCGUCGACUUUGACGACGUGUUCUUUACGGGAGUCGCUGGGAAUCUCUUUUGCUUUCGGCAGAUCCGCACAGCUAAUCGCGAGCUUAAAAUAUAAUAGAAGGUACGAGUCCCAUGCAUUGGUUUAUAUAAAAGAGUAAAACCCAUGCAAGUGAAAAGCACUUCUCCCAAUCGAUUCACACGUCUUUGCUCGUUCACGUGCAAAAAGGGGUGUGCCCGCCCUCCUUUUCGAUCCGAGUCUUGCGGGAUAAGAUGACAUUCUCGAGAAACGCAUACAAUAUUAUCCAAAUAAUAAUUUAUUUAUUUUUUUGGGUUGAACGCGUGGAAUAUAACGAGGCAAUAUUUUAAAAGGGUAAAAAAGAAAUACAACCUUUUUUUUUUAAUAUUAUGAUCUCAAGAAGGUCAUUUGUGUUUUAAAUUUGAAAUUAUAUCCUAAAAGUACGGAAUUAUAAAAGGAAACUUACUUAUUUAGUAUUCACUUUAAUAGAAAACUUCAUUACUACUUCAAGCAAUUGACUUGAUUGUAAGAAUUUCUUCCACACCAUGUGAAUAGUGCAUAUAAACCGAUUAAACAUAACCAAAGUUAAGUAAUCGUAAAGAAGAUAUACUUUUCCUAUUUCCCUAUAUAUGGUCUACUAAAGCUAUAUUUGGGAAAAGUGCCAAAAAAGUCCUAAACCUUUUGCCUUUGUACCGAUUUAGUCCUAAACCUUUUUUUUGUGCCAAUUCAGUCCGACCAUCACAUACAUUCUUAUUCUUUUCACCUAUUCUUUCCAAGGACUAAAUCAAUAGAAGAACACAGAACUUUGAUCUUCUUGCAUUUGCAUGUGGAUUCUCGUUCCCUUAUCCUCUUUCAUCAAUUUAUGUACCUUCAGUGACGGAAUGAAAGACUACAGGUACAGUUCAGAGUCUGAUCUGCCAGGAGAUUUAUUCAAAGAUAAUCUCAUGAAUUUAGUGCACAGCUUUGUGCUUAAGUAGCUAAGCUUUUAUCUCUCCCCGACAGGUCGGUUACUCCAGUUUGUAUUCUGCAGGGAGUGUUCAUCGAUGUCGGUCAUAUCGCCUCUAUAGAAAACAAUCACAAACCCGUUAGACACUGCCAAGAAAGGCCAGACGAUGGCCAUUAGGAUACGCUGUUUUCUAUCUUUGUAGUAUUGGUUUGUGGUUAUUCAAGGAAGACAUUCUUACCUGAUUGGAUGCUGCUCUUCUUUCCAGAUUGUCGGCCCGAAUGCAGAAUAGCCAGGGAAAGAUAUCCGGCAGGCAUUUUGACUCAGAAGAGGAGCUUGUCAGUCACAUUUCGAAGAGGUUUCUAAGACGAAUACCGGGUAGAUAAAUCUUAAUUAAUUAGUAAUGGCUUCACAGUUCUUUAAGCUGAAUUUGAAACAUGACUACAUAACUUAGCUCCUAUAUAUGCAGGGUAGCUUGACUAUGGAAGAGUGGAAGCCGGAGGCUAAGCUGAAGACCCUCUUCAAAACCCACCGAAUCCAUCUGCCAACAGCCUGUGCACAGUACCAUCUUCUAAUGCAACUUCUCGAGUCUUUGUCAUCUACAACUACGUAGACCAAGAAGUCUCAAACUCAAAGAUUCUCGACCUUUUUCCAGUGAAGAAAAUCGACUGCUUUAGCACUGAACUUUCUCAUUGGAUUCAAGAGGAGCACGAUCCUCGUUGCUUACACACCAGAGAGCGUUUGCCACAUCUGAUGAGGCCCACAGCGACAUUGGUUAACGCCCAAUAAUCACGUCGAAGGGAAUGUUUAGAUGAAUAGUCAUCUUUAGACUCAUCUAAUCCUUUGACCAUGAGAAAGAGAGACUCAACUGCUCCACAAUGUUACUCUUUUUCAAAUAGAUUAUUAGGAGACCUUCCAACAAAACUAAAUCUUUGAUAAUUGAGGUUACGACUGGUAGUAGUUAUAAUAAGCUUCUACUUUUAUCGUUGGUAAUAGCAAAAAUGAAUUGUGCCUUUGCACUCGAGUCUUGGAUUAUGAAAGAACUUAUUUUAAGAAAGAUUUAAUUUUCUAUCGGGUCAAAUUUUAAGAAAGUUUAGCUUCAUUCUAUAGAUGGAGAGCAUACUCAGGCAAAUUACAUGCACUCAAGUGAUCUUCGAUCCAAGUCACCUAUGCCAACAACCUCUAAUCAUGUCUUUCAGAAAUUGUGCAAAAAUCUUUAUUAACUAUUUUAGGGUUGGUAUAGUUAAAUGGGAUAUCGAGAGAAUUCGGGUUUCGAAACUAGAGAUCUCUUAUUCCAGUCUUACCAAUUAUGUAUGACACGUUCUAGAUCGAGGUCACAUAAACACACCUUCUUAAUCGAUUUAUGGUCUGACCCGAAGAAAAAAAAAAAACCGACUUAUGUGCUUGAAAGGUAUUUCCUAACUAGAAUUCAGGUAGAAAAGUCUCCUCACACGUGUCUCUGGAUUAUUAAAGAAAUUAUAUGAAAAAAUUAUAAUAUUGUGAUAAAGAUGAAAAUUUACAUCAAACAUUCGGAUGCAAAUAAGGGCGGACCAAAUUUUGAUCUCCACCGCUCAACGAAUCUGGUCGAAUUUCUUCGUUCUUUCGUCCUAAUAAACUGGUAGCUUGUCGGCAUUUCUUCCAUCGCAGCCAUUAAAUAAUGAGUACGAUGACCCAGGAAGAGGAACAGGAAGUCAACAAGUCAACUCCACGCGGGAAUCUUCUGAAUCAUGUGACUUUUUGACUUUUUAACCCCGCAUAUUACGGUAACACCACUUGUGAGUGGAGUGUAAUCACUUCUAAUGAUAAAUUCCAGCGACUUCGAGUUCAACCCCAAGCUGGGAACAAUGCCAUCGAUCACGAGCCCAAGAAGGACGUCGCCAUCCCCACCAUCGCAUCAACAACCUUCCUUAGCAUUUGAAAGAAGACAACGAGAGAGGAGGCUCUAUGAAGCGUCGCAUGACGGGUGCGUCGAGUCGUUAGCUCAGUUGCUGCAAGAAGACCGACUCAUCCUGGCUCGGGCUUCUGUCACUUGCUUUGACGAGACACCAUUGCAUGUGGCCUGUAUGCAAGGUCAUGUACAGUUUGCCAAGGAUCUUUUGGCCCAUAAAAGGGAUUGGGCUAUGGAGUUGGACUCACAGGUAUGUUGAAGCGAAAACCUUGGUUGUGGUUGUUUGAUAUCCUUUUGUCAAUUAAACUGAACCCAGUCAUCCUCACGAACCAGAUAAUCGGAGAAAUCGCAACUCUUUUGAUUAGGUUUUUGCAAGUUUUAGGCUUUUAGCCAUGUAUAUAGUAAUUUAUAAACUAUAUUUCCAUGGAAUAUCUCUACAUAGAUCAAACUAUCUUGCUUGUCAAAUUAGAUUUUGUACAUGUAAUGUAGCAUUUUGUUUUCCAGUUUUCAUGAUCUGUGCGAAAUCAAACCCAUCAUAUAUCUCAAGGAAAUUAACAAAAUUUAGACAGAAAUAAAGUCAUAGAUUUCCUAGUUAAUUCAGCCUGAAAGAUCUUACAAACACCAGUGAAUUUGAGUAUCUUGGUUUAUUUAAUUCAAAAAUGCGAUAUAUAUAAAUCAUAUGAACGUGUCCCUCACUGGGCAUCUGCGAAUGGAUACGUCGAAAUAGCGAGGGAAUUGUUACAAUCAGACCCCCUUGCAUGCCUUGUCCAUGACGAAGAUGGGCGGACCCCACUUCAUCUAGCCACAAUGAAGGGUCAAAGCAACAUCAUGAUAGAGCUGGUGAAGGCGAGACCGGAGGCAGCUAAGCAUAGGCUGAGCCACAACCAAACCGCUCUCCAUCUAGGAGUGAGUCAUAAUCGUUUGGAGGCUCUAAAAGUCCUGGUGGAGACGGUGAGAGAUGGUGAUUUGGUGAAAGCUCAAGAUGAUGAGGGUAAUACCAUUUUGCAUUUGGCCACAGCAAACAAGCAAAUAGAGGUAACCCUUUUUGCUUCAAAUUGCUUCAAAAUUGUGACGACCUCAGAUAUCACGUUCCAAUUGAACAUUUUGUGCAGAUAAAAUCCAACUCAUUCUCAUUUUUCUAUAGACUCAAGCUUUAUGCAUUCAAACUUCAGUGGAUUUAUCAAUUGAAGUAACUUACAGGAAAUAUCUUUGUUUGUUGUUUCUUUUAUAAUAGAUAAGAAGCUCAUCUUUUUGUGUAGACAGUGAAAUAUCUACUUCAAAGAAGCGAAGUGGGUAUGAACACAAUGAAUAGAAAUGGCUUCUCUGCUCUGGAUAUAGUGGAAUAUUUUCCAAAUGAUUUUAAAGUCAUUGAAUUAAGAGAACUGUUAGUACAUGCUGGAGCUCUAAGAUCCAUAAGAUUCCCUGCAUCGACAACUCACCAAGCAGUUGUUCAUAACAGAAAUGAGGAUAAUUCAACUCUUGUAGUUGACCUAGCAUCUGCAGCACUUCCCUCCACCAAUACUCCUCCAGUAAAGGCGGUUCCGCCACCAUCUUUCUCUAGUAAAAUCAAGAAGCAGAAGGGAGACAAACAUGAGAAAUGGAUCAAGAAGAAGCGCGAUUCUCUGAUGGUAAUGCUUUAGCUAGAUGUCUUGGAGUAGCAUUUGCUGAAAACUUAGAUCAGAUCGGUUAUGUUAUUGCAAUUAACAUCAUAGCUCACAGCUAGUUAAUUUAAAAUCUCUAUUUGUUUCAUGAAAAAUGGAUGAUUCAGAAAAUAUUUUCAUAAAAAUAAUCAUUUGUAUCGCUUAAAGUAAAUAGUUAUGCUUUCUUAAAAAUGUUUUCUACGUAUGUACUAAAUUGUUCAUAAUUAAAUAGCUAUGUACAAAAAGAAGAUCAGUAGUUACAAUAAUAGAUGGCUUAAUGAUUAAAAAAAAAAAAAACAGAGGGUAAUAUAAGAAAUCCAAUAGUGAGAAGAGACGAAGCAAGUUGAUGAAUAUUUAAGAAAGUAAUGGUACUUAAUCUAAAUGUGAAGCAGUUGGGUGAUUUUCUUUAAAUAUCUAUACUAUUACAUAAAGUAAAGAGGAUUUCUAAAAAACUCUAUCUUUUGUCUUCUCCAAAUAUUCUCAAUGACUCGGGGUCUAUUUGGUAACCAUUAUCUUCCCGGGAACAUUUUUUGCUUAAAAAUGAUUUUUAUUUUAUUUUGUUCCCUAGACAGUUUUUAGAGGCAUUUUGUAACUAUCCAAAAUUUCUAUUCUCAGAAUAGAAAUGCGUUUGAUAAGUAUUUUAUAUUUUCAUCUUUUUUUUUUCUUUUUUCCUUUUCUUUUUCUCCUUCUUCUUCUUGCCGACAAUCGGCCAAAUGAGGGCCGGCAACCUCUUAAGAGUGUUACCAGCCCAUGGCAAAGCCGAGCCUUGCCAAUCGAGCCUCCUUGGUGGCUAGGCGAGGCUUGGUUGGGCGAGCUCGGCCUUGCCCAUGGCUAGGCGACGCAAGCCUUGCCGGUGGCCCGAUGAGGGUGAGCCUUGCCAAUAGCGAGAAUAUAAGUGUGUUUUAUUUUCCACACAUUUAGUUAUUAGAUUUUGAUUUUCUUUCUAACGACAACAGCAACCAUCAUAAAAAGACGUUCAAACUUUGAAAUAUCAACAUUUUUUUUCUUCAUAUAUGCGUAUAUUCAUACACUUAGUUUUUUCAUGAUUUAUUCCAUGACCUCUAUUUACGUAGAGAGCUCGCCACAAUUUCCUUGUAUUUUGAUAACUAUAGGAAAAGCCAUCAAUUGAAUUUGUGUAUUUGUUGAAUGACUAACUUUGACUCGAUGAUCUUCAUAUUUUCAAAUAUAGGUGAAACACUUUCUUCAUUCGCAAUUUUAAAACUUUCUUUCACGUCACAGCAGAUAAUUGCCAACGUGAUCGCAGCCAUGGCUUACCAAGCCGGCCUUAGCCCUCCCUGCGGCCUGUGGGACAACGAUCAGAAAGACGACAAAGGCACCAUCUUAUACUACGCAGGAACAUCGAUACUGGCUGCAAACAAUCCAGAGGGUUACCCAUUGUUCUGGCUAUGCAACACCGUCUCUUUUCUUGCAUCCCUUAGCACGAUCUUCUUGCUCAUGAGUGGCUUGCCCUUGGGGAAGAAGGUUUUGAUGAGGGUUCUGACGGGCGCAAUGUGGGUGACCAUCACUUUCAUGGCAAUGACUUACCUCGAAUCCAUGAUGGCCAUCUCGUUCGUACACAGGGAACCUAAACAUGUGAGCCCGUUCACAGAGGAAUGGUACUCCGAGGAUGGGGGGUCGAUUACAGUGGUUAUGUACUCCUUGUUUGUUUGGCUCGGCAUUGUAGCCAUUGUUUUUCUAGUUCACACUGUUCGAUUCCUUGCGUUCGUCUUCCAGAAUGUGAAAGAUCCGCAAAAGCUCAAGAAGUGGAUAUCAGGGCGUGUGAGUUGGUGCAGAUCUAGGGGCAAUAUCAAGAUCUAGUGUAUUCAUCUGGUGGGACAAAGGAUUACUGCAUAUUCUCGAUCCCUAUGUUCUUUCUAACUUAAUCCCUAUGUCAUAAGAUCAUUCUGAGUACCGCUACUUGUGCAAACGAUUUAAUGUGACUACCAAACCAAACGCAGAGUCCAUCUCGCAUUAUUCUCGAGCUCUCCUCAUCAGAGAUGUCUCGCCCAUGUAGCCGAAUCUUUCUAAAGAGAAUGGGAAGGCCUGGCCACAAAGUAAUCUGAUCUACUCCUAUGUAUGCCGCAAAUUAGUAGGUAAAAGCAACAUUGGGCCAUUCCAUGAUUUGUCUCCCACAGCUUCACCAUUCUCUUUCCAAUCACACCAAACAACCGAACCCACCUUCCUCAAAAGCAUCCGCACUUCUUUUAUGCUUCCUUCAUAUUCUUCUCCAAUGCUGAUAGAUGUCCAAAAGCCAUCUGAUCAAAGCUAGUGAGCCUCUCUGUCUGAUUAAUUUCAACCCCAUGGCUCCAAACCAUAAUGCAGUCACACCAUUUACAUGAACUUCCUACACUAUCUUCCCUGCCUAAUUUUAAGGAAGUGAUACACAGACUUCACAGAAAACACUCCAUUAUUAUUCGCAGGCUGUGCAAGCUGAUGCUCCCUCAAAGGUCGGAAUCGAAGCAGCGCUAGUUUCAUAUGUAAUGUUCACAUACCAGAAAGUGUGAUUCUUCCAAAACAACAUUCAAGCUCUGAUAUUAUGACUACUUGCCAAACGAUCUUUUCUUCUUUAUAUAGACAAGUAGAGGAGGGACAAGGCAGAAAUGCAACCUAAAAUCUCAUGGACCGAUCUGUUGUUCCUAAUCACAAGACAAAGGAUUGGUAGCAUAUCAUCCCACACAAAACACAGAAAAUUACUGUUCAUAUGCAAACUGAUUACAGGGGAUGGAAGAACCGAGAGACGAAAACAAUUGCAUAGACAAAUCUUUUGUACCUUAGACUGGUGAUAAUCAGUCCAUAACAAUUGGGAAGGUAAGAGAGCUUUCAAAGGCAGGAGCCAGUACUUUCAUCUGUCUUAGACGACCACAAUGUGUGGUUUCAAUCAGCAAGCCCACAACUAACGCAGCGCAUAAACUUCACUCAACCCAGCUUGGCAAAACAAGCCUCUUUCAAGAAGUUCCGUUUCGCACCCCCAACUUAAUGCAACCUGACGGUUUUGUUCGGGAGAAUAAUAUGGGGGCUGCGUAUGUGUGGGUUAAGAGCCGCCAAUUCCUUCCAUUUAGCACCAGUUCCAUGAACACGGGAUGAGAUGCUCCACAAUGUGUCACCAGGCUGUGCCUUAGUUGUUGCUGAGGCAGUAGAUAUAGAAGAAGCAGUCUUUGACUUCAGAAACGGAUGCUUAUUGCUCUUUCCCAUUCCAUUAGCGAGCAACCAACGGGAACCAGAUUGUUGCUGGUUUGAACUUCCCCGGACCUUUCUCUUCCCAGGAUCAGUCUUGAGGCCAGCAACAUGGACUUCAGUAAUCUUGCACUGGGGAAUUUAUCCCCAAAAUUUUUUGUGCAGAUGAUAAAAGUUCUUGCUUACAAUCCCAGGACUCGAGGUGAACACACCAAACUCAAGUGGCCUCAUAGCACUAGACAUUCUUGAGCAGGGUCCAGGAGGCUCGAGAGUUCUUGAAAUUGAGACAUCCCUUCAAAGUUCAGGAGCUUCACUCUCCAGAGACAUCCAAUCAGUCCCAUAUCGCUAUGAUCCAGUUCUUCACCCACCACCAAGAAUGACCUCCUACAACACCACCUCAAGAUCACCUAAAAACUCCCCAUCACUCUCCACCAAGAAAGCCCCGUCAAAGAAACGGAGUACUUUAAGGAAACCCCUAUCAAAGAAACUGAGUGCUCUAAGAAGACCCCCGGUGGAAGCCGAUUGACUGAGCCAGGAGAGAUUCACUAAUGGUGGUCGCUUCGCUGCUAGUGACGGUGGCGUUCCAAGCUGCGACCAUGCCGCCGGGAGGCGUCUGGCAGGAAGACUACAAGGUUGAUGCCAACGGCAACCCAGUGAAGGAACCGCACAUGCCGGGCACCUCUAUCAUGGCCCACAUCCAGCGGAUCGCCUACGGACAGUUCAUGAUCUUCAACCCACUGGCCUUCCUGUCCUCCCUCAGCAUCAUCCUGCUCCUCUUGAGCGGGCUUCCAAUAAAGCGGCGACGCUGGAUGUGGACCCAGAUGGUGAUCAUGUGGCUAGCAAUCACGGGGCAGGCGAUCACCUACUUCAUAGCGCUGCGCAACAUAUCGAUGGCUGACACGUGGGGGAUGCUGAAGGACCUGACGGACGUGUUGGUGUUGUGCUGGCUGUGCCUGAUGGGGGUGGUGUUCAUGGGGAAUGUGGUGAGGCUAUGAGUGUGGGUGCUGAGGAAGUGGGGUUACUUGAAGAAGAAAGAGAAGAAGGAUUCAGAUGAAGACGAUGAAGACGAGCAUGAGGAAGUGUGACGGUCUGUGUGACAAUCGACUAAAUUGAAUGGUCUUUGUUCUAUGAUGGCGGCAGCAUGUUCAAUAUGUGUAAAAUUUGUGAUUCUGAUGAGCGGGUUCAUGAUGGGUUUUAAGGUGCUCUGUUUUCUUCUACUUCUGUUAGAUAACAGAGUAUUUGUCCUAAAGAGAGGGUAAGACGGAUUCUGCUAGAGAAAUCUUUGGAUGGUAAACGAUUGAAGAGACUAAUGUGGCGCUUGGAGCAAUCGUGCAUGAUCUCCCUCUGUAAUUUGUACAAAAUCAGGACAAUACGCGGUUAUAGUUGUCGCAAUUUCUUCUCUAUACAAUGUUGAACAUGACUGUUGGACGAGGAGAGCUUCAGCCAGUUCGGCCAGGUCUGCUCAGGAACGGCUCAGUCCUCAACUCGGCCAUCUUCGCUUGGCAUUGAAGUAUUCUGGACUUUGGUCCUCAGUUGAGAUUCAGGGUGGCUAGAAAUAAAUUAGUAGUGCAGGACGGGAUUUCCUGCAAUUAUUAUAUAAUUGUUUCCUUUGUUUGAAUAUUAUUUGAGGCUGAGAUUAGAAAUGUUUGUCCAGGUUUUCUAUUUCCUUCCCUUCCUAGCUGCUGUUAAACAUCUAUCUUGCCAGAAGUUUCUGCUAUGGAGGGAUAAAUUAAGCUGCCAUCUCAAGCCUCUGUUGCACGAGACCGAACCUCAAGCAGGUUAGAGUGUAUCUACUGUCUAUGACUUGAGAAUUCCUGAUGCAGCCCACAUUGAAGACCGGCUCUCUCGACCAAGAAGAUCGGCCCGCAUUAAAGCUCGACGAAACCGAGAAGCCAUAACGACAUCUUGAGUCCAUCUCGGAAGUUGGAAAGACACAUUGCCACGAAGACGUUAUGCUUUUACUAUUUAUGCUAAUUUUAAUGUUCUGUCUUUAUUUCUCCUAGUUUCAAUGCUCCGUCUUUAUUUCUUUGACGAUAUAAGCCCAAUUUCUUGUAGAAGACGAACAGCUUUUGAUGAAUGAAAAACUUUGCUUGAAGCAAGUAUCGUGAACCUUGUAGAGUUCAACCCUUGAAAACCUAGAAGAGUUUUCACUUCGUCCUUGAAGAGUCGGAGCUUUUGAAAUCUGCAUCCUUGAAGAGUUGCAGUCAUCGAUCUUGAAGAAUCGGUGCCCCCUCAACUUCCUUGGAGGCCUAGAAGAACAACCAACGGAGUUUCUAUCUUUUCAUAUUCUGUUCGUUAUUUCCAACCCAAUUUCGACUAUCCUACCGUGCUUAUUUCAGAAAACCCAAAACAGAGAAAUUGUAGAUCCAGAAGUCUUUGUUCAUUUGGCUUUGAAAUCAGGUCAAUCCGAUCUGUAUCGACAAAGAUACGACUGUUCUCCUGAGCUUGCACAGUGCUGAAAUUCCUGUUUGUUCUGUUUCCGUGUGCGAGUCACUCUCCCGAUCCUAUUGUUUGAGAAAGCCUACCCUAGGCUUGCAUCAUUUGGUAUCAGAGCUUUGGAGGAGAGGACAAUGCCUCCAAGACAAGCUAGGCGUCGUGGCGGCAAAACCCUUCCCCUCAAUGAAUUGCACACACUCGCUGAGAAUAUGCAACAACAAAUUGACGAAUUGACGCAAGAAGUUCAGCGAUUGAGGGCUGAAGCAAAUAAUUCUCCACCCCGUUCCAGGACUGAAGAUUCCCAUGGUGACUCUUCCUCUUCGGAGAGUGUUCAAUCUAUUCACGGUCGGAGGAAUGUUCGACAUCAUUUACAACAUAUUCAUGAGCCAGAUUGGGAAAAGGAAAUCAAGAAAGAUGUUCCAGAAUUUACAGGUAAUGAGUCUCUUGAUGAAAUUGUUGAUUGGCUAACACUUGUGAAUGAGGUGUUUGAGCAUCGAAAUGUUCCGGAGAAUCGUCGUGUUGGGAUCAUUGCUAUGCGAUUCCGAGGCAAGGCGAUUGCUUGGUGGAGACGUGAAAAACAAACUCGCCAAGCCAUUGGCAAAGCACAAGUCACUUCGUGGAGAAAGAUGGAGGGCAAGAUUCAAAAAUAUUUUCUUCCCAAAGGAUAUAAGAGAGAGCUCUACCAACGGUACCAAAAUCUAAAACAAGGUACGCGAACGGUGGACCAAUACACCAAUGAAUUCAAUGAGUUGGUGAUUCGUAACAAUAUCCAGGACCCAGAGGAUGUGCUUGUGAACAAAUACUUGAACGGUCUUCAAUUUUACAUUCAAGACGCCUUGGAAGUCCUCGACAUUUGGGACUUAGGAGAUGCACACCAACGGGCACUCAAAAUGGAGCACUCUCAUUCUUGGAGACAGCAAUCUGCUAGUAAGCCUUCUACUCAGCCCCAUGUUUCGAAGCAACCUGCUACAUCUGAAAUACGUUGCUAUUCUUGUGGGGAGUUGGGUCAUCGUGCUAGCAAUUGUCAAAUCAAUAAGAAUCGACCAGCCAGUAAAGCUUUUUGAUGAAUGAAAAACUUUGCUUGAAGCAAGUAUCGUGAACCUUGUAGAGUUCAACCCUUGAAAACCUAGAAGAGUUUUCACUUCGUCCUUGAAGAGUCGGAGCUUUUGAAAUCUGCAUCCUUGAAGAGUUGCAGUCAUCGAUCUAGAAGAAUCGGUGCCCCCUCAACUUCCUUGGAGGCCUAGAAGAGCAACCAACGGAGUUUCUAUCUUUUCCUAUUUUGUUCGUUACUUCCAACCCAAUUUCGACUACCCUACAGUGCUUAUUUCAGAAAACCCAAAACAUAGAAAUUGUAGAUCCAGAAGUCUUUGUUCAUUUGGCUUUGGAAUCAGGUCGAUCCGAUCUGUAUCGAUAAAGAUACGACUGUUCUCCUGAGCUUGCGCAGUGCUGAAAUUACUGUUCGUCCCAUUUCUUGUGCGCGAGUCACUCUCCCGAUCCUAUUGUUUGAGAAAGCCUCCCCUAGGCUUGCAUCAUUUGGUAUCAGAGCCUUGUUAAUCUAUCCAUUGGUGCUGAAAUUACUGUUCUACUGUUUCAAAAUGAUGCCUUGUUAAUCUAUCCAUUGGUUCUGUUUAUAGUGCCAAAAUAUGGUGUGAUGUUCUGCCGAUGGAUGCUAGUCACGUUAUUCUUGGUCGACCAUGGCAAUUCGAUAAGAGGACUAUGCAUGAUGGUUAUCGAAAUACAUAUUCUUUUGAAUUUGGAGGCAAGAAGAUUAAGUUGGCACCUAGUAGGGUGGGAGAUUCUUUUGAUGAUGAUGGCAAGAAUUCGAGGACGAAUUCUUUUAACGAUGGGGAGGAUGAUGCAGCCCACAUUGAAGACCGGCUCUCUCGACCAAGAAGAUCGGCCCGCAUUAAAGCUCGACAAAACCGAGAAGCCAUAACGACAUCUUGAGUCCAUCUCGGAAGUUGGAAAGACACCUUGCCACGAAGACGUUAUGCUUUUACUAUUUCUGCUAAUUUUAAUGUUCUGUCUUUAUUUCUCCUAGUUUCAAUGCUCCAUCUUUAUUUCUUUGACGAUAUAAGCCCAAUUUCUUGUAGAAGACGAACAGCUUUUGAUGAAUGAAAAACUUUGCUUGAAGCAAGUAUCGUGAACCUUGUAGAGUUCAACCCUUGAAAACCUAGAAGAGUUUUCACUUCGUCCUUGAAGAGUCGGAGCUUUUGAAAUCUGCAUCCUUGAAGAGUUGCAGUCAUCGAUCUUGAAGAAUCGGUGCCCCCUCAACUUCCUUGGAGGCCUAGAAGAGCAACCAACGGAGUUUCUAUCUUUUCAUAUUCUGUUCGUUAUUUCCAACCCAAUUUCGACUAUCCUACAGUGCUUAUUUCAGAAAACCCAAAACAGAGAAAUUGUAGAUCCAGAAGUCUUUGUUCAUUUGGCUUUGAAAUCAGGUCAAUCCGAUCUGUAUCGACAAAGAUACGACUGUUCUCCUGAGCUUGCGCAGUGCUGAAAUUCCUGUUUGUUCUGUUUCCGUGUGCGAGUCACUCUCCCGAUCCUAUUGUUUGAGAAAGCCUACCCUAGGCUUGCAUCAAUUCCAUGUCAAUUAAACUGUACAAAUUCAUGCACAUUUGAUGAUUAGAAGCACGACUCUGUUUAAGCAUGGUACCCUGUAACUUCGUACCGCCAGACAUAACAAUUUUCGCAGAAAUCUCUGCUAGACUUGAUUCAUUAGACUAUUCAAAUCAAUAUUUCGACCGAUCGGCUAGCAUGAAAUGAAAGAGAGAGCCAACUCAAAUGAUUGUCAUAGAGGAUGACAUUUGAGAUAGCUAGUAUAAUCACCUAGAGGGGGGUGAAUAGGUGCACAAACAAAUUUUCGAGAUACGGAAGCGAUUUUAGGCAAUCGAUAGAAAGGAAAAUAUGAUCAAGGUAAAGUAAAUGAUAGGGAAGAGAGAAAUGAACACAAGAUUUAUAGUGGUUCGGCUUAUUCCAAGCCUACGUCCACUCUUCCGCACUGAUAGCCCACCGGCUGGAUUUCACUAUGAACAAAAGAGAAAUUACGGCACAGCUUUUCCUUGAUUCCACAGUGUAGAUGUUCUAUCACAUUUCCUCAAGGUUUCUCACGAAUAUAGACUCUCUUUUGUUUACACGAUUAUGCUCAACAAAUGAAUUGACUAGAAACAAGGAGUUUCAGACUUUGGAAUUCUUCUCUUGUACAUCUACUCGAACGACUAGAAAGUCUUCCUUAUAUACUCCUUCAUGCCAUCAUACCCGUUGGCACUUACCAAAGGAAUUCCUCCAAUCUACCCGUUGGACGGAAUCAAUUAGGAAGAUCAUUCGAGCUAUUAAAGGAACAUGUCGAUAGCCCAUCAAUCCUGUUCGCCCAUACAAUCAGGAUCUCAGUUUCAAUAAGUAGAACCUUCCAAGUAAACUUUGCCGCCAAUCAUCGAAUCCUUAAUAUUCGAAUCAAUUGUGAUCAAAUAAGGAAUUUCGUUAUGUCAUAUCCAGCCAAGAGAUCUUCUCCAGUCGAUAAGGCCACAUCCUUAAUGAAACAUCCAGUUCUGGAUAGCCUUUCUUCAACGGAUUAGAGACUGUCAAUGAGGAUAGACUUUGAGUCUUGAGUCUGGCUGUCCGGAGGUCUUCAAACUUUAAAUAGUAGAGUUUGCAAUACUUCAGACUAGACUGAUGGAAACGUUUUGUCAACUUCAAAACACUUCAAGAGGAAUUUCUCCAACAAUCUCCCCAUUUUUGAUGGUGACAAAACUUUCCUGCAGAUUUGGAAAACUUUGACCUGCAAAACAUUUCUCAAGCACAUAUGCAUAUCUUAUAGAUUAAAAUGGCUUAAAUGAAUAACACUAGAAUCUGCAACCACAGAAAAUAGGUUAGUCCAGUAUGCAGUAAAACCAUCCAUAAGACAUCAAUAGUAGUUAAUAAUAAGCAGUCAAAUCCAAAUCCCAAAUUUAGUCCACAUCCAGACACAAGUCAAGUCAAAACAAACCACAAUCCAAACAAGCCAAAAGUUUAAGUUCAAAGUUUUUCAAGUUGCGACUAAACUCUCCCCAUUUUUGUCAGCAUAAAAAGAUUGAGAUGAAAAUGAAGUCAAGUAUUCUUGGGAAUACGAACAAGCUGAAAAUCUCACAUCGACUGAACGAUGCCUUCUAGCCUUUUAAAGUCUUCCUUCAGCUGAGCAACAUCCUCACCCUUAGCAUUAGCCUGAAUCUGAAGAGAAAGGGCUUGGAUUUGAUCAUUUAAUGAACCCGAAGAGACUUGUCCUGCAUUCUGCAAGUUCUAAACUUCACAUCCUAGUGCAUAUAUUUGACCUUGCAUUUCCAAGAGAAUAUCCAUCACUCUGCGAAAGUCUACUGAAUUUUCGGUCUGAGUACUGGCAUUAGCACGAUCUGAUGGAGUAAAUGCAGACGAUGGUAGAUCAGCAUAAUCACGCAGAUUUGGCGAAGAAACCUCAUGACCUUCCUCAGGAAACUGAGAGGCAAAAACCUCCUCUGGAUCUGCUGGGGAUCGAUUGACUCCCUCACUGGUUGCAGGAUUUGAGGUCAUUCCUCUUUUCUCUUGGUCUCCCCCUGUGUCUAUGCCUUCAGGUGGAGAGCGCUCCUCAUGUUCUCCUUCUUCUUGAUCUCUUUUCUCUUCUUCUUCUUUUUCAACUCUCUCUUGCUCAGCAUUUCUUUCUUCUUCUUCUUCUCUUUCCUCUGUUUCUUUUUCCUUUGCCUCUUUUUCUGCUCUUUCUUCUGUCUGCUGUUCUGACUCUUUCUCUGGAACAGAUUGACUGAGAUUCUUCAAAGCAGAGAUAGUGAUGUUAUCCUCAUCAUCUUCAUCCUCAACGAGGAGAGCUCUUUUUCUCUUAGAUGGAGCAUCCAUGGGCUCCUUCCCUUUCCUUUUUCCUGCAAAAGAGAAUUGAUGAGUUUUGACUGGAGUCUUCUCCUUAAAUUUCUCCAAUGCCUUGCUUAGUUCCUUCAGACGCAUCUAGGUCACCAUUUUCAGUCCUACCACCUUAUGAUCGCACGAUCGAGCACAAAGAAUUUGUGGAGGCUGAAUGUUUAGAUGUCUGAAUAACUUUGUUACAAGACCUGGAUAAGGAAGUUGUCCUCUGUCCUUCAUCACAACUCUAUACAUAUGGAACAUAACAAUGUGAGGAAGUGAAAACCUUUUCCCAGUGAUGAUGGCAUACAUUAGCUUUGCCUCUGAACUUGAGACAUCAGUCUUGGAAGUUGAUUUCGGUCUGAGGCAAUUAAUUACAAUUUUGUGUAGCAAGAUGUUAAAUGCACUCAUCCUUGAAUAGGAAAUCUUUCCCUCUGUUCUCCUGUCUUUAACAAGUUCCAAAGUAGUACGAGCAAUAGAAACUUUGAUCCGUUGAUACCUUCCUCUCUCAACUCCUAACACAUCUGCCAGCGUAUCCAUAUCCACAACAAAGUCUCGAUCUUUGACACUGAAAGAGAAUCUAUUCGCAUCCAAGAAACUAAGAUUUGAAUAGAAAUAUGUAGAUAGUUGAGGAUAGGCCUCUGUGGAGUCAGAGCAGAAUUUCUCAAGUUGAAGAUGACCAAACUUUUCCCUUAAGUUCACAUUUACAGCAUCCAGAAAGUCAAAAUCUACACUCCUAGGGUUUAUCACCCCACGCUUCAGCAAUUUUGAGUAUAGAUCCAUCUGUUCUUUUGAUCUAAACAACUCUCCCCUUUUUCCUCGAUUUUCCACCGCAAUUCCCAUUCUUGGCUGAAAUUCGCUGUAUAAUUUGUCAUCAUCAUUUCCAUCCACCGGAUUAACUCCCCAAUCACAAGGGUCACUUGGGAUAUUCGCAAGGGAUUCUUCUGCCACACCCUUACGAGCAAUUCCUAAACUUUCCAUUUUUCGCAAAAAGAUAUAUUCAUUUCCAUAUCCUUUGUCCUUAAGAAAAUCAUCCACAUAGUUCAACGGAGUACCAGUCCCUUUUAAAGCACGAUACAGCUUAUAAAUAAAAGAGGGCCUUUGAACUCUUACAGGGUCUGCAUCUUCAAUGAUUUCUUCAUUUUGAUGAUGAUCAACAUCUUGAGGAAUAGAUGGAGGAGAAUGACGCUGCUGAGAAUGUUGUGAGCUCUGCUGCUAAUUUGGAGACACUUCUUCUUCAGUGAGGUCGAAGUGCGUAGGCCCCUCACUCAUUCGCCGUGGUCCCCUGCUUGCGAUCCUCGAAGACUUUCUUGAAGACGACAUAUUUCUUAGUCUUUGAAAGAUUCCUUGCUUGACUUUCCCAAGAAAGAUGACAACUUUUUCGAAGAUUAAACAAGAGAAGAAAACAGGAAUGGAAGAUUGGUGCUUUUUAGGGUUUUGGAGUUAAGCGAGGAGAAACCGAUUAUAUAUAAGACAGUCGUAAGGAGGGGAUACCAACCGUCGUAAUGGUAAGUAAAAAAAAAUGCCUUUUAAAAAAAUAACUGCCUUUUUCGAAAAAAUAGUUACAUCAAAAUAACUUCUUUUUCUAAAGGAAAUGAUGCAAUAAUUUUGUCAAUUAAAGAUAGCGAUUGGGAUAAUCAACACGGUUGAUCAACGUACCUUUUCAAAAUGAGAUUAGAGAGAGAAUAACUUACAUUCAAAGUUUUAUAGUCUGAGUCUGAGAGUCUCUAGACUUUAACUUCUUCAAAGUUCAAAAUGUUGAGUCUUGAAUGGAUAAUUUCAAAUUGAUUUUUCUCCAGAGGCUUUGUAAAUAUAUCCGCCAGUUGGUUCUUUGAGUCAACAAACUAAAUCGAAAUUUCUCCAUUUUGAACAUGAUCUCUAAUGAAGUGAUGUCGAAUCUCUAUAUACUUUGCUCUUGAGUGAAGAAUUGGAUUUUUGGUGAGAUUGAUUGCGCUGGUGUUGUCACAUUUAAUCUCCGUGCAUGAAUCUUCAAUUCCGAAAUCUCUUAGCUGUUGUUUUAUCCACAGAAUUUGUGAACAGCAACUUCCAAGAGCUACAUAUUCUGCUUCUGCUGUAGAGAGAGCUACUAUACUUUGCUUUCUUGAAAACCAAGACACUACCCUGCCUCCAAGUAGUUGACAGGUACCUGAGGUGCUCUUUCUAUCAACUCUGCAUCAGGCUAAGUCUGCGUUUGAGUAUCCAAGAAGAGUAAAGUCUCCCCUUUUAGGAUACUAGAGACCGAAGCUUGAAGUUGAUGCAAUAUAUUUGAUAAUAUGCUUUGCAGCAGUUAAAUGUGAUUCUUUAGGGUCUGCUUGAAAUCUGGCACAAAUGCAAACACUAAAUAAAAUAUCAGGUCUAGAAGCAGUAAGAUAAAGAAGUGAACCAAUGAUACUCCUGUAUAACUUUUGGUCGACUUUCUUUCCUCCUUCGUCUUUAUCUAUCUUCAAGGAGCUUGACAUUGGUAUAUCAGACUUUUUGCAAUUGUUCAAUCCAAACUUCUUCACAAUAUCAUUAGCAUAUUUUUCUUGAUAAAUAAAAGUUCUUUCCUUCAAUUGUUUUACUUGAAGUCCAAGAAAGAAGGUUAACUCACCCAUCAUGCUCAUUUCAAAUUCAUCCUGCAUAGUCUUAGAGAAUUUCUUGCACAGACUUUCAUUAGAGGAUCCAAAAAUAAUAUCAUCGACAUAUAUUUGAACAAGUAGAAAACUCUUGCUUUCUCUUUUAAUGAAAAAAGUAGUGUCUACUUUACCUUUAACAAAUCCAUUUUCAAUUAAAAACUUACUCAGUCUGUGAGGAGCAAGCUCGAGGAGCUUGUUUCAAGCAAUAUAAAGCCUUUUUGAGUCUGAAUACUGAGUCUGGUUUCUUUGGGUCUUCAAACCCAGGUGGUUGUUCCACAUAGACUUCCUCUUGGAUGAAUCCAUUUAGGAAAGCACUUUUGACAUCAAUUUGGAAUAACCUGAAAUUCUUAUAACAAGCAAAAGCAAGUAAUAAUUGAAUUGCUUCUAACCUUGCUACUGGUGCGUAAGUCUCGUCAUAGUCUAUCCCUUCUUCUUGUGUAUAUCCCUUGGCCACGAGUCUUGCCUUGUUUCUUAUUACUUUUCCUUUCUCGUUCAUCUUGUUCCUGAAAACCCAUUUAGCUCCAAUAACAUAUUUACCUUUCGGUUUAGGAGUUAAUUCCCAGACAUCAUUAACUCUGAAUUGCCUGAGCUCUUCUUGCAUAGCUUCAAUCCAGCUUUCAUCAGAUAAAGCUUCUUCUAUGCUUUUGGGUUCUAUUUCAGAAAUAAGAGCCACAGCACUAGACUCUUCGCGCCUUUUGGAUCUUGUGCGAAUUCCUUCAUUGAUGUCGCCAAUAAUAAGAUCUUUGGGAUGACUAGACUUAUGUUUCCAGUUGCUGGUUAAUUUGUCUGAUUGAUGGUCACUUUCUUCACUUGAAUCUUUAACAGUCACUUGUUGCUGGUCCUUCAAAGUCUGAGCUAUUUUAGACUUUGUAAAGUCUGGAGUAGGUUCAAAUUCUUCAAGAUGAGUUUGAAUGGAUUCAUUUUGCAUAGAAUCCUGGAAUUUAACAUUCAUUGAUUCUUCCACUGUUUGAGUCUUCUUGUUGUAGACUCUGUACGCUUUGCUUGUGGUUGAAUAUCCAAGGAAGAUGCUUUCUUCUGAUUUUUCUUCAAACUUUCCAACUCGAUCAUUUGCAUUUUUCAGUAUAAAACAUUUGCAUCCAAAUACAUGAAAAUAUGAAACAAUAGGCUUCUUUUCUUUGAAUAGUUCAUAGGGAGUUUUUUCUAGAAUAUGCCUUAGAAAGACUCUAUUUAUAAUGUAACAUGCUGUAAAAACUGCUUCAGCCCAGAAAUGUGAAGAGAUGUUACUUUCAAUUAAAAGAGUUCUAGCCAUUUCUUGAAGAGAUCUAUUCUUUCUUUCCACAACUCCAUUUUGCUCUGGAGUAUAUGGAGAGGAGAAUACAUUCUUAAAGCCAGAUUCAUCACAAAAUUUUGUAAAGUCAUGAUUUUCAAACUCACCUCCAUGAUCUGUUCUUAUACUCGAUAUAACAUACCCUUUUUCAUUUUGAACCUUUUUAGCAAACUUUUCAAAGUGAGAGAAGGUUUCAGACUUACUUGCCAAGAAAUAUACCCAACUGAAUUGUGAGUAAUCAUCCACAAUUACCAGGCAGUAUUUCUUACCUCCAAUGCUUUGCGUUCUGGUUGGUCCAAAAAGAUCCAUAUGCAAAAGCUGCAGUACACGGUUAGUGGAAACUUGAUUUAUUGGUUAAAAUGAAUNNNNNNNNNNNNNNNNNNNNNNNNNNNNNNNNNNNNNNNNNNNNNNNNNNNNNNNNNNNNNNNNNNNNNNNNNNNNNNNNNNNNNNNNNNNNNNNNNNNNNNNNNNNNNNNNNNNNNNNNNNNNNNNNNNNNNNNNNNNNNNNNNNNNNNNNNNNNNNNNNNNNNNNNNNNNNNNNNNNNNNNNNNNNNNNNNNNNNNNNNNNNNNNNNNNNNNNNNNNNNNNNNNNNNNNNNNNNNNNNNNNNNNNNNNNNNNNNNNNNNNNNNNNNNNNNNNNNNNNNNNNNNNNNNNNNNNNNNNNNNNNNNNNNNNNNNNNNNNNNNNNNNNNNNNNNNNNNNNNNNNNNNNNNNNNNNNNNNNNNNNNNNNNNNNNNNNNNNNNNNNNNNNNNNNNNNNNNNNNNNNNNNNNNNNNNNNNNNNNNNNNNNNNNNNNNNNNNNNNNNNNNNNNNNNNNNNNNNNNNNNNNNNNNNNNNNNNNNNNNNNNNNNNNNNNNNNNNNNNNNNNNNNNNNNNNNNNNNNNNNNNNNNNNNNNNNNNNNNNNNNNNNNNNNNNNNNNNNNNNNNNNNNNNNNNNNNNNNNNNNNNNNNNNNNNNNNNNNNNNNNNNNNNNNNNNNNNNNNNNNNNNNNNNNNNNNNNNNNNNNNNNNNNNNNNNNNNNNNNNNNNNNNNNNNNNNNNNNNNNNNNNNNNNNNNNNNNNNNNNNNNNNNNNNNNNNNNNNNNNNNNNNNNNNNNNNNNNNNNNNNNNNNNNNNNNNNNNNNNNNNNNNNNNNNNNNNNNNNNNNNNNNNNNNNNNNNNNNNNNNNNNNNNNNNNNNNNNNNNNNNNNNNNNNNNNNNNNNNNNNNNNNNNNNNNNNNNNNNNNNNNNNNNNNNNNNNNNNNNNNNNNNNNNNNNNNNNNNNNNNNNNNNNNNNNNNNNNNNNNNNNNNNNNNNNNNNNNNNNNNNNNNNNNNNNNNNNNNNNNNNNNNNNNNNNNNNNNNUGAUUGCCAACUGCUGGGAAAGGAAAAUACGAUCAAAGUAAAGUAAAGGAUAGGGAAGAGAGAAAUGAACACAAGAUUUAUAGUGGUUCGGCUUAUUCCAAGCCUACGUCCACUCUUCCGCACUAACAGCCCACCGGCUGGAUUUCACUAUGAACAAAGAGAAGUUACAGCUCAGCUUUUCCUUGAUUCCACAGUGUAGAUGUUUUACCACGCUUCCUCAAGGUUUCUCACGAAUAUAGACUCUCUUUUGUUUACACGAUUAUACUCAACAAAUGAAUUGACUAGAAACAAGGAGCUUCAAACUUUGGAAUUCUUCUCUCGUACACCUUCUCGAACAACUAGAACGUCUUCCUUAUAUACUCCUUCAUGCCAUCAUACCCGUUGGCACUUACCAAAGGAAUUCCUCCAAUCUACCCGUUGGACGGAAUCAAUUAGGAAGAUCAUUCGAGCUAUUAAAGGAACAUACAAUCAGGAUCUCGGUUUCCAUAAGUAGAACCUUCCAAGUAAACUUUGCCAAUCAUCGGAUCCUUAAUAUUCGAAUCAAUUGUGAUCAAAUAAAGAAUUCCGUUAUGUCACAUCCAGCCAAGAGAUCUUCUCUAGUCGAUAAGGCCACAUCCUUAAUGAAACAUCCAGUUCUGGAUGGCCUUUCUUCAACGGAUUAGAGACUGUCAAUGAGGAUAGACUUUGAGUCUUGAGUCUAGCUGUCCGGAGGUCUUCAGACUUUAAAUAGUAGAGUCUGCAAUCCUUCAGACUAGACUGAUGGAAACGUUUUGUCAACUUCAAAACACUUCAAGAGGAAUUUCUCCAACAGAGAGCAGGUGGUCUUCGACGCAACCAAUUGAGAAGAAAACAGAAGCAGCUCGUCUAAGGGAAAAUGAAUGAAAUGGCUGGUAGAGAGAGAGGCAGCGACGGACAGAAGGAAAGGCAGCUGGAUUUCUUGCUCAAAGGGUUAGAACAAAGCUUAAAGUCCACAUCUUUAUCCCUCCCAUUAACUUCUUGUCCCCCUCUAAUACUUUCUUGAGUUAGAUUUUCCUUAAUUUAUCCAAAUUAAAGCCAUAAAUCCCAGCCCUUUGCCAAACCGAAUUUCACUCAAAUUGAACUUCAAUUUCCUCUCCAAUUAUCCAACUUGAGAUCCAAUUUCGCUGAAGAAAAUCCCAAACAAUUUUAUGUAAGUCCCUGACACUCAAAGGCUCGGCUUGGAAAUCCAAAUUUCCCUUAAUUUGGCCCAUCCAAAUUUUCGUUAAUUUUUCCGCAAUGUUCGAACGAUUUUCCGCAAAAAUCCUGAAAUCUCCGAAAAAUCUUUGGAGAAUGAGUCAACAUUCCCAAAAUAAAUUGUGACAUGACAAAACCUUCAAUUUCUGAGAUCGGGUUCAAAUUCACGGUUAAUUUCAUUAUGGCGUGCUUUUAGCGUGACCUAGUCUACCAUGUAACUUUUAGGAAUUUUUGGUGCAAUUGACCCGUAAUUGAUUUAUCUUGAAUCACAACGUACAUCUCCGACACAUUGGUAACUCUCGGUUAUUGUGAAAAUCUCAAGGUUUCAAUUACAGACAUAGGGUACCCAAAACGACAGAAAAUCAAUUUAGUCGAAUCGACCUAUCUUUGAUCUCUGAUUGAUUCUGACAGUGUCGUAAUGGCCCUUGCAAAUCAACACGGUCGAGCAGUUGAUUCUUGGUCGAAUUCUCAAGUCUAUUGCAUUUAGAUUCCUUUAAUUGCUUCCCAAAAUAUUCCAGUUAUCUCGUGAAUGAUCAACUCAAAGAAAUACACUAUUGGCAUGUCGACAAAAGGCCCGAUUUAUUUAAUUGAAAACAAAUUCUGAAAAUUCAGGCUAUCACAACUACAGUCGAGCAGUCGAUUCAUGGUUGAAUUCUCAAGUCCAUUGCAUUUAAAUUCCUUAAUUGCUUCCCUAGAUAGACCAGUUAUCUCGUGAGUGAUCAACUCAGAGAAUAGCACUAUCGGCGUGUCGACGAAAUGCCCGAUUUAUUUAAUCGAAAACAAAUUCUGAAAAUUCAGGUUGUCACAAGCAGAAUGACCUGUCUUUCACUUGAAAAAUGGGUAUAGUUCAACUCACCACCUUCUCAGGGGGGAUGGGGUGGGGACGCAUAAGUUUCAAGAGUGGGUUUCGACUCCCACGUCCUGCCAGAGGCAGGGCAAAAGUUUGAGAGUGAGUGUAGAGUAGGAGUAGAGUAGGACUGGCAAAAAAAAAAUUCAUUUCCUGAUCAAACCAAGAGAAAAGGCUCAAGCCUCAACUGAGCACAAGAGAUAUUACUAGGCAAAAGUAGAGCCCAAGUGCCAAUAUUUGGCACGAGGGACAUUUAAAUACUAAAAGUUUUGUAAUGUACACUUAAAUGUCACUUUCUUUGAAAAAUAGGACAUUUAAGCACUAACUCCUGCUAAAGGUGUCAAAAAUCNNNNNNNNNNNNNNNNNNNNNNNNNNNNNNNNNNNNNNNNNNNNNNNNNNNNNNNNNNNNNNNNNNNNNNNNNNNNNNNNNNNNNNNNNNNNNNNNNNNNNNNNNNNNNNNNNNNNNNNNNNNNNNNNNNNNNNNNNNNNNNNNNNNNNNNNNNNNNNNNNNNNNNNNNNNNNNNNNNNNNNNNNNNNNNNNNNNNNNNNNNNNNNNNNNNNNNNNNNNNNNNNNNNNNNNNNNNNNNNNNNNNNNNNNNNNNNNNNNNNNNNNNNNNNNNNNNNNNNNNNNNNNNNNNNNNNNNNNNNNNNNNNNNNNNNNNNNNNNNNNNNNNNNNNNNNNNNNNNNNNNNNNNNNNNNNNNNNNNNNNNNNNNNNNNNNNNNNNNNNNNNNNNNNNNNNNNNNNNNNNNNNNNNNNNNNNNNNNNNNNNNNNNNNNNNNNNNNNNNNNNNNNNNNNNNNNNNNNNNNNNNNNNNNNNNNNNNNNNNNNNNNNNNNNNNNNNNNNNNNNNNNNNNNNNNNNNNNNNNNNNNNNNNNNNNNNNNNNNNNNNNNNNNNNNNNNNNNNNNNNNNNNNNNNNNNNNNNNNNNNNNNNNNNNNNNNNNNNNNNNNNNNNNNNNNNNNNNNNNNNNNNNNNNNNNNNNNNNNNNNNNNNNNNNNNNNNNNNNNNNNNNNNNNNNNNNNNNNNNNNNNNNNNNNNNNNNNNNNNNNNNNNNNNNNNNNNNNNNNNNNNNNNNNNNNNNNNNNNNNNNNNNNNNNNNNNNNNNNNNNNNNNNNNNNNNNNNNNNNNNNNNNNNNNNNNNNNNNNNNNNNNNNNNNNNNNNNNNNNNNNNNNNNNNNNNNNNNNNNNNNNNNNNNNNNNNNNNNNNNNNNNNNNNNNNNNNNNNNNNNNNNNNNNNNNNNNNNNNNNNNNNNNNNNNNNNNNNNNNNNNNNNNNNNNNNNNNNNNNNNNNNNNNNNNNNNNNNNNNNNNNNNNNNNNNNNNNNNNNNNNNNNNNNNNNNNNNNNNNNNNNNNNNNNNNNNNNNNNNNNNNNNNNNNNNNNNNNNNNNNNNNNNNNNNNNNNNNNNNNNNNNNNNNNNNNNNNNNNNNNNNNNNNNNNNNNNNNNNNNNNNNNNNNNNNNNNNNNNNNNNNNNNNNNNNNNNNNNNNNNNNNNNNNNNNNNNNNNNNNNNNNNNNNNNNNNNNNNNNNNNNNNNNNNNNNNNNNNNNNNNNNNNNNNNNNNNNNNNNNNNNNNNNNNNNNNNNNNNNNNNNNNNNNNNNNNNNNNNNNNNNNNNNNNNNNNNNNNNNNNNNNNNNNNNNNNNNNNNNNNNNNNNNNNNNNNNNNNNNNNNNNNNNNNNNNNNNNNNNNNNNNNNNNNNNNNNNNNNNNNNNNNNNNNNNNNNNNNNNNNNNNNNNNNNNNNNNNNNNNNNNNNNNNNNNNNNNNNNNNNNNNNNNNNNNNNNNNNNNNNNNNNNNNNNNNNNNNNNNNNNNNNNNNNNNNNNNNNNNNNNNNNNNNNNNNNNNNNNNNNNNNNNNNNNNNNNNNNNNNNNNNNNNNNNNNNNNNNNNNNNNNNNNNNNNNNNNNNNNNNNNNNNNNNNNNNNNNNNNNNNNNNNNNNNNNNNNNNNNNNNNNNNNNNNNNNNNNNNNNNNNNNNNNNNNNNNNNNNNNNNNNNNNNNNNNNNNNNNNNNNNNNNNNNNNNNNNNNNNNNNNNNNNNNNNNNNNNNNNNNNNNNNNNNNNNNNNNNNNNNNNNNNNNNNNNNNNNNNNNNNNNNNNNNNNNNNNNNNNNNNNNNNNNNNNNNNNNNNNNNNNNNNNNNNNNNNNNNNNNNNNNNNNNNNNNNNNNNNNNNNNNNNNNNNNNNNNNNNNNNNNNNNNNNNNNNNNNNNNNNNNNNNNNNNNNNNNNNNNNNNNNNNNNNNNNNNNNNNNNNNNNNNNNNNNNNNNNNNNNNNNNNNNNNNNNNNNNNNNNNNNNNNNNNNNNNNNNNNNNNNNNNNNNNNNNNNNNNNNNNNNNNNNNNNNNNNNNNNNNNNNNNNNNNNNNNNNNNNNNNNNNNNNNNNNNNNNNNNNNNNNNNNNNNNNNNNNNNNNNNNNNNNNNNNNNNNNNNNNNNNNNNNNNNNNNNNNNNNNNNNNNNNNNNNNNNNNNNNNNNNNNNNNNNNNNNNNNNNNNNNNNNNNNNNNNNNNNNNNNNNNNNNNNNNNNNNNNNNNNNNNNNNNNNNNNNNNNNNNNNNNNNNNNNNNNNNNNNNNNNNNNNNNNNNNNNNNNNNNNNNNNNNNNNNNNNNNNNNNNNNNNNNNNNNNNNNNNNNNNNNNNNNNNNNNNNNNNNNNNNNNNNNNNNNNNNNNNNNNNNNNNNNNNNNNNNNNNNNNNNNNNNNNNNNNNNNNNNNNNNNNNNNNNNNNNNNNNNNNNNNNNNNNNNNNNNNNNNNNNNNNNNNNNNNNNNNNNNNNNNNNNNNNNNNNNNNNNNNNNNNNNNNNNNNNNNNNNNNNNNNNNNNNNNNNNNNNNNNNNNNNNNNNNNNNNNNNNNNNNNNNNNNNNNNNNNNNNNNNNNNNNNNNNNNNNNNNNNNNNNNNNNNNNNNNNNNNNNNNNNNNNNNNNNNNNNNNNNNNNNNNNNNNNNNNNNNNNNNNNNNNNNNNNNNNNNNNNNNNNNNNNNNNNNNNNNNNNNNNNNNNNNNNNNNNNNNNNNNNNNNNNNNNNNNNNNNNNNNNNNNNNNNNNNNNNNNNNNNNNNNNNNNNNNNNNNNNNNNNNNNNNNNNNNNNNNNNNNNNNNNNNNNNNNNNNNNNNNNNNNNNNNNNNCAUAAGCAGAACCUUCCAAUAAUAUUUAGGCAAUCACCGGAUCUUCAAUUAUAGAAUCAUUUUUCGAUCAAUCAAAGGACUAUGUUUAUGUCUUCUCCAGCCAUGAGAUCUUCUCCAGUUGAUAAGGUUAAAUCCUCAACGAAACAUCCAGUUCUGGAUAACCUUUCUUCAAUGGAUUAGUGACUGUCAAUGAGGAUAGACUUUGAGUCUUGAGUCUGGCUGUCUCAAGGUCUUCAGACUUUAAAUAGCAGAGUCUGCAAGCCUUCAGACUAGACUGAUAGAAACGAUUUGUCAACUUCAAAACACUUCAAGAAGAUUUCUCCAACAAUCUCCCCCUUUUUGAUGGUGACAAAACUUUCCUGCAGAUUUGGAUAUCUUUGACCUGCAAAACAUUUCUCAAACACAUAUGCAUAUCUUAUAGACGUAAAUGUCUUAACAGAAUAACACUAGAAUCUGCAACCACAUAAAAUAGGUUAGUACAGUAUAUGAUGAAGCCAUCCAUAAGAUAUCAAUAUUAGUUAAUAGAAGCAGUCAAGUCCAAGUCUAGUUCAGUUCUCAUCCAGACACAAACCAAAGUCAAACAGAUUCAAACCACAAAACAAUCCAACAAACAAUUAAAAGUUGAAUGAAAGGUUUUUGAUCAAAUCUUGCAUCUCUCCCCCUUUUUGUCAUCAUUAAAAAGGAUGAGAUGAAGUUAAGAUUGCUUGGGAACGCGGACAAGCUGGAAAUCUUCCAUAGACUGAACGAUGCCUUCCAGCCUUUUAAAGUCUUCCUUUAGCUGUGCAAUCUCCUCACUUUUGGCAUUGGCCUGAUUCUGAACAGAGAGGGCUUUCAUUUUAUCAUUCAAUGAACAGGAAGAAGCUUGACCUUCAUUCUUCAAGCUUUGAACUUCGCAUCCCAAGGCAUAAAUCUGACCUCGCAUCUCCAAAAGAAUAUCCAUGAGUCUGCGAAAAUCUGCUCCAUUAUCAGUUUGAGUACUUGCUUCGGCUCGAUCUGAUGGAGUAAAUGCAGAUGAUGGUAGAUCAGCAUAAUCUUGCAGGUUUGGCGAUGAAACUUCAUGACCUUCUUCUGGAAAUUGAGAUGCAUAAACAUCCUCUGGGUCUGCUGGUGAGCGACUGACUCCUUCACUUGCAUCAGGACAUGAAGACUUCACUCCUUUCUCCUGAUCUCCCCCUGUUUCCAUGCCUACAGGUGGAGAAGAGUGGUCUUCAGGUUCUCAUUCUUCUCUUCUUUCUUCUUCAGGUCUUUCCUCCUCUGUUUCUUUUUCAGCUUCUAUUUCUUCUUCUUCCUUCUCCUCUGCUUCUUUCGUCAUUUGCUCCGAUUCUUUCUGUGGAACAGGACGACUUAAAUUCUUCAAUGCCAAUGUAGAGAUGGUGAUGUCUUCCUCAUUAUCUUCAUCUUCAACAAGGAGAGCUCUUCUUCUCUUGGAUGGAGCAACCAUGGGCUCCUUCCCUUUUCUUUUAGCUGCAGAAGAUAUUUGAUGAGAUUUUGCAGGAGUCUUCUCCUUGAAUUUCUCCAACUACUUGCUCAGUUCCUUCAGACGCAUUUUGGUCACCAUUUUCAAACCUACCACCAUAUGAUCGCAUGGUCGAACACAAAAGAUUUGUGGAGGCUGAAUAUUCAGAUGUCUGAAUAACUUCGUAACAAGGCUUGGGUAAGGGAGUUGACCUCUGUCCUUCAUCAUUGCUCUAUACAUGUGAAACAUCACAGUGUGAGGGAGAGAAAACCUUUUUCCAAAGAGAAUAGCAUACAUCAGCUUGGCCUCUGAACUUGAAACAUCAGUCUUGGAAGUUGAUUUUGUUAGGGAAAUCCCUUAUGAUGUUUUGAAGAUGACAAAAUAAAUCAAAGGCUACUAACAUAUUUGAUGGUUGAGUAAUAGGCCAUGCAGAUGUUAGAACAUGUAGAGGAUAUUAUCAAAGUCUGAAGAAUGUCAGACUCAAGACUCAAAGUCUAAAGACUGUCAGACUCAAGACUCAAAGUCUGAAGACUGCUAGACUCAAGACUCAAAGUCUGAAGACUGCCAGACUUUAGUAUCAAAGUCUAUUCUACAUCAGAAGUCUGUUCACUCUGACUAAUUCCAGAUUGAACGUGAAUGAUAAACCAGAAGACAGACUCUAUGCUGAAGCUGAACCAGAAGACAGACUCUAUGCUGAAGCUGAACUGGGUACAGACUCAGAUUGUAAAGUCUACAGACUCAUAUUGUAAAGUCUACAGACCCAGAUUGUAAAGUCUCAAGACUCAUAUCGUAAAGUCUAAAGACUCAGACUUUACAUCCAGAUUCGAUGAAUCGUAACUCAAGCCCAAUCAUACAACGGCUAGUGAUCUGGUUUGGAUUCCACAUCAAGAUUGAUUUGAUUGAUUCAAUCUAAUUGAUUGAUGAUUGGAUCUUGAAGACAAGAACUUUCUAAACGAAGAAGCUUUACUUAUGGAAACCAAGAUUUCGUUUGUAUGGGCGAUCGGAAUCAAUUUGGGAUUUUACUUUUGUCACUCAACGGCUACCAAAUCUUCUAGAUACAGAGCUGUCCAAUGGGUAUAUUGGAAGACGAUUCUCCGGGAUACUGUCCAACGGUAGUUUGGAAGUGGAGGAGUAUUUAAGAAGAUGAAGGACCGAUGAGCAAGUAAGAGACGGAGCGUAGAAUUUAUAAUUCCAAAGUCUGAGCGACUUUAGAUCAUAUACUUGUCUCUUGAGAGCUUAAACGUUUGUAAUCGUGAGAGAAAUACCAAGAGAGUGACUUAGUGAGAUAGUGUGAUCUACUAAGUAUUUGCACUCGGAGUUGUAAUCUCUUGUUGAUUGCAUAGUGGAAUCCAGCCAAGAAGGCUGUUAUCGUGGGAGAGUGGACGUAGGCUUGGAUUAAGCCGAACCACUAUAAUUCUUGUGUUCUUAUUCUCUUCCCUAACUCCUUUAUUUUGUUCAUACUAGCUCUCUCAGAUUUCGGUCGGAGGCAAUUAAUCACAAUCUUGUGAAGCAAGAUGUUGAAUGCACCCAUCCUUAAGGAGGUGAUCUUUUCAUCUGUUCUCUUGUCUUUCACCAGUUCAAGAGUGGCCCGAGCAAUGGAAACUUUGAUUGGCUGAUAUCUUCCUCUUUUGACUUCUAACACAUCUGCCAGCAUAUUCAUAUCCACAACAUAAUCUUGGUCUUUAACGCUGAACGAGAAUCUAUUCGCAUCCAAAAAGCUUAGAUUUGAAUAGAAAUAUGCAGUUAAUUCAGCAUAGGCCUCUGUAGAGUCAGAGCAGAACUUUUUAAGUUGAAGAUAACUGAACUUUUCCCUCAAGUUCAUAUUCACAGCAUCCAGAAAAUCAAAAUCUACACUCCUAGGGUUUAUUACCCCACGCUUUAGCAAUUUCGAGUACAGAUCCUUUUGCUCCUUUGAUUUGAACAAAUCUCCCCUUUUUCCUUGAUUAUCAACCGCAACACCCAUUUUCGGUUGGAAUUGACUGUACAAUUUAUCAUCAUCAUUCCCAUCUACAGGAUUCGGCCCCCAAUCACGAGGAUCACUUGGGAUAUUUGCAAGGGUUUCCUCAGCCACCCCUUUUCGAGCAAUUCCCAAACUUUUCAUUUUUUUCAGAAAGAUAUAUCCGUUCCCAUGUCCUUUGUCUUUAAGAAAAUCAUCAAUGUAGUUCAAAGGAGUACGAAUUCCUUUUAGGGCACGAUAUAACUGGUAAAUAUAAGCGGGCUUUUGAACUCUUACAGGGUCUGCAUCCUCGAUGAUUUCUUCCUGUUGUUGAUGAUCAACGCCUUGAGGACUAGAUGGAGGAGAAUGACGCUGUUGAGAAUGUUGUGGGCUCGCUUGCUGUUCUGGAGUCACUUCAUCUUCAGCAAGAUCAAAGUGCGUAGGCCCCUCACUCAUCCGCCGUGGUCCCCUGCUUGCAAUUCUCGAAGACUUUCUUGAAGAUGACAUCUUUCUCAAUUUUUGGAAGAUUCCUUGCUUGACUUUCCCAGGAAAGAUGACAACUUUUUGAGGAUUAAACGAAGAAGACAAACGGGAAUGGAGGAUCGAUGCUUUCUAGGGUUUUUGAGAGAAAAGUGAAGAGGAAUCGACAGUUCAUGAUCGGUUAAAAAGAGGGAUAAACGAACCAUCAUAAAGGAAAUAAAAAUAUGCCUUUUCAAAAUAACUGUCUUUUUCCGCAAAAAUAGCCAUUUCAAAAAUAACUUCCCUUUUGAAAAUGAAACGAUGCAAUAUUUACGUCAAUUAAAUAUAGCAACAAUUUAAACAUAGUCUGACAAUCGUACCUUUUCAAGUUGAGAUUCAAGAGAGAAAGACUCACAGUCUGACGGACGUACCAAGACUGUCUUUCAGAUAAAGUCUUGUAAGUCUGAGUCUGAAAGUCUUUAGACUUUGAUAUCCUCAUACCUCAAAAUGUUGAGUCUGGAGCGUAUAGACUCAAAUUGAUUUUUCUCCAAAGGCUUUGUGAAUAUAUCCGCCAGUUGAUUCUUUGAGUCAACAAAUUGAAUUGAAACAUCUCCAUUUUGAACAUGGUCUCUUAUAAAGUGAUGUCGAAUCUCUAUAUGCUUUGCUCUUGAGUGGAGAAUUGGAUUUUUGGUGAGGUUGAUAGCGCUGGUGUUGUCACAAUUAAUCUUCGUGCAUGAGUCUUCAAUUUCAAAGUCUCUUAGCUGUUGUUUUAUCCAUAGAAUUUGCGAAUAGCAGCUUCCCAGGGCUACAUACUCUGCUUCUGUUGUUGAAAGAGACACAGUGCUUUGUUUCCUUGAAAACCAAGACAUUGUCUUGCUUCCAAGCAACUAGCAAGUUCCCGAAGUGCUCUUUCUAUCAACUCUGCAACCGGCCAGAUCUGCGUCUGAAUAUCCCAGAAGAUUAAAGUCUCCCUUCUUAGGAUACCAAAGACCGAUGCUUGAUGAUGAAGCAACGUAUUUAAUGAUGCGUUUCGCAGCACUGAGAUGGGAUUCUCUAGGAUCUGAUUGAAACCUAGCACAGAUGCAAACACUCAACAAGAUGUCAGGUCUAGAAGCAGUAAGAUAAAGGAGUGAACCAAUGAUGCUCAUGUACAGCUUUUGAUCAACUUUCUUCCCUUCUUCAUCUUUGUCUAUCUUCAAAGAACUUGACAUCGGUAUGUCGGUCUUUUUGCACUUUUCCAGUCCAAAUCUUUUGACAAGAUCAUUAUCAUAUUUUUCUUGAUAAAUAAAGGUUCAUUCCUUCAAUUGUUUUACUUGAAGACCAAGAAAGAAUGUUAACUCUCCCAUCAUACUCAUUUCAAAUUCAUCCUGCAUAGACUUAGAAAAUUUCUUGCACAUAUUUUCAUUAGAAGAUCCGAAAAUAAUGUCGUCCACAUAUAUUUGAACAAGUAAGAAACUUUUGUUCUCCUUUUUGAUAAAUAAAGUAGUAUCCACUUUACCUUUGACAAAACCAUUUUGUAUUAAAAACUUACUUAAUAUGUCGUACCAAGCUCAAGGUGCUUGCUUUAAACCAUACAGAGCCUUCUUCAAUCUGAAGAUUGAGUCUGGCUUCUUUGGGUCUUCAAACCCUGGUGGUUGUUCCACAUAAACUUCCUCUUGGAUGACUCCAUUUGGGAAGGCGCUUUUGACGUCCAUUUGGAAUAACCUGAAAUUCUUAUAACAAGCAAAUGCAAGUAAUAGUCGAAUAGCUUCUAACCUUGCUACUGGAGCGUAAGUCUCAUCAUAGUCUAUUCCUUCUUCUUGCGCAUAUCCCUUGGCCACGAGUCUUGCUUUGUUUCGUACGACUUUUCCUUUCUCAUUCAUCUUGUUUCUGAACACCCAUUUAGCUCCAAUAACAGUUUUACCUUUUGGUUUGGAUGUCAACUUCCAGACAUCAUUAAUGCUAAACUGUCUGAGCUCUUCUUGCAUAGCUUCAAUCCAGCUUUCAUCAGAUAAAGCUUCUUCUAUGCUUUUUGGUUCAAUUUUAGAAACGAGAGCCAGAGCACUAAACUCUUCUCGCCUUUUGGAUCUGGUGCGAAUUCCUUCAUUCAUUUCGCCGAUUAUAAGAUCUUUGGGAUGACUGGACUUAUGCUUCCAAUUACUCGUUGAUCUGUCUGGUUGAUGAUCUCUUUCUUUGUUUGGAUCUUCACGAACAUCUUGAAGCUGGUUUUCCAGAGUCUGAGAUACUUCUUGAGUUGUAAGCUUUGGAAGAUCUGGAGCAGGUUCAGACUCUUCUUGAUGAGUCUGACUUGAUUCAUCUUGCGUUGAGUCUUGAAAUUUGACAUUCAUUGACUCCUCCAUAGACUGGCUCUUCUUGUUAUAGACUCUGAAGGCUUUGCUUGAUGUAGAAUAUCCAAGGAAGAUACCUUCAUCUGAUCUUUCUUCAAACUUACCAACUCGAUCUUUUGCAUUUUUCAAUAUAAAACAUUUGCAACCAAAUACAUAAAAGUAUGAAACAAUAGGCUUCUUAUCUUUGAACAAUUCGUAAGGGGUUUUCUCUAGAAUAGGUCUUAAGAAGACUCUAUUGAUGAUAUAGCAUGCUGUUAAAACAGCUUCAGCCCAAAAUCGUGAAGAAAUCUUGCUUUCAAUUAAAAGAGUUCUAGCCAUUUCCUGAAGAGAUCUGUUCUUUCUUUCCACAACUCCAUUUUGCUGAGGAGUAUAUGGAGAGGAGAACACAUGAUUAAAGCCAGAUUCAUCACAAAAUUUUGUAAAAUCUUGAUUUUCAAAUUCACCUCCAUGAUAUGUUCUUAUACUUGAGAUAACACAUCCUUUUUUCAUUUUGAACCUUUUUAGCAAACUUUUCAAAAUACGAGAAGGUUUCAGACUUACUUGCAAGGAAAUAUACCCAAGUAAAACGGGAGUAAUCGUCCACAAUUACUAGGCAAUAUUUCUUACCUCCAAUACUCUGUGUUCUGGUUGGUCCGAAGAGAUCCAUAUGCAGUAACUGUAGUACAUGACUAGUAGAGACAUGAUUUAUUGACUAAAUGAAUUUCUUACCUGCUUUCCCAGAAUACAUGGAGUGCAUGGAUCAGUCUUUUGAUAAGGUAAUUUGGGUAGUCCUCGAACAAGCUGCUUUGAUGAGAUUUUGGCUAAUUGCUUCAUGUUGACAUGACCAAGCUUUCUGUGCCAUAAGCUUGCUUCGUUUUGAAUUGAGAUAAAACAUUGCGAUUCAUUUGGUUUCACAUCCAGAAGAUAAAUGUUUCCAUGUCUACGACCCAUGAAAGACUGAGUAGAGUCUUUACUGAUUCCAUAACAUAUUCCUUCUUGAAAAAAGAUCUUGAAACCGGUAUCACACAAUUGACUAAUGCUGAGAAGAUUGUAAUUGAGUCCUUCCACUAAGGAAACAUUACUUAUUGUGAGAUUUCCAAUUUUCACAGUUCCAAAUCCCACAAUACUCCCUUUGCUGUUUCCUCCAAAUGAAAAUUUUCCACCAUUUACUUGAGCAAUCUUUAUAAAACAAUUUGAGUCUCCUGUCAUGUGUCUUGAGCAUCCACUGUCAAGAUACCACUUUACCUUUUUCUUGACGGUGACCUGCAUUUAAAAAAAAGUCUCAAGCUUUCUUUGGUACCCAAACUUUCUUGGGUCCUUUGGUGUUAGUAACAUAAGCAGUAUUAGCCCAUAUUCUCUUAACAGGUUUCCAAACCAUAGGACACUCUUUUUCAAAGUGAUCCAGACUGUUGCAUUUUGAACAUUUUAGAGCAUUUCUACCUACAGAUUUUACAAAAACUUUCUUGAAGUGACUUUUGUAAAUCUCUCUCGAGAAUCUUUUCUUAAUUCUUUCUUUUACUUUAGGAAAAUCAAUCAGGGGAAUUGUUUCUUCUAUCAUACCUAGACCGGACUUAUUGAAGUAAGGUCUUUGAGCUGAAAGAAUUUUCUCAAGUUUUUCGGACCCUAUUGAAAAUUUCUUUGAGAUAUUUGAUAAGUCUGUUUUUAAAAAAGCAUUUUCUUUUAAAAGAUUAUCUUCAUUUUCUUUAAGAGUGGAAACAGUCAAGUCUAGACUUUUAACUCUUUCUACUAAAACAUUUUCCUUUUGUUUUAGAGCUGAGUUUUCCUUUUUUCAGUUCGGAAAUUCUUUUGAGAGAAGUCUUAAGACUAAAGCAUAAUUCAUCAAUAUAUUUAGAAACUUUGACAGGAAUUUUAAUAUUACUUGCCUCAAAUUCACUGUCUGAGUCUGAUCCAGAGUCUGAGUCUGAUUGUGCCAUCAGACAUAGAUUGGCAUAUUCAUUAUCACUUUCUUCACAUUCUGUGUCACUCCAGGUUUCGGCUUUGAGAGCUUUUCGAAAUCUUUCAGCUUUUCCUUUCUUCUUCUUCAGAAGAGGAUAGUUGGGUCUGAUGUGUCCAUUUUUCUUACAUUCAAAGUAGACUAUGUCUUUAUUUGGUUCCUCAUCAUCAACAGACUUGGUCUGCUGUCUUUGAAAGCUUUGUUUCUUUGAGUUGAACCUUCUUCCUUUUCUAUUCAGUUUUCUGAAUCUUCUUAUCAUGAGAGCAAGCUCCUCAUCGUCCAAAUCUUCUUCAGAAUAUGUAUCAUCAGAAUCAUCAUUUGAUUUUAAUGCAAUGGAUUUCUUACCUUUUGGAUCUUCAUCUUCAUUGAUCCGUUCCACUUCAUAAGACUAAAGAGUUCCAAUUAGCUCGUCGACAGAUAGUGGCAUAAUUCUUUGAGUCUCUCUUAUCGAAGUCUUUAUGUGAUUCCAAUCCCUGGAGAGUCCACGUAGUAGCUUGUUUACCUUCAUGGGAUUAGAAGUUGGUUGACCUUGAUUUUCAAGACCAUUCACAAUAUCUGUAAAACGACUAAACAUGUCAGAUAUAGAUUCUCCUGGUUUCAUUCUGAAGGCUUCGUAUUGACCGAGAAGAAUGUUGAUUCUAGUUUCCUUCACUCGAUCUGUUCCUUCAUAAGUGAUAUGCAAUCUGUCCCAAACUUCUUUUGCUGUACCACAAGAAGAUAUUCUAUUAUAUUCAGUUGGUGAUAAAGCACAAUAUAAGGAGUAAAUUGCUUUUGCAUCGAGUGCUUGUCUCUUGUUUAUUUCUUCCUGAGACAUUCCGCUGGUUUCAUCAGUUUCUUUUCCUCUUUCAGAGACUGAUGCAGUGGUAGGAGUAAUUCCUUUUUCUACAACGUCCCAUUCCAGAGGAUCCUUUGAUCGAAGGAAAGCUUUCAUCUUGUUCUUCCAGAUGUUGUAAUCCUUUCCAUCAAAGUAGGGUGGCCUGGUAUUGCUUUGCCCUUCCAUCAGCCCUGGUGCUAGCAUACUACCCAUGGAUCUUUUACUACGAAGUAAAACACUUCAAAUAAAGUAAGUACACAGGCUCUGAUACCAAUUGAUAUUGCUAGUAUGAGUACCUAGAGGGGGGUGAAUAGGUAUAUAAAGAAUUUUUCUCAAGCAAUUGCACAAUACUAGACAGUUGAAGGAAACGAUAAUCAAAGUAAGACUGAGAGAAGAGAAAAUUUAACACGCGGUUUAUAGUGGUUCGGCUUAUAUCAAGCCUACGUCCACUCUUCUUCACUGACAGCCUAUUGGCUGGAUUCCACUAUGAACAAGAGAGAGGUUACAGCACAGCUUUGCCUUGAUUCCACAGUGUAGAUGUUCUACCACACCUCCUCAAGAUUUCUCACAAAUAUAGACUCUCUCUUUCGUAUACAAGUAUUUGCUCAAAGUAUUUGUCUAAACGAAAAGGAGCUUCAGACUUUGGAAUUCUUCUAUCGCGCACACCUUGAACAACUAAGACAGUCUUCCUUAUAUACUCUUUUAUGCCAUCAUACCCGUUGGCACUUACCAAAGGAAUUCCUCCAAUCUACCCGUUGGAUGGAAUCAAUUAGGAAGAUUGUUCAAGCUAUUAAAGGAACGUGUUGAUAGCCCAUCAAUCCUGUUCGCCCAUACAAUCAGGAUCUCGGUUUCCAUAAGCAGAACCUUCCAAUAAUAUUUAGGCAAUCACCGGAUCUUCAAUUAUAGAAUCAAUCUUCGAUCAAUCAAAGGACUCUGUUUAUGUCUUCUCCAGCCAUGAGAUCUUCUCCAGUUGAUAAGGUUAAAUCCUCAACGAAACAUCCAGUUCUGGAUAACCUUUCUUCAACGGAUUAGUGACUGUCAAUGAGGAUAGACUUUGAGUCUUGAGUCUGGCUGUCUCAAGGUCUUCAGACUUUAAAUAGCAGAGUCUGCAAGCCUUCAGACUAGACUGAUAGAAACGAUUUGUCAACUUCAAAACACUUCAAGAAGAUUUCUCCAACACAUUAUUGGUGGGAAAAUUGUUCAAAAAAUCUUGAACUUAUUGCACUUUUGCAAUUCAGUCAUAAACCUUUCAAUUUUGUCAAUUUUGUCAUAAUCUUUUUAUCUUUUGCCAAUUCAGUCAUAAAUCUUUUCACUUCUUGUCAUUUGAGUUCAUCCAGCCAAUUUUGGCUAGAAAUUGCUGACUUGGAUAGCUGGCACUGACGUGAUAAUUUUUUAAUAAUAUUUUGAAUGUUAUAUGGUUUUUCUCUUCUUCUUCUUUCUUUUUAUUUUUAAGUAUUUUUUUUUUUUGAGCUAGGGUCAGCUAGGGUUGCCGGCAGACCUUCACUAGCAACAGGACAAAUUGUAAAGAAUGGUGAGCAAGGAUGGAGGGUUAGACAAUAAAUAAGUGGCUAGAGCAAAGAAUUUAUGGCAAGAAAAAUUGUAAAAAAUGGCGGACAUAAUAGAGGGUCUUUCUCUGUUAUAUGGUUGUAAAUUGCUGACUUGGACGGCCGACAUUGACAUGGUAAUUUUUUAUAAUAUUUUAAAUUUUAUAUGGUUUAUCUCUUCUUCUUUUUUUUUUCUUUUUUUUUUUUGAGCUAGGGUUAGCUAGGGUUAGCUAGGGUUGCCGACAGACCUUUGCAAGCUACAAGACAAAUUGUAAAGAAUGGUGUUAAGGAUGGAGGGUUUGACAUGGACGGCCGGCAUUGACGCGGUAAUUUUUUAAUAAUAUUUUAAAUUUUAUGAGGUUUUUCUUUUUCUUUUCUUUUCUUUUUUUACUAUUUUUGCCCAAUGACUUUUUUUUUUUUUUUGGUCCCUUUCAUGGACAAUUCAAGAAAAAUUGUAAAAUAAAACCAACGCACGAAAGGUCAAGAAAUUGUGAUAAAUAACCAGAGAAGGUUCCUCGAUGUUUCCACCACCGUUGCUUUGUCGUUUUUCUCCAUGUUUCAUGCGCCCGAACACUGUUUCGACUGACAUGGACACUUCGUCGAGCACCUGCCCAGCCUCGUCAAGCUUCCCGACAAGUGGUAUCAAACCAAUGGUUUAAACAGAUUGGGCCCAAAAUAUGUGGAUUGUAGUCGGGUGAAUGUUUCAAGGAAAGAAAUCCGGCGCGACUCCCAAUCGAGGUGGCAGAUGGUGUUUUCCUGUUGAGCUUCGCAUUGAGGAGUCAAGGCAGAAGUUGUAUUUCUGGCGAACUUGGUUGGGCCAAGGUGGAGAUAUGAGUGGAGAUGUUAUCAGUGUGAAAGGAUAACUUAUCAUAAAAAAAAAAACAAGUCCGACAUAGAAGGCUCAUACCUAGGGGGGAGAUUUAUCGAGGUGCACUUGUGAGAGUGUAAUGCAAAAGAAGUCCCACAUUGGUGAUAUGAUGCAAAGUGAAGCAGUCAAUAUUAUUCAAGUGGGUCCGAUAAAAUAUAUUGAAGGAUUCAAAUUUAAACUUUCCCUUGGCAAUCUCUAUAAGUAAAAAUAUCGUACUUUCAUUGCACAUUCCAACAACUAGAAAGGUAUAUCUUUCAUAAGCAACAUAUGAACAACAUCAAAUAACAAUUUAUCACAUUAACAAUUUCAUUGUUCACAUCAUUGUUAAAAGCACGUACAUCACAUUCAAUUUUAGCGAAAAAGAAAUAGUGCAUCAUAUUCAAAUUUUCAACUAAUAUAGUCUCCGAUAAAUUUGUAUAAACAUCAUAAGUUCUUUGCUUAUCUCUAGUAUCAUUCCACACUCUUUGCCUUUUCAACAUUGCGGAAGCAUGCAAAAAUGUUCUCACACGUGUUUGUAGGGAUAAAUAUACUAGAAGUGCCAAGAGUUAUGUACAACGCUCACUUUAGUAAAAAAAAAUUUCGCCAGCUCACUUAGAUGCUAAAUCGGAGAAAAAAUGAUCACUUACGUGCUAACGGCGAAAAAUUCCAACCAAAUUGAUUACUUGUCAUUUAUAAUUAAAAUUAUAAUAUAACUUGUCAAUUUUUUAAAAAAAUUCAGUCCACGUGAUAUUUCGACAUGGCAUGCUUGGCACUGAAGUGAUCGCUUUUUAACAACGACUAAUUUCAAGUGAUUAUUUUCAAUAAAAUUUAGGACUCAAAUGAUCACUUCAAAUAAAAUUUGGCACUUAAAUAAUCAUUAUUUAUAACUUUUUGACAACGUCGAUUGUGGAUUAUAUGCUUCCAUAUAUCUGGAUGUUCCAACCCUCAGACUUCCCACCUUUAAAAAGAUCCAGUGCCCCAUUUCUGACAUUAGAAGAAUUUACAAAUCCUCACAAUCGGUUUCGUCACAUCCUUAAGCUCAAAGAAGAACCCGCGCAACAGAAAAACCCUCUCUCCAGAAGCUAGAAGCUACAGCACAGGAAAAUUUUCAAAAUGGGCGCCUGAAAUUGUGGGUCCCACGCGCUCCCACGGCCUUCUUGUUUGUCUUUGGUCCUCUUGUCCGUUGUUCUCUUUUUCGCAGAGCGCAUGAGGGAAAGAGAGGGCGAGAGGGUUUUCGCUAGCUGUUGUUGACCUUGCUCCUCUUGUACGUUGUUCUCUUUUUGGCAGAACGCGUGAGGGAAAGAGAGGGCGAGGAAGAGAGGGUUUUCGCUAACUGUUGUUGUCCUUGGUCCUCCUGUACUUUGUUCUCUUUUUCGCAGAGCGCGUGAGGGAAAGAGAGGAAGAGAGGGUUUUCGCCAGGAGAAUGGUUACCUCUAGGACGAAGCACAGACCACAGCCGGUGUGGCCCUACACCCACACCCACUCGACGCGGACUCUAGGACGAAGCACAGACCACAGCCGGGGCCCUACGCCCUCGUGCUCCACACCCACUCAGACGCGGAAGUGGACGGAAUCGUGCAUGGACCCUCCCAACUUUUAUAUAGUUAACAAUCUCAAGCUUUGACACUCCAACUCCGAGGAAGUCUAGUGAAAGAAAAGGAGAGAUCGUGUAUGGACCAAAAGCUUCAGGCGAUCAACCCGAGCGAUUUCGAGUUCACCCCCAAGCUGGGAACAAUGCCAUCGAUCACAAGCCCCGGAAGGAGGUUGGUGUCCCCACCAUCGCAUCAACAAGCUUCCUCAGCAUUUGAAAGAAGCCACCGAGAGAGGAGGCUCUAUGAAGCGUCGCUUGCCGGGUGCAUCGAGGCGUUAGCUCAGUUGCUGCAAGAAGACGGACUCAUCCUGGCUCGGGCUCCUCUCACUUGCUUCGACGAGACUCCAUUGCAUGUGGCCUGUAUGCAAGGUCAUGUACAUUUUGCCAAGGUUCUUUUGGCUCAUAAAAGGGAUUUGGCUAUGGAGUUGGACUUGCAGGUAUGUUGAAGCGAAAACCUUGAUUGUGCUUGUUUGAUAUCCUUUUGUCAGAUCAAAUUGAACUCGGUCAUCCUCACAAACCAGAUAAUGGGAGGAAUCGCAACUCUUUUGAUUAGGUUUUUGCAAGUUUUAGGCUUUUAGCCAUGAGUAAAGCAAUUUAUAAACUAUAUAUUCAUGGAAUAUCUUGCUUGUCAAAUUAGAUUUUGCACAUGUAAUAGAGCAUUUUCUUUUCCAGUUUUCAUGAUCUUUGAGAAAUCAAACCCAUCAUAUAUCUCAAGGAAAUUAACAAAAUUCAGACAGAAAUCAAGUCAUAGAUUUCUAGGUUAAUUUAGCCUGAAAGAUCUUACAGACACCAGUGAAUUUGAGUAGCUUGGUCUAUUUGAUUUGAAAAUGUGAUAUAUAUAUAUAAAUCAUAUGAACGUGUCCCUCAAUAAGAAUGCUCCAUAGCUAAGCACUUCACUUUUGCAGGGACGUACGCCUCUUCACCGGGCAUCUGCAAACGGAUACGUCGAAAUAGCGAGGGAAUUGUUACAAUCAUACCCCCUUGCAUGCCUUGUCCAUGACGAAGAUGGGUGGACCCCACUUCAUCUAGCCAUGAUGAAGGGCCGAAGCAACAUCGUGAUAGAGCUGGUAAAGGCAAGACCGGAGGUGGCUAAGCACAGGCUGAGCCACGGCCAAACCGCUCUCCAUCUGGGAGUGAGUCAUAAUCGUUUGGAGGCUUUGAAAGUCUUGGUGGAGAUGGUGAGAGAUGGUGAUUUGGUGAAAGCUCAGGAUGAUGAGGGUAAUACCAUUUUGCAUUUGGCUGCAGCAAACAAGCAAAUAGAGGUAAACCUUUUUGCUUCGAAUUGCUUCGAAAUUGUGAUGACGUCAGAUAUCGCAUUCCAAUUGAACAUUUUGUGCAGAUAGAAUCCGGCUCAUUCUCAUUUCUCUAUAGACUCAAGCUUUCUGCAUUCAAACUUCAGUGGAUUUAUUGAUUGAAGUAACUCACAGGAAAUAUCUUUGUUUGUUGUUUCUUUUAUAAUUGAUGAGAAGCUCAUCUUUUUGUGCAGACAGUGAAAUAUCUGCUUCAAAGAAGCAAAGUGGAUGUGAACACAGUGAAUAGAAAUGGCUUCUCUGCUCUGGAUAUAGUGGAAUAUUUUCCAAAGGAUUUCAAAGUCAUUGAAUUGAGGGAACUGUUAGUACAUGCUGGAGCUCUGAGAGCCAUAAGAUUCCCUACAUCGACAACUCACCAAGUAGUUGUUGAUAACACGAAUGAGGAGAAUUCAACUAUUGUAGUUGACCGAGCCUCUGUAGCACAUCCCUCCACCAACACUCCUCCGGUAAAGGCGUUUCUGCCAGAGUCUUUCUCGGGUGAUAUCAAGAAGCAGAAGGAAGACAAACACGAGGAAUGGAUCGAGAAGAAGCGCAAUUCUCUAAUGGUAAUGCUUUAACUAGAUGUCUUGGAGUAGCAUUUGCUGAAAACUUAGAUCAAAUUGGGCAUGUUAUUGCAAUUAACAUCAUAACUCAUAGCUAGUUAAUUUAAACUCUGUGUUUGUUUCAUGAAAAAUGGAUGAUUCAGAAAAUACUUUUCUAAAAAUGACCGUUUGUGUUGCUUAAAAUAAAUAGUUAUGCUUUCUUAAAAAUGUUUUCUACAUAUGUACUAAAUUGCUUAUACUUAAAUAGCUAUGUACAGAAAGAAGAUCAGUAAUUACAAUAAUAGAUGGCUUAUGAUUAUUAAAAAAAAAAAAAACAGAGGGUAUUAUAAAAAUCUAAUAGUGAGAAGGAAGAAUCAAGUUGAUGAAUAUUUAAAAAAGUAAUGGUACUGAAAAAAAAUCUAACUGUGAACCAGUUGAAGGGAUUUUUCUUUAAAUAUCUAUUCUAAUAACUUAAAGUANNNNNNNNNNNNNNNNNNNNNNNNNNNNNNNNNNNNNNNNNNNNNNNNNNNNNNNNNNNNNNNNNNNNNNNNNNNNNNNNNNNNNNNNNNNNNNNNNNNNNNNNNNNNNNNNNNNNNNNNNNNNNNNNNNNNNNNNNNNNNNNNNNNNNNNNNNNNNNNNNNNNNNNNNNNNNNNNNNNNNNNNNNNNNNNNNNNNNNNNNNNNNNNNNNNNNNNNNNNNNNNNNNNNNNNNNNNNNNNAUUUUUAAAUAUUUUUCUCCUUUUCCUUUUCUUUUUCUUCUUCUUCCUCUUGCCGGCAACUGGCCAAAUAAAGGCCGGCAACCUUGCCGGAGCAUUGCUAGGGCCUUGCCGGUCGAGCCUCCCCAGCCAGGCUCGACCUCACCUUGGUUGGGCGAUCUCAGCCUCCCUCAAAUCUGAGCGAGGCCGAGCUCACCCACGGCAGGGCGACGCUAGCCUCGCCAACGGCGGGGAAUAUAAAUGUGUUUUAUUUUCCACACGUUUAGUUAUUAGAUUUUGAUUUUCUUUCUAACAACAAUAGCAACAUUUAUAAAAGGACAUUCAAAUUUCAAAGUAUCUUCAUUUUUUUCUCAUAUAUGUAUGUAUUCAUACACUCAGUUUUUUCAUAAUUUAAUCCAUGCACUCUAUUUCUGUAGAGAGCUUGCCACAAUUUUCUUGUAUUUCAAUAAAUACAGGAAAAGCGUUCAAUUGAAUUUGCGCAUUUGUUGAAAUGACUUACUUUGACUUGAUGAUCUUCAUAUUUGCAAAUAUAGGUGAAACACCAUUUCUUCAUUCGCAAUUUUAAAACUUUCUUUCACGUCACGACAGAUAAUUGCCACCGUGAUCGCAUCCAUGGCUUACCAAGCCGGCCUUAGCCCUCCCGGCGGCCUGUGGGACGACAAUCAGAAAGCAAAUAACGGCACCAUCUUAUACUACGCAGGAACACCGAUAAUGGCUGCAAACCAUCCAGAGGGUAUACUAACGUUCUGGAUAUACAACACCGUCUCUUUUCUUGCAUCCCUUAGCACGAUCUUCUUGCUCAUGAGUGGCUUGCCCUUGGGGUUCUUAUGAGGAUUCUGACGGCCGCAAUGUGGGUGACCAUCACUUUUAUGGCGCUGGCUUACCUCAAUUCCAUGACGGCCAUCUCGUUCGUACUCAGAAAACCUAAACAUGGGAGCCCGAUCACAGAGGAUGGGUCGUACUCCAUGGAUAUGGGGUCGAUUACAGUGGUUGUGUACUCCUUGUUUGUUUGGCUCGGCAUUGUAGCCAUUGUUUUUCUAGUUCACACUGUUCGAUUCCUUGCGUUCGUCUUCCGGAAUGUGAAAGAUCCGCAAAAGCUCAAGAAGUGGAUAUCGGGGCGUGUGAGUUGGUGCAGAUCUAGGGGCAAUAUCAAGAUCUAGUGUAUUCAUCUGGUGGGACAAAGGAUUACUGCAUAGUCUUGAUGCCUAUGUUCUUUCUAACUUAAUCCCUAUGUCAUAAGAUCAUUCUGAGUACCGCUACUUGUGCAAACGAUUUAAUGAGACUACUAAACCAAACGCAGAGUCCAUCUCGCAUUAUUCUCGAGCUCUCCUCAUCAGAGAUGUCUCCCCCGCGUAGCCGAAUGGGAAGGCCUGGCCCCAAAGUAAUCUGAUCUACAGCAACAUUGGGCCAUUCUAUGAUUUGUCUCACACAGCUUCACCACUCUCUUUCCAAUCACACCAAACAACCGAACCCAGCUACCUCAAAAGCAUCCACACUUCUUUUAUGCUUCCUUCAUAUUCUUCUCCAAUGCUGAUAGAUGUCCAAAAGCCAUCUGAUCAAAGCUAGUGAGCCUCUCUGUCUGAUCAAUUUCAACCCCAUGGCACCAAACCAUAAUGCAGUCGCACCAUUUACAUUAACUUCCUACACUAUUUCCUGCCUAAUUUUAAGGAAGUGAUACACAGAAUUUACAGAAAAUACUCCAUCAUUAUUCGCAGGCCAUGCAAGCUGAUCCUCCCUCAAAGGUCGGAAUCGAAGCAGCGCUAGUUUCAUAUGUAAUGUUCACAUACCAGAACGUGUGCUUCUUCCAAAACAACAUUCAAGCUCUGAUAUUAUGACUUCUUGCCAAACGAUCUUUUCUUCUUUGUCGAAUCCGGUAUUUCGGGGAUCAGUAAUUCCCUACACUAAUCAGAAGACAAAGGAUUGGUAGCGUAUCAUCCCACACAAAACACAGAAAAUUACUGCUCAUAUGCAAACUGAUUACAGGGGAUGGAAGAACAGAGAGAUGAAAACAAUUGCAUAGACAGAUCUUUGGUACCUUAGACUGGUGAUAAGCAGUCCAUAACAAUUGGGAAGGUAAGAGAGUUCUCAAAGGCAGGAGCCAGUACUUCCAUCUGUCUUAGACGACUUCAAUGUGUGGUUUCAAUCAGCAAGCCCACAACUAACGCAGCUCAUAAACUUCACUUAACCCAGCUUGUCAAAACAAGCCUCUGUCAAGAAGUUCUGUUUCGCACCCCCAACUUAAUGCAACCUGACAGUUUUGUUUGGGAGAAUAAUAUUGGGGUUGCGUAUGUGUGGGUUAAGAGCCGCCAAUUCCUUCCAUUUAGCACCAGUUCCAUGAACACGAGAUGAGAUGCUCCACAAUGUGUCACCAGGCUGUGCCUUAGUUGUUGCUGGGGCAGUAGAUAUAGAAGAAGCAGUCUUCGACUUCAGAAACGGAUGCUUAUUGCUCUUUCCCAUUCCAUUAGCGAGCAACCAACGGGAACCAGAUGGUUGCUGGUUUGAACUUCCCCGGACCUCUCUCUUCCCAGGAUCAGUCUUGAGACCAGCAGCAUGGACUUCAGUAAUCUUGCACUGGGGAAUUUAUCCCCACAAAUUUGUGUGCACAUGAUAAAAGUUCUUGCUUACAAUCCCAGGACUCGAGGUGAACACACCAAACUCAAGUGGCCUCACAGCACUAGACAUUCUUGAGCAGGUUCCCAGAGGCUCGGGAGUUCUUGAAAUUGAGACAUCCCUUCAAAGCUCAGGAGCUUCACUCUCCAUAGGCAUCCAAUCAGUCCCAUAUCACUAUGAUCCAGUUCUUGACCCACCACCAAGAAUGACCUCCCACACCACUACCUCAAGAUCACCUAAAAUCUCCCCAUCACUCUCCACCAAGAAAGCCCCGCCAAAGAAACGGAGUACUUUAAGGAAACCCCUAUCAAAGAAACUGAGUGCUCUAAGAAGACCCCCGGUGGAAGCCGAUUGGCUGAGCCAGGAGAAAUUCACUAAUGGUGGUUGCUUCGCUGCUAGCGACGGUGGCGUUCCAAGCUGCGACCACGCCGCCGGGAGGCGUCUGGCAGGACAACUACAAGGUCGAUGCCAGCGGCAACCCAGUGAAGGAGCGGCACAUGGCGGGCACCUCUAUCAUGGCCCACAUCCAGCGGAUGGCCUACGGACAGUUCAUGAUCUUCAACCCACUGGCCUUCCUGUCCUCCCUCAGCAUCAUCCUGCUCCUCUUGAGCGGGCUUCCAAUAAAGCAGCGACGCUGGAUGUGGACCCAGAUGGUGAUCACGGGGCAGGUGAUCACCUACUUCAUAGCGCUGCACAACAUAUCGCUGGCUGACACGUGGGGGAUGCUGAAGGACGUGAUGGACGUGUCGGUGGUGUGCUGGCUGUGCCUGAUGGGGGUGGUGCUCAUGGGGAAUGUGGUGAGGCUAUGUGUGUGGGUGCUGAGGAAGUGGGGUUACUUGAAGAAGAAAGAGAAGAAGGAUUCAGACGAAGACGAUGAAGACAAGCAUGAGGAAGUGUGACGGUCUGUGUGACAGUCGAGUAAAUUGAACGGUCUUUGUUCUAUGAUGGCAGCGGCAUGUUCAAUAUGUGUAAAAUUUGUGAUUCUGAUGAGCGGGUUGAUGAUGGGUUUGAGGUGCUCUGUUUUCUUCUGCUUCUGUUAGAUAACAGAGUAUUUGUCCUAAAGAGAGGGUAAGACGGAUUCUGCUAGAGAAAUCUUUGGAUGGUAAACGAUUGAAGAGACUAAUGUGGCGCUUGGAGCAAUCGUGCAUGAUCUCCCUCUGUAAUUUGUACAAAAUCAGGACAAUACGCAGUUAUAGUUGCCGCAAUUUAUUCUCUAUACAAUGUUGAACAUGAUUGUUGGACGAAGAGAGCUUCAGCCAGUUCGACCAGGUCUGCUCAGGAACGGCUCAGUCCUCAACUUGGCCAUCUUCGCUUGGCAUUGAAGUAUUCUGGACUUUGGUCCUCAGUUGAGAUGCAGGGUGGGUAGAAAUAAAUUAGUAGUGCAGGAUGGGAUUUCCUGCAAUCAUUAUAUAAUUGUUUCCUUUGUUUGAAUAGUAUUUGAUGCUGAGAUUAGAAAUGUUUGUCUAGGAUUAGAAAUGUUUGUCUAGGUUUUCUAUUUCCUUCCCUUCCUAGCUGCUGUUAAACAUCUAUCUUUCCAGAAGUUUCUGCUAUGGAGGGAUCAAUUAAGCUGCCAUCUCAAGCCUCUGUUGCACGAGACCGAACCUCAUGCAGGUUAGAGUGUAUCUACCGUCUAUGACUUGAGAAUUCCAUGUCAAUUAAACUGUACAAAUUCAUGCGCAUUUGAUGAUUAGAAGAACGACUCUGUUUAAGCAUGGUACCCUGUAACUUCUCACCACCGGACAUAAUAAUUUUCGCUGAAAUCUCUGCUAGACUCGAUUCAUUAGACUAUUCAAAACAAUAUUUCGAGCGAUCGUACUAGCAUGAAAUGAAAGAGAGAGCCGACUCAAAUGAUUGUUAUAGAGGAUGACACUUGAUGAAAGCAUGAACUUAUUCCACACGGAACAAAACAAUUUGUUCUGUCUUUCGCCAUAAAAACUGCAAUUCUCAUUCAUGUGGAAAAUACAGCGCUAUUACAUCAAGGCUGCAGAUAAAAGGUAACAUUAGAACUGUAACUCUCACUACAAACUCGGUCUCUAGCCUGAGUAGCUGCUAUCCAGUUGUCUGAUGGAUUAAUUGCUCAACUGACCCAAAUCCACUGGACAUCUUUAAAGCUUGAAGCUUUCUGUCCUGCUAUUGUUGUCAGGUUAUAGAAAUCCUAUCGAGUCGCUACCUUUGAUCUUUUAUUAGAUCUUCUACAAGCUCUAAAUAGUUCGUGCCAAUACCCCUCCUCUCUGUAGUUUUCGUUCCUUGCUCAUAUCUCCUCUCUGAGGCAUCCACCCAAAGGUCUUCCGUUUGACGUGAUCGAAACAUCUAAAACGACCUCCUCUCAUAUCAUCCUCGAUUGGGUGGCAGUCCCCACUUUUACCUGCAUUAAUUGAUUUCGAAUCUUGCCUCUUCUCUUGAAACUACGAAGCAUUCUCAAGGUGUCGUCGGUAUGAUCUCCAGGUUUGUCAAAUCAGAUCGAAGUGGAUGGAAGGAUUCAGUCCUCACUACUCCAUGAUGUCCAAUUUUCUCGAGAUUUCGUUGAGUUUCUAUAAUUUCUAGACUUACACCCUAGGGUUAACAAAGUUUUACUUCGAAGUUCAGGUUUCUGGUUAGCUCCAGCAUGGGUUUCACCUACCAACACCAUAUUAUCUACAGAGAAAAUACACCAAUUGACAUCAUCUUGAAUUUGUCUUGUCAGCAUGGACGGAUUCACCAUGGGGCCAAUGGAGGCACUUGCCCCCUUAAAGCUUCCUAUAAAUUGAAAUGGGAACUAUAAUUUUUCGUAAUCAUUUGGUGAACUUGCCCCACGAAAAUACAAGUGUGUACUUAUAAGUCUUGAUUCAACAUGGGAAGAAAGGAGACUGCAAAAUAUGCAAGUCAUUCAUUCGAUUUUGCUCGCAUCUUGCCGGAUCUAUCAAAUCAAUAAGGCAUUUUGGGUAUUCAAGGUUUACUUAACAAAGAUGAGCCUCUUUGUCAUAGGAAAAGCAAGUGUUGGAAGAAUUAAUAAAAAGGCAAAUGUUAAAGAGUAAGGAUAUUUGUUAAAUUUCAUUAUUCGACAUCCUUUUUUUCUCAGAGUUAAUACGAUACUUCUUUAAUUUUGAUCAAGUAAUUCGGAUAAUCUCCAUGUUAUAAGGGUCUUGUUAAUAAAAUACCUCAGAGGCACUAGUUAAAACCACUAACCAUAAAAAAUAAAGCGUAUCAGCAUAUGCCGAAAAUUGAGCAACGCGAAAUUUCGAAAAAGUCACUGACUUAAAAUAUACAAAUUUAUAUUUCCAUUGCAAAAUUAAUGAGGCCCAACAAGUACCCUAACUAAUUGAGAAAAAAAAAAGGUACCCUAACUACNNNNNNNNNNNNNNNNNNNNNNNNNNNNNNNNNNNNNNNNNNNNNNNNNNNNNNNNNNNNNNNNNNNNNNNNNNNNNNNNNNNNNNNNNNNNNNNNNNNNCUUUAUUUGAAUUUCAAUGCUUUAUCUAAAUUAUAAUAUAAAAGUUGGAGGCAUGUGCGUGGAUGAAAUAUUAACACACUCCCACGCGUAAUCAUAACCUUCCCACCUGAGAAAGUAUAUAUAUAGAUCUAACUUAGUAAAAUCAGCAGAUAAAUAAUUCGGUUAUGGGCUUUUGACUAAAUAAACAAAUGGCCCACUAUAAAAAUUGUUCGUAAAAUUCUAAACGCAAGUGAAUGUGUCAAACAAGUAAUAUAAUGAUGAAAAAGAGUAUCGUCCCACGGAGAUCGAUAAUUAAUAAACUAAUUAAAUACUAAAAUAGAUUAAUUCUAAAAUUUAUCUAACAUAUCAAAAUAUAAUUUAUAAUAGAUUAAAAACAAAAUUUGAAGACUAAAUGCAGUAAAUCAAGAUAGAUAUGUUAGAGCAUCCGAUUUCACCAUAACCACUAGAUAUGAAUUUCAAAUUAUUGUGGGUACAAGAUCGAUAUCAAACAUGUGAUAGCGGAAUUUCCUAAUUUAUUUACUAUCCUAUCUCUAGAUAUAGUAAACAUACUCAGUUUAAUAGUCCACUAUAUCUCUAUGUGAAUUAAAAUAAAUAUAAGUGCAUUAAAAACUAUGAAUAUUCCCGGGUUACAAUAGUUUUUUUUUAUCACCUUAUCACCAAAAGCUACACAAAUAACGCGGUAUAUCUCUAUCUAUGUUUAAUUCAUGGUUAUAUAUUAUAAUGAACAAUUACAUAUGAUCACUUUUCAAUCUCAAACAUGCACAUCAGAUCAUUCAAGUGGUGGCCAGUCACUCAAAAGCAUUAAGCACAAUAAUAUAUAACUUAUAUGAAUGAAAUCAAUUGUAAAACAUAAAAAUCAUGAAAUUUACAUCAUCAUAGUUAGGCUACAUUGUAGCCCUAACAAAAGAAAAUUAGAACAUAGUAGAAUAAGAAAUAAAAAUAUAAAGCCCCAUCUAUCCUCUGAGGAGAGGUUUGGUUUCAAAUCCGGUUCGUACAGAAGAAGUACGCCAUGCUAAUAUGCCUUGGAUGAUCCACAUCACCCGCGAGAGCAGGGGUGGACGAAGCAGAAGCAAGAAUGUCGGCUUGAGUAACACAAACAUUGGUGAGAAUCCAAUGCCCCGAAAACCUAAAGGUUCUUUCGCAAGGUUCGUCCAUGGAGGGUGAGUUAGGGCCUAAGAUCAGGCUGAAAGGCGUAGUCGAUGGACAAUAGGUGAAUAUUCAUGUACUACCCCUUGUUGGUUCCUUCUAUUCUCUCUUAGAGACAAAGCUAAGAGUUGGCUUUCUUCUCUUCCUGCAGGAUCAAUUACUACAUGGAAUGAUAUGGCUCAGAAAUUUUUUGGUAAGUUCUUUUCACUUGCAAAGUCUGCGAAGAUGCGUAACGAUAUUACUAAUUUUAUACAGAUGGAUAAUGAAUCAUUAUAUGAAGCAUGGGAAAGAUUCAAAGAAUUUCUUAGGAGAUGCCAAGAUCACAGACUACCCGUAUGGAUGCAGGUACAAACUUUUUAUAAUGGCUCUAGUACAAAUCAUUAACUACUAGUUUAAUUCAAAUUUUGAAAUCAAAAAAAUGUGUACUCGUUCUUUUCUUUUGAGUUUGACCAACUAAUAAAAAACUAAAGUAAUUUCAGUAAUUUGGAAUUUGUUAGGUAAGGAUUGGUUUUUUUUGAACUUUUUGGUGUAUUUUGUUACAUAUAUAAAUAUAGCACGACGAAAAUAGACAGAGAUAUAAAAAAAAGAAAAAAAAUGGAAUUGUUUGACCAAUAGAUGUCUUUCACAUUCAACUAGAGAAAUGAAUAAUUUUUUUUCAAAUUUUUAAUGGCAGUUCCAAAAAAAAGUACUGAUAUAUAACAAAAACGUAUUCGUAAAAACAUUUGGAAAAAGAAGGUAUAUUGGGCAGCGUUAAAAGCGUUUUUCUUAGCGAAGUCCCCGCCAUCGCAUCAACAAGCUUCCGUACCAUUUGAAAGAAGACAUCGAGAGAGGAGGCUCUAUGAAGUGUUGCUCGGCGGUUGUGUCAAGUCGUUAGCUCAGUUGCUGCAAGAAGACCGACUCAUCCUUGCAGAAGCCCUAAAUACUAUUUACACCUUUACAAUAUUAGAACCAAGGAGAAUGCUUUAAAAAAAAAAAAAGGACCGUUAUAGGGGGAGGGGUGAGAAUCGGAUGUGUUCCCAAUAAUACUCAAUUUGGCUUGAUCAGUACCAAAAAAAGAAAAAAAAAAGAAAAGAAAAAAGGAAACGAUCUUUAAUCUCCAGUUUCAAUAAUUUGAUUAAUUUAUGUUUCCUUUUUCCGUUUCAAUUAGUCGGCAGACGAAAAGGGUAUUCAAGAAAAGCUACGAAAAGAAGCAAAGCAGGGGAAAAAAAAAGGAAAGAGGAGGAGUUUGAGAAAAGGACGUAAUUGAGAAAAUCGCGAACAAAUCCUAGGUCACAUGCCGUGCCAUUUUUCACGAACGUGCUUAAGCGAAUCGCGAUCGAGCGCCUGUACGGUGGAAAUAAUUAAUCUUCCAGUGCGGCAACUGUUGUCCCUUUUGUGGAGAAUUCUGUCCACCGAAAAGCACGAAGAUUAGCAAAAACAGAGAAGACCGAAUGUGGGGGCAGGAAACAUCAAAUCUCUCGCCAACCCCGUUUCCACUUUGGGCUUAGAAGGGCGUAAUUGCAAUUUUAUUCGGAUUUUAUGCGGUGCUAAGUUUGCAACAAUUUAGGGUGAUAUAUCGUGCAUGGUAUUAUAGCACUCAAUCGCAAUUUUGUUUUAUCUUAUCUAUCGAUUCGAAUCGUAGAAAAAUAUAUAAUCUUGUCGUGCUAUUAUACUAUGUCUUAUAUGAUUAAAAACAGAAUGAAAUACACUUGAAUCCUUGCUUUUGAUCCUUUUCGGUUAGAGAGAGAGAGAGCUUGGUGCCAUAUGUUGGGAUAUUAUACGUGAAAAUGACAGGAUUUUGCAAUUUACGUCAACGCAAAAUCGCCAGAGAAAUAAAUGAGAAAAAUAAGGACACAAGAAAUUUAUGUGGUUCGGUUCGAGUAUCGGUACCUAUGUCCAUGGGGAGAGCCAGCAACAAAUAAUCCAUUAUAAUCGAAGUAUUAGAGUUUGUUUACAAUUGCUCAAAACGCUCAAGUAUUUCCCACACCUAAAUUUAACCCAAACCCAAAGUAUUUAUAAAUAAAUAACUCAUUUGGAUAUAAACUUAUGAUACACAAUUGUAAAAGCUAGUACGAGCACCUAGAGUGGGUGAAUAUGUGUAAAAAUAAUUUUCCAAGAUAAGUGUGCAACACUAAUCAACAAUAGAUGAUGAAAAGGAAGUUAGACUCUUGCAGACUAAAGGAAUUAUGAUCAAAGUAAAAGAGUGUAGAGAAGAGAAUAAGAACACAGAGUUUAUAGUGGUUCGGCUUGAUCCAAGCCUACGUCUACUCUUCUGCACUAACAGCCCACUAGCUGGAUUUCAUUAUGAAUCAAAAGAGUUGUUACAGUAAAGCUCUUCCUUGAUUCCACAGUAUAGAGACUCUGCUACACUUUCUCAAGGUCUCACAAAGAUACAGACUCUCUUUUGAGUACAAGAUUUCACUCAAUAAUUAAUUGACUAAGAAUAAAUAGCUUUAGACUUUGGAAUUCUUCUAUCGCACACACACUCAAACAACUGGAACGUCUUCGUUAUAUACUCCUUCAUGCCAUCACACCUGUUGGCACUUACCAAAGGAAUUCUUCCAAUCUACCCGUUGGACAGAAUUAAUUAGGAAGAUUUCGAGCUAUUUAAGGAAUAUGACGAUAGCUUACUAAUCCUACUCGCCCAUACAAUCAGGAUCUAGGUUUCCAUAAGUAGAACAUUACAAGUAUACUUCGCCAAUCAACGAAUCCAAAAUCCCUGAAUCAAUCUCAAUUUGAAUAACAUGUUGUAUCCAGCUAAGAGAUCUUCUCUAGUUGAUAGAAUCAAAUCCUUAACAAAACAUUCAGUUCUGGAUAAGUCUUUUUCGACGGUCUAGAAACUGUCAAUAAGGAUAGACUUUGGGUCUUGAGUCUGGUAGUCCGGAGAUCUUUAGACUUUGAUGAAAGAGUCUGCAAGUCUUCAGACUAGACUGAUGAAAACGUUUUGUCAACUUCAAAACACGCAAGGAAGUUUUCUCCAACAACACAAUUACUACGCGUUCAAGCUCAAAAUACAACGCUCUAUGUACGCUUGGUUCGCGUACGUACGAAAUCGCGUAUCUCUUCAAGCUUCUCGCAAAGGACUUGUGGCUUCAUUGAUCGUCAUUCUGCACCUUCGUAGGGUUUCAUUUUAAACCGCUUCGCUGGGAAGAAAACAUGUGCCCAAAGGUCAAACAAUUGACUUGGGCCCACCAUCACUUUCAAUUUCACGUGUAGCUUCUUUCCUCUUCUCUCAUUGGCUAAAAGGAACAAAACUUGUGUGUGCUUGGCCUCACGAGGAUAACAACUUUCAACAAGAAUUCCGAAGAAGAAAUUCAUGUACUUCAUGUAGGUAACGGAGGCUUUACCUUUUAUUUAUUUAUUUAUUCUAUUAUUUCCUUUUUUGUAAUCUUUUAUGCAAUCCCAUGAUCAAAUAAUAAAAAUUUUAUCUAAGUGAAUUGCAUUUUGCAAACAUUCAAACUUGAGACAUAAUUUAACAAUUCUCCACAUUGACUCGAUGUUUGAAGCGAAGUUAUAGUGUUCAUCAUCCAUGCUGCUCUCCCAACGCCUCGACGGGCGCUCACUCUCCACAUACGCCAAUAGAGCUCAAGUAGAGCUUGAGCUUCGUCAAAGGAAUAGACUUAGUCAUCAUAUCUGCCGGAUUAUCUGCUGUAGCAAUAUUUUUGACAAUAACAUUACUCUUAACUAAGACAUCUCGGAUGAAGUGGUACAUGAUGUUGAUAUGCUUCAUUCGCUCGUGAUAAACUUGAUUAUACGUUAAAUAUAUCGCACCUUAGUUAUCACAGUAUAUAUCCACACUUUUUUGUUCUAACCCAAAGUCCAAGAGCAAAUUUUGUAACCAUAUCGCCUCUUUCGCUACAAAGGUUAGUGCCAUAUACUUUGCCUCAGUUGAAGACAAGGCAAUGUGAUUCUGUAAGGACGCUUUUCAACUAACUGCACCAUCCACUAGCGUAAACACGUACCCUGCUAAAGACCUACAAUCAUCCAAGUCACCGCCGUAAUCUGAAUCCACAAAACCAGUGGUCUCACUACUAUUGUUGUCCCUUCGGUACACUAUACUCACGUCUGUUAACCUCUUCAAAUAUCUGAGAUCCACUUCAUUGCUUCCUAAUGAGCUUUACUAGGACGCUUCAGGUAACGACUAACCACGCUCACAUCUUGUGAAAUAUUAAGUCUAGUGCACACCAUAGCAUACAUAAUACUACCUAUGGCACUAGAAUAACAAACACGGGACAUAUGCUCCUCCUCCUCCUCAGUUUGCGGUGAUAAUUUAUCUUAAAGUUUAAAAUGCUUCGCUAAAUGUGUACUUACAGAUUUUGCUGACUACAUAUUAAAAUGUAUCACAAUCUUCUCAAUAUAUUUCUUUUGAGAUAGAUGUAAAAAUUCUACAGCCCCGUCAUGCAAAAUCUUCAUACCCAAUAUUUUCUUUGCAAUAUCUAAAUCUUUCAUCUCAAAUUCAGUAUUUAACCGUCUCUUUAGCACAUCAAUAUCAGCCAUAUUCUUAGCUGCUAUCAGCAUAUCAUCAACAUAUAAAAGUAGAUAAAUCAAAGAACUAUUCUCCAAUCUCUUAAAGUAAAUGCAGCUAUCCAUAUGAUUUUUUGAAUAAUUUUAACUAGCCAUGAAAGCAUCAAAACAUUUAUACCACUAUCUAGGAGACUGUUUCAGCCCAUACAAAGAUUUCUUUAACAAGCAAACAUGAUCUUUCUUACCCGGAAUAACAAAUCCCUCUGGUCGUCUCAUGUAAAUUUGCUCCUCCAACUCACCGUGAAGAAACGCACAUCUAGUUGUUCUAACUCGAGAUCCUGCGAAGCAACUAAGGCAAGUAAAACAUGAAUAGAAAUAUGUCUUACCACAGGAGAGAACACCUCAUUGUAGUCAAGGCCCUCACGCUGUGUAUAUCUCUUUGCCACAAGUCUCACCUUACACCUCGCUGACUUGACACCAGGAAUGCCCUUUUUUUCGUUUAAAUACUCAUUUACUUUUGACAAUCUUUUGGUUAUUGGGUACUUUGAUCAGCUCCCAUGUUUGAUUUCGAUAGAGUGAUUCCAUCAUUUCACUCAUAGCCCCUAGCCACUGCGACGACUCCGAACUAGCCAUCGUCUCAGAGUAAGACGAUAGCUCAUCUGUCUCCACCUCAUCACCUAUAGUCAAUGCAUAAGCAAUAUAUGUAUAACUAUAACGUACCUGUGAUUUAAUUUGUCUUCUCUGUCUAUCUGCGGCUAUAGUGUGUUGCGACUUUGCUAGUUGUUCACUAUCACCAUCUUUAGGAACUGCGGCCUCAUCUGUAGUCUCAACUUCAAUUACCUUCGAGGUCUCUGGAGUCUCCACCUGAAGCUCCACCUCACUAAUAAUACCAUGAUCUGUCUUCUCUGCUGGUUGUGUCACAGAACUCCUCUGUUGAAGCAUUACAGUCUUGUCAAAGAUCACAUCUCUGCUAAUUAGAAAACCGGGUGAUCUGGGAUCGGUGCACCAUAGCUGGUAGCCUUUCACCCCAUGUGCAUAAAUCAUAAAUAUGCAUUUCUUCGCCCUCGGUUCAAGCUUACCAUCACUCGCAUGAGCAUACGCAGGACAUCCGAAUAUAUGUAAUCUAGAGUAUCAAUAGGUUUCCCCAACCAUAUUUCCUUAGGAGUCUUCCACUCGAUAGUAGAUGAUGGAGAUCGAUUAACCAGGUAACAUACCAUGUUUACUGCUUUAGCCUAAAAUUCCUUGCCAAGUCCUACAUGCGAAAGCAUACAUCGAGCUCACUCAAGCAAAGUUUUGUUCUUCCGUUCUGCUACGCCAUUCUGCUGUGGUGUCCUAGGUAUUGUGCGGUGUCUCACAAUACCUUCUUUCUUGCAGAACUCGGUAAAAUCUUUACCACAGAACUCCAUGCCAUUAUCAGUUCUCAGGCACUUGAUUUGUUAAUCUGACUACUUCUCAAUCAAUACCUUAAAUUUCUUGAACUGUCUAAACACAUCAUAUUUGUGUUUCAGAAAGUAAACCCAUACCUUCAUCGAAUAAUCGUCGAUAAAUGUCAGUAUAUAUCGGGCACCUCCUUUCGAAGGAAUCGAAGACGGGCCAAGAUGUCUGAAUGAAUAUAUUCAACUGGUCGUUUGGUUGAAUGAAUAGCUGUUGUAAACUUAACUCGGUGCUGCUUCCCAUUGAUGCAGUGCUCACAUAAGUCAGCUUUCCUGUUUUCUGACCCUUCAACAACCUCAUUUCACUUAGCAUCGUCAUACCUGCCUCACUCAUGUACCCUAAAUGCAUAUGCUAUAACUGAGUUAAGUUAGAGUUUGACUCACUUGAUGAAAUUGCAGCGGUUUCGGUCACGGUCUCUCUCAGUAUAUGAUAGAGAGUGUUCACUUUCUUCCCCUUCAUCACUGUCAUGGCACCUCGAAAGAUCUUCAGUACUCCACCUUUAGCGGUGUACCUACACCCGAUGUCAUCGAGUGUCCCUAGAGAAAUAAGGUUCUUCUUAAGCUCCGGUACAUGCCUCACAUUUGUUAAUGUGCACACCACCCCAUUGUGCAUCCGAAUCCGAAUUGUCCCUAUCCCCACAGCCUUACAGACUGCAUUAUUCCUGAAAAGAACUCUACCACCAUUUGCAACCUGAUAAGUAGUAAAUCAGUUCUUAUGAGGUGUCAUGUGAUAAGAAUGUCCCGAAUCUAGCACCUAGUAGCAAUCACACAUAAAACAGCUUAUGCAUCACUAGUGCUCCCCUUAGCAACAUUUGUUGGCAUUCUGCCUAUCAGCUUUAUUCCUCAGCUUUGGACAAUCUCUCCCGAUGUGCCCCCCUCGUGACACUCAAAAUAUUCACGCGUCCCUUGGACUUUCUAUGGCGUGAUUUUGAUAUGCUGUUACCUCUGCUGCUACUAGGCCCUUGAUGUUGUUCUCUACCCGAAUCGUCAGUGCUUGCGCUACUCCUUGCGCCUGACUGUCAUCACGCAACUUUCUUUGCCACUCUUUAGAGAAUAAGGCGGACUUUACUUCUUUUGAGGUAAUUGUAGUACGCCCCUACAACAAUGAAUUAGUAAAGUGCUCCCAUGACUCUAGUAAAGAUGCUAACAACAUCUUGCCCUGUUCUUCAUCAUCCAGUAUCUUAUCGACGUUCUUCAAAUCCAACAUGAGUUUAUUAAAUUCAUCUAGGUGGGUUUUGAUAGACGUACUUUCAGUAUAUCUAAAUUGAAACAUUUUCUUCAACAUGUACAAGCGAUUAUUCAAACCUUUCUUCACAUAAAGUACUUGAAGUUUUGCCCAUAAUGUUGCGGCAUCCUUCCCCUCAACAACCUUUAUUAAGACAUCAUCCAUCAAAUUUAACAAGAUUAUGCUUUUUGUUUUUUUCAUUAGCUCCGCCCUCUAAGAGGCUUUCAUAAUAAUAGGCAACUCAUCUUCACCAUCCAAUGCCUUGACCAAACCUUGUGUUGUCAAUAAUGUCCGCAUCUUGAUGCUCCAUAACACAAAGUUGUUGCUCCCAUUAAACUUCUCAAUUUCAGAUUUCCUUUAAGAUAUAAUUGCAAUAACAGAAUUUCCAGAUAAUAAUCAGACAAGCAAAAGCUCCAAAUCACAAUCAAGAAAUCCAACUCCAAGCUCUAAUACUAAUUGUUGGGAUAUUAUACGCGAAAACGACAGGAUUUUGCAAUUUACGUCAACGCGAAAUCGCCAGAGAAAUAAACUAGAAAAAUAAGGACACCAAAAAUUUACAUGGUUCGGUCCGAGUAUCGGUAUUUACAUCUACGAGAGAGCCAACAGCAAAUAAUCUAUUAUAAUCGGAGUAUCCAAGUUUACAAUCGCUCAAAACACUCAAGUAUUUCUCACAUAUAGAUUUAACCCAAAACCCAAAGUGUUUAUAAAUAAACAACUCACUUGGAUAUAAACUCACGGUACACAAUUACCACUCGUUCAAGCUCAAAAUACAACGCUCUACGUACGCCUGAUUUGCUUACGUACGAAAUCACGUAUCUCUUCAAGCUUUUCGCGGAGGACUUGCGGCUUUGUUGGUCGUUGUUGUGCGGCUUCGUAGGGUUUCCUUUUAAACUACUUCGCUGGGAAGAAAACGUGUGCCCAAAGGUCAAACAAUUGACUUGGGCCCACCAUCACUUUCAAUUUCACGUGCAGCUUCUUUCCUCUUCUCUCAUCGGCUAAAAGGAACGAAACUUGUGUGUGUUGGGCCCCAUGAGGAUAACAACUUUUAGUAAGAAUUCUGAAGAAGAAAUUCGUAUACUUCAUGCAGGUAACAGAGGCUUUACCUUCUUCUUUUUUUAUAUUCUAUUAUUUCCUCUUUUGUAAUCCUUCAUGCAAUCCCAUGAUCAAAUAAUAAAAAUUUUAUCCAAGUGAAUCGCGUUUUGCAAACGCUCAAACUGGAGACAUAAUUUAACACCAUCUCAAAGCCAUGCAUCAGACAAGCAAAAGCUCCAAAUUACAAUCAAGAAAUCCAACUCCAAGCUCUAAUACUAAUUGUUGGGAUAUUAUACGCGGAAACAACAGGAUCUUGCAAUUUACGUGAACGUGAAAUCGCCAGAGAAAUAAACUAGAAAAACAAGGACACCAAAAAUUUAUGUGGUUCGGUCCGAAUAUCGGUACCUACGUCCACGGAGAGAGCCAGCAGCAAAUAAUUCACUAUAAUCGGAGUAUCAGAGUUUACAAUCGCUCAAAAUACUCAAGUAUUUCCCCACCUAGAUUUAACCCAAAACCCAAAGUGUUUAUAAAUAAACAACUCACUUGGAUAUAAACUCACGGUACACAAUUACUGUGUGUUCAAGCUCAAAAUACAACACUCUACAUAUGCCUGGUUCGCUCAUGUACGAAAUCGCGUAUCUCUUCAAGCUUCUCACGGAGGACUUGCGGCUUCAUUGAUCGUCGUUGUGCGGCUUCAUAGGGUUUCCUUUUAAACUGCUUCGCUGGGAAGAAAACGUGUGCCCAAAGGUCAAACAAUUGACCUGGGCCCACCAUCACUUUCAAUUUCACGUGCAGCUUCUUUCCUCUUCUCUCAUCGGAUAAAAGGAACGAAUGUCACGCCCCAAAUCUCGAGCGUGCGCACAUCCCUCGGUGGUCAAUAGAAUUUUGCGACGUUCCCAGGAUUCGUCGCCGACCCCUUUCAUUUUAUUGCACAUGCGGAAGCGAAUUAACUAAUCACUUGACAACAACAAAUAUGAGAUAGAAAAGUAGGACAACCGGUUUCAAAUCAAAUACAUUUUCAUAAACACCUCAAGCUUAUACAGAAGGUGUAUCUCAUAAGGUACUACUGAGCCACCUAUGCUAUUGACCCUUCUGCUUCAAGCUUCGGGUUCUUCACACUGGACACCUGAAAAUGGUUAUUCAAUAACGAGUGAGAUGUAAAUCUCAGCGAGUUCUUCCCCUAAUUCCUCGAUUAGUAUACCAACUCAACUCGGGAUAUCUCUUCAGAACCAUCCUACAACAAACAUGAGAUUAACAAUCAACAAUCAAUAGUUGAUUCGCAUACAUCCUUACCUGAUAUGCCAUACCCUGCACGUCAUAACUUAGCACGAUACACGCAAUACACAUGGCCAUUAGAUGAUGCAGUUCAUUAAUCAUAUACGAAUCGCGUUACAAGCGAUCUCACCUGGCCAUUGCCACAAGAACGCGUUGUCUGGGGUAGAGGCGCGGACGCACCGCCAUCCCUCAUCCUAGCUCAGUAUUGUCCUCUUUGGGCUCCGCACUGGAGUGGACGAACCGCUAUCCCAGUCGAGCCACCCCUCAAGGCUUAGUUCUCAGUAUAGCGGAAGCAUAUGUGAAACGCGUUAUCGAUUCAUGUAUACGUGGCAUAAACAGUGUGCUCAAUUCAUGCAUGACUAGGACUAAAGAUGCCACGAUUCUCAUGCGUUCUUAUACAUUAUUGUGCCACACAGCACACAUCGAUCAAUCACAUGGAUCCCAGUCAAUGCAACAUAUAACAGUCUUAUGGCAAACCGAGCAUCGUCUCGCACCAUCGAGCACGACAACGUCUAUAAUUAGAAGGCAUUCCAUAUAGGAGCAUCGGCCCAGCCUCCACUGCGAUCGGCAUCCAUUGACGUGGGGCAUUCCCAAAGGAGCAUCGACCCAGCAUCCACUGCGACUGGCAUCCGUUGACUUAGGGCAUUCCCGAAGGAGCAUCGUUCGACCCCAAAGGCUCAUGAAGGCAUCUCAUAUCAUUCAUGCAUUCAUUCAAUUUUGGCACAGUAUAUCAUGCAUUGCACUUAAAUACCUCAAUUAAAAUAGUGAUCCCGGCCUAUUUUCUUCAUAUUAAAAAUGCAUGGUAAAAUAAUCGUGUGUGGGGACACAGUCAGAUCGAACCAGAAAAUUUGUGUCAUCUCUUUAAAAUCCCAGUUUGGUAUAGUAUUUAAAAAUACUUUCAGCGUCCAAAACCUGACACUCAGAAUUUUCUAAUUAAAUACCAACAGUUUCCAAUCACUAUACAAUUGCACAAAACAUCACCUAAUUCAUGCAGAUGCCUAUGCCUUUACACAUCCAUUCACUUCAUAAAAUCAAUAUACAUGAAAUUAGACCACUUUUCAUUCCCGGGUGAACAGUGCUCGUGAACAGUAACUUGCGAACAGUAUCGCGUGAACAGUAACUCGUGAAUAGUACGUCAUGAACAGUGAAAUUCUAGAAUUCAAUAACUAAUAAAUUAAAUCCACAAGUCAUUAAAAACACUAAUUAAAGAAAGCAAAGUAUCAAGAACCAUCAUUAAACUAAAAUCGGUCUUAAUUGGUAGAAACCAGGCCUUCGCGCGUCUCCAAAUUUAAAUCUAGAAACCUAACCAAUUGAGCUCGGAAAAUUUUCAAAUUUGAAUAUGUUAUAAAUGACACAUAAAAGAACAUUUUUCAUGAGACACCUAAACCUAGAUCCUUCCAGAUUCAGCGCAGUAAAUCACUCAAUCCAGCGCCAAAAUUAGGUCCGUUCUCAGAAAGUCAGUUUUUCCGAAAUCAGUUUGGUUCGAGGUCUUAAACACAUCCGUUUGAUCUGAAAUUUGAGUAUGUUAGACUAGAAGAUGUAAAAAACAACUUUUGUGAAGGAAACAUUUUGAAAUUCGAACCCUAAGGGUCAGUAAAUACCCCUAGAAUCCUUACAGGUCACUAAUUCCAGCGAAAACUGAAGUUCUGUUCGAAGAUGACGAUGCUGAUAUCUCCUACUUCUGGGUUCCCAAAAAUAUUGAGAAAAAUAUAUGUUGUAUCUAAGGAUGUCUAAAAAAUUUCUAGAAUGCAUCAACUUCAAAUUUGCGCCCGAUUUUGAUUUACAAAAAUUACAAACGGCAAGCGUCCAAGAAUCAAUUCUGCAAAACAGUCACUGUUUUGGACCAACCCAUCCUCUAUAGUGCUAAUCUCACUCAUUGUACUAAUAAUAAUCCACUCUAGACUAUCCUUAGUCCCUACUUGAGUUAAUCUAAACUAUUAUUAAGCCUAACCAACCUCUUAAGCAAGUUUAGGCACUAAUAAAAGGAUUAGGAACUAAAAUCACCCGACGACAAUUCCGACGACAUGAGCGUGAUGGCGGUGGCGAUGGCUACUCACAGUUAUGUCCAAAAUGUCACGGAGGUGCUCGGCAAACAUGGGUCUCGAUGGAGGUGGUUUCCGAUUUGGCAAGAACGGCGGGCGGACGGCUCGUGGAUGGGUGGUGUGGCUCUUCGGCGAUGGACGGCGGUUUGUGGACAGUGAUGGCCCACGGCCAUGGCGCAAGAUGGUGGCUGGUUUGGGACAGGACAGUAGCACAUGGUGCUGUUUUGAGAGCAAAACAGAAAAGAAACUAAAGAGAAAAGAGAAGAAGAAGAGGGACGUGGGAGUGGGGGUUGUCAAGAGGAGGAAUGGGGAAAGAGGAGAGAGAAACAAUAAAGAAAUGGGAGGAAGUUGAGGGGAAAUUGCUACAGAGGGUUGGCCUGAGUGAGGGGGUGGAAAAGUGGGAAAGNNNNNNNNNNNNNNNNNNNNNNNNNNNNNNNNNNNNNNNNNNNNNNNNNNNNNNNNNNNNNNNNNNNNNNNNNNNNNNNNNNNNNNNNNNNNNNNNNNNNAAAGAACUAAAGAGAAAGAGAAGAAGAAGAGGGACGUGGGAGUGGGGGUUGUCAAGAGGAGGAAUGGGGAAAGAGGAGAGAGAAACAAUAAAGAAAUGGGAGGAAGUUGAGGGGAAAUUGCUACAGAGGGGUUGGCCUGAGUGAGGGGGUGGAAAAGUGGGAAAGAGAGGGAUAAAAAGAAGAAAGAGAGAAGAAAGGAGAGGGGGAGGAAAUUGCGUGCGAAGGAGGGGGAAAGAAAACGUGAGAGAGAGGGAGAGAGAGAAGAAAGAGAAAAGAACAUGGAGGAAGAGGACUUUUGGCCGAAGGAGGAGGAAGCGUGAAGGAGAAGAGAAAGAGGAGAGAGAGAGAAGAAAAAUAAUAAUAGUAUUGUUAUCAUUUUUCUUUUUCUUCCAAUUUCCGAUUUUUCAUCCGAUAAUUUAUUUUUCCGAAAUUUCGGUAUGUUACAACGAAACUUGUGUGUGCUGGGCCCCACGAGGAUAACAACUUUCAGCAAGAAUUCCGAAGAAGAAAUUCGUAUACUUCAUGCAGGUAACAGAGGCUUUACCGUUUUUUUUUUUAAUUUUGUUAUUUCCUCUUUUGUAAUCCUUCAUGCAAUCCCAUGAUCAAAUAAUAAAAAAUUUAUCCAAGUGAAUUGUGUUUUGCAAACACUCAAACUCGAGACAUAAUAUAACACCAUCUCAAAGCCAUGCAUCAGACAAGCAAAAACUCCAAAUCAUAAUCAAGAAAUCAAACUCCAAGCUUUGAUACCAAUUGUUGGGAUAUUAUACGCGGAAACGAUAGGAUCUUGCAAUUUAUAUUAACGCGAAAUCGCUAGAAAAAUAAACGAGAAAAAUAAGGAUACCAGUCAGUUCGAGUAUUGGUACCUACGUCCACGGAGAGAGCCAACAGCAAAUAAUCCACUAUAAUCGGAGUAUCGGAGUUUACGAUCGCUUAAAAUACUCAAGUGUUUCCCACACCUAUAUUUAACUCAAAACCCAAGUAUUUAUAAAUAAACAACUCACUUGGAUAUAAACUCAUGGUACACAAUUACCGCGCGUUCAAGCUCAAAAUACAAUGCUCUACAUACGCUUGGUUCGCUUACGUAUGAAAUUGCAUAUCUCUUCAAGCUUCUCGCGGAGGACUUGUGGCUUCGUUGAUUGUUGUUGUGUGGCUUCGGAGGGUUUCCUGUUAAAUCGCUUCGCUGGGAAGAAAACGUGUGCCCAAAGGUCAAACAAUUGACCUAGGCCCACCAUCACAUUCAAUUUCACGUGCAGCUUCUUUCCUCUUCUCUCAUUGGCUAAAAAGAACGAAACUUGUGUGUGCUGGGCCCCACAAAGAUAACAACUUUCAGCAAGAAUUCCAAAGAAGAAAUUCGCAUACUUCAUGCAGGUAACAUAGGCUUUACCUUUUAUUUAUUUAUUUAUUCUAUUAUUUCCUAUUUUGUAAUCCUUCAUGCAACCCCAUGAUCAAAUAAUAAAAAAUUUAUCCAAGUGAAUCGCGUUUUGCAAAUGCUCAAACUCGAAACAUAAUUAAAAUCAUUCAAUCGCAGUCCUGCCAUAUCCAACGCAUAUUUGAUUUGAUAGUAGGAGGAUGUCUAACAAAUUCCUAGAGCAAUUAAUUAAAAUCAAGAGCAAAAUCACAUUUAUCAUGGGGAGCACGAAUUCACGGGUCAAUUCUUCUAGAGCAAAAUAGCCGGUAAACCUACCUAAUUGUAAUUUAUAGGUGUUUGGGGGUGGGGACGGACGAUAAUUGUGCUUUAAUCCAUAUCCGAACACCUGUAUAAUUGUCUAAUCCCUAACAAUAAGGGUUUACCAAAAUUAUCCCCUUCUAAUCUCUAGCUCCCUUGAUCACGUCUUGCUACAUUAUUACUGUCCAAUUAAGGAAUAAUCAUUACGGCAGUCGGCUACAUGCACUCAAAGCGAACCCUACCAUCAUAUUCGAUGAUUGGGAUAUGAUUAUGUGCAUGCACGUGUUAUCGUUGUCAUUCCUUUUACUAUUUAUACUGAUUCCGAACAUCAAGUUGUAUAUAAUUAAAUUCCCAAUCUCAAGCUCGAAUUCCCUCUUUUGAUCCUCAUCUUCAUUUAGAUUGACAAGCUCGAGCUUGAAUUCUCUCUUUCAGUCCUCAUCUUUGUUUGGAAUAAUAUCAACCAAGUUUUGGUUAACAUUAUCACUUCAUAUUAUUAGCCUUCUUUUACUUUUGUUUCAAGUAGGGUCUCUAUUCGCGCAUGGACUACGGCCUUGCAGAAGGUCACAUUUUUCUUUAUCACGCAUAUAAGUGGGAUCUCUAUUCGAGUGCGAACUACCACCCCUACAUAAGAUCACAUUAUUAUUUUAAUUACUGUUCAUGCAUGUCAGUGGAAUCUCUACUCGAGUGCGGACUACCUCCCCUACAUGAGAUCACAUUGUUAUUCUAAUUACUUUCAACUAUGUUUCAUAUUAUUUUAUGACUGAAAUCAUAAUUAGUUUAGUCUUCAUCUAUAUUUCAUUUCCUCACCUAAUUCGUUUCUUAUUUAUUAUCAUUAUCACUCAUGAAUUAUUAUACUUGAUAUUAGAUAAUUUCACACAACUAGCAGAUUUUUACGAUUAUAUUAGAGAUAUAGAACUUACAAAGUUUUUCCACAUAUUAACCAAUCCAAACAAACGUAGAUGUUUAGAUUUAAAUCACAAUUCUCUUAAUAAUUUUCUAUAUAUAUCGAAAUCACUCUACGUUAUUUCUUAUCCUUUAUACAGUACCCCAAAUCCUAAGGGCUAUAUGGUAUCGGAGCUGGGGGAUAUAUAUAUUAGAAUGCUCCAUAGCUAAGCACUUUACUUUUGCAGGGAUGUACACCUCUUCACUUGGCAUCUGUGAACGGAUACGUAGAAAUAGCGAUGAAAUUGUUACAAUCAGACCCCCUUGCAUGGCUUGUCCAUGAUGAAGAUGGAAGGACCCCACUUCAUCUGGCCACGAUGAAGGGCGGAAUCAACAUCGUGAUAGAGCUUGUCGUAAUGUAUAUGCUUUCGAGUUUGAGCCAUACCUCUGGAGCGGAUUUGAUUUCCACCACGUAUUGAAGGGCCUCAUCUAAUAGGCUCAAUUGGAUCGUGUUGCACGCCCUCUCCUCCAUGUUGGCCCAGUCAUCGUCGGUGAUGGUGUUCGACUUGUUCAAUCUUCCCAGAAGAACCUUUGAUAAACUCGGUUGAACUAACAGAUCCUUCAUUCUUCUCCGCCAUAGUGUAAAAUUAUUCUUCUCGGUGAAUCAUUCGAUAUCAAAUCGAACAAUCAAACCUUUCCAGCCAUCUAGUCAAAAGUCACAAUACAAGAAUGGAGAACUUGGAUUGCUUCAAUACCAAUUGUUGUGCGGCAGAGCACCCUAACUAGAUGAGAUGAAAAGUUGAAAAACAAGAAUAAUUAAGAAAACAAAGAUUUACGUGGUUCGGCGAAAAUCCACCUAUGUCCAUGGGAGAGAGAGAUGAUUUCUUCUUUCUUGAGCGUCUUUAGAUACAAGAUAAAAUGCUGAAUAAAUAGAUCAUCAUAUCCCCACUUCCCUAAUCCCAAUAAGAGAAGAGUUCCACCCUAAAGAUCUUAUCAAUUUUGAAACUAAGAAAUUUUUAGUGAUUAUCCCCUAAAUAUUAGGGAUAUCAUGACAUUUUCUAGUUACAUCAAAUUUGGACUAUUUCCCUUGAAAUCCCUUGUAGAUAGGUCCAAAUCUAGGAAAUAUAUCUACAUACGUAUGGCUUGCAAGCGCCGAACCUUUCUAGACUUCCCGAUCAACUUUCUCAAGUCUCUAAUCAAUGGAAAUUUCUUGGAAUUGAAGACAACAUCAGCAAAGUCAAAGAGGAGGCCUUGUCAACUUUUCUGAUUAGAUGGAAAUUUCUUGCAAUUCAAGACAACAUCAGCAGCGUCAUGAGGCCUUAUCAACUUUUCCAAGUUUCUAAUCGAGUGAAAUUUCUUGGACUUUUCGAUGAAAGUCUCGUCGAUCUUAAAUGCAUAAUGAUCUUCUUGGUUCAAUGAAUUCGUCUUGAAUACGGGUUGCAUCAUCGUAUUAUUCCACACUCUUUACUUUUCAACUCUUUACUUUUCAUGCAAGAAUAUUCUUUAAUCCCACGCGUUUGUGUCGCUGCUUUGCUCUUUCCAGCAUGCUAUGUAAGAUUCACGUUAUAGCAUCUUAUAAAUAGUUAACAAUCUAAACCCUUGACAUUCCAACUCCAAGGCAAUCUAGUGAAAGAAAAAGAGAGAUCGUGUGUGGACCGAAAGCUUUAGGUGAUUAACCCGAGCGAUUUCGAGUUCACCCACAAGCUGCGAACAAUGCCAUCGAUCACAAGCCCAAGAAGAAGGUCGCCAUCCGCGCAGUUGCAUCAACAAGCUUCCUUAGCAUCUGAAAGAACACGCCGAGAGAAGAGGCUCUAUGAAGCAUCGCUUGGCGGGUGUGUCGAGUCGUUAGCUCAGUUGCUGCAAGAAGACCGACUCAUCCUGGCUCGGGCUUCUGUCACUUGCUUCAACGAGACACCAUUGCAUGUGGCCUGCAUGCUCGGUCAUGUACCCUUUGCCAAGGCUCUUUUGGCUCAUAAAAGGGAUUUGGCUAUGGAGUUGGACUCGCAGGUAUGUUGAAGCGAAAACCUUGGUUGUGGUUGUUUGAUAUUAGACUAUCUUGCUUGUCAAAUUAGAUUUUGCACAUGUAAUGUAGUAUUUUGUUUUCCAGUUUUCAUGAUCCAUGAGAAAUCAAACCCAUCAUAUGUCUCAAGGAAAUUAACAAAAUUCAGACAGAAAUCAAGUCAUGGGUUUCUAGGUUAAUUCAGCCUAAAAAAUCUUACAGACACUAGUGAAUUUGAGCAGCUCGGUCUAUUUGAUUUGAAAAUGCAAUAUAUAUAAAUCACAUGAACGUGUCCCUCGAUAAGAUUGCUCCAUUAUCAAGCACUUUACCUUUGUAGGGCCGUACGCCUCUUCACUUGGCGUUUGCGAACGGAUAUGUCGAAAUAGCGAGGGAACUGUUACAAUUAGAGCCUCGUGCAUGCCUUGUCCAUGACGAAGAUGGGAGGACCCCACUUCAUCUAGCCACGAUGAAGGGCCGAAUCAACAUCGUGAAAGAGCUGGUGAAGGCAAGUCCGGAGGUGGUGAGAUAUGGUGAUUUGGUGAAUGCUCAAGAUGAUGAGGGUAAUACCAUUUUGCAUUUGGCCGCAGCAAACAAGCAAAUAGAGGUAAUCCUUUUUGCUUUGAAUUGCUUCGAAAUUGUGACGAUAAAAUCCGGCUUAUUCUCAUUUUUCUAUAGACUCAAGCUUUCUGCAUUCAAACUUCAGUGGAUUUAUCGAUUGAUAUAGGAAAUAUCUUUGUUUGUUGUUUCUUUUAUAAUUGAUAAGAAGCUCAUCCUUUUGUGCAGACAGUGAAAUGUCUGCUUCAAAGAAGCGAAGUGGAUGUGAACAUAGAGAAUAGAAAUGGCUUCUCUCCUUUGGAUAUAGUGGAAUAUUUUCCAAAGGAUUUCAAAGUCAUUGUAUUGAGAGAACUGUUAGUACAUGCUGGAGCUCUGAGAGCCAUAAGAUUCCCUGCAUCGACAACUCACCAAGCAAUUGUUGAUAACACAAAUGAGGAGAAUUCAACUGUUGUAGUUGACCUAGCAUCUGUAGCACCUCCCUCCACCAAUACUCCUCCAGUAAAGGCGUUUCCGCCAGAGUCUUUCUCGGGUGAUAUCAGUAAGCAGAAGGAAGACAAACAUGAGGAAAGGAUCGAGAAGAUGCGCAAUUCUCUAAUGGUAAUGUUUUAGCUAGAUGUCUUGGAGUAGCAUUUGCUGAAAACUUAGAUCAUAUUGAUCAUAGCUCACAGCUAAUUAAAUCGAACUCUUUGUUUCUUUCAUGAAAAAUGGAUGAUUAAGAAAUUAUUUUCCUAAAAAUGAUCAUUUGUGUCGCUUAAAAUAAAUAGUUAUGCUUUCUUAAAAAUAUUUUCUACAUAUGUACUAAAUUGCUCAUAAUUAAAUAGCUAUGUAGAGAAAGAAGAUGAGUAGUUACAAUAAUAGAUGGCUUAUGAUUAAAAAAGAAAAAAACAGAGGGUAAUAUAAGAAAUCUAAUAAUGAGAAGAGAUGAAACAAGUUGAUGAAUAUUUAAGAAAGUAAUGGUACUCAAGAAUCUAAAUGUGGAGCAAUUGGGUGAUUUUCUUCAAAUAUCUUUACUAAUACAUAAAGUAAAGAGGAUUUCUAAAAGACUCAAUCUUUUGUCUUCUCCUAAUAUUCUCAACGACUUGGAGUCUGUUUGGUAACAAUUUUGUUUUCAAGAACAAUUUCUAUUUAUAAAUGAUGUUUUUUUUUUUUUUUGUUCUUUGAAUGAGUUUUUGAGUAACUAUCCAAAAUUUCUAUUCUCGGUAUAGAAAUGCGUUUGGUAAGACUUUCAAUUCUUUUGUGAUUUAGAAUUUCUUUUAAUUUCUUUAAUAAGUUUAUUAUAUAUAUAUAUAUAUAUAUAUAUAUUUUCCUUUUUCUUCUUCUCCUUCUUCCUCUUUGGCUGGUUGCCACCGACCGGCCAGAUGAGGGUCAGCAACCUCGUUGGAGCAUUGCCCUGACCCCUGGCAAGGCCGAGCAUUGCCAGCUGAGCCUCAUCGGCUACUGGGUGAGCUCGGCCUCGCUCAGACCUUGCCAACUUGGCAAGCCUCAUCGAUGGUUGGAAUAUAAGUGUAUUUUAUUUUCCACACAUUUAGUUAUUGAUUUUGAUUUUCUUUCUAACAACAAUAGCAACCUUUAUAAAAAGUUGUUCAAAUUUCGAAAUAUCUUCAUUUUUUUUCUCAUAUAUGUAUAUAUUCAUACACUUAGUUUUUUCACAAUUUAAUCCAUGAGCUCUAUUUUUGUAGAGAGCUCGCUACAAUUUUCUAGUAUUUACAUAAAUAUAGGAAAAGCCAUCAAUUGAAUUUGUGCAUUUGUUGGAAUGACUAACUUUGACUCGAUGAUCUUCGUAUGUAUAAAUAUAGUUGAAACACUAUUUCUUCAUUCACAUACUAAAACUUUCUUUCACAUCACGACAGGUAACUGCCACGGUGAUCGCAGCCAUGGCUUACCAAGCCGGCAUUAGCCCUCCUUGCGGCGUGUGGGACAUCGAUCAGAAAGACAACCAAGACAAGAUCUUAUACUUGGCAGGAACAUCGAUAAUGGCCGCAAACGAUCCAAAGGGUUACUCAGUGUUCUUGACAUACAACACCAUCUCUUUUCUUGCAUCCCUUAGCACGAUCUUCUUGCUCAUAAGUGGCUUCCCCUUGGGGAAGAAGGUUCUGACGAGGAUUCUGAUGGCCACAAUGUGGGUGACCAUCAUUUUCACGGCGCUGACUUACCUCCGGUCCAUGCUGGCCUUCUCGCACGGGCACAGGAAACCUGAAGACGCCACCCAAGCACCCGCCAAAGCACCCACCCACCGUAUGCCGUCCGACAGUAUCCCUUUGGCUGUGCCCUUCAUGUUUGUUUUUCUCUGCGCUGUAGCCAUUCUUUUUCUAUUUUACACCGUUCGAUACCUCCGAAAGAUCCGCAAAAGCUCAAGAAUUGGACAUCAGGAUGUGUGAGUUGGUGCAGAUCUAGGGGCAAUAUCAAGAUCUAGUAUAUUCAUCUGGUGGGACAAAGGAUUACUGCAUAGUCUUGAUGCCUAUGUUCUUUGUAACUCAAUCCUUAUGUCAUAAGAUCAUUCUGAGUACCGCCAGUUGUGCAAACGAUUUAAUGAGACUACUAAACCAAAUGCAGAGUCCAUCCCGCAUUAUUCUCGAGCUCUCCUCAUCAGAGAUGUCUCGCCCGCGUAGCCAAAUCUUUCUAAAGAGAAUGGGAAGGCCUGGCCACAAAGUAAUCUGAUCUACUCCUAUGUAUGCCGCAGAUAACUAGGUAAAAGCAACAUUGGGCCAUUCUAUGAUUUGUCUCACACAGCUUCACCAUUCUCUUUCCAAUCACGCCAAACAACCGAACCCACCUUCCUCAAAAGCAUCCGCAUUUCUUUUAUGCUUCCUUCAUAUACUUCUUCAGUGCUGAUAGAUGUCCAAAAGCCAUCUGAUAGAUGUCCAAAAGCCAUCUGAUCAAAGCUAGUGAGCCUCUCUGUCUGAUCUUUCCUGCCUAAUUUUAAGGAAGUGAUACACAGAUUUCACAGAAAACACUCCAUUAUUAUUCGCAGGCCGUGGAAUCAAAGCAGCGCUAGUUUCAUAUGUAAUGUUCACAUACCAGAACGUGUGCUUCUUCCAAAACAACGUUCAAGCUCUGAUAUUAUGACUUCUUGCCAAACGAUCUUUUCUUCUUUAUAUAGACAAGUAGAGGAGGGACAAGGCAGAAAUGCAACCUAAAAUCCCAUGGACCGAUCUGUUGUUCCUAAUCACAAGACAAAGGAUUGGUAGCGUAUCAUCCCACACAAAACACAGAAAAUUACUGUUCAUAUGCAAACUGAUUACAGGGGAUCGAAGAACAGAGAGAUGAAAACAAUUGCAUAGACAGAUCUUUUGUACCUUACUGGUGAUAAUCAGUCCAUAACAAUUGGGAAGGUAAGAGAGUUCUCAAAGGCCGGAGCCAGUACUUUCAGUCUUAGACGACCACAAUGUGUGGUUUCAAGCAGCAAGCCCACAACUAACGUAGCUCAUAAACUUCACUCAACCCAGCUUGGCAAACCAAGCCUCUUUCAAGAAGUUCCAUUUCUCACCCCCAACUUAAUGCAACCUGACGGUUUUGUUUGGGAGAAUAAUAUUGGGGUUGCGUAUGUGUGGGUUAAGAGCCGCCAAUUCCUUCCAUUUAGCACCAGUUCAAUGAACGCGGGAUGAGAUGCUCCACAAUGUGUCACCAGGCUGUGCCUUAGUUGUUGCUGGGGCAGUAGAUUUAGAAGAAGCAGUCUUUGACUUCAUAAACGGAUGCUUAUCGCUCUUUCCAUUCCAUUAGCGAGCAACCAACGGGAACCAGAUUGUUGCUGGUUUGAACUUCCCCGGACCUUUCCCUUCCCAGGAUCAGUCUUGAGACCAGCAACAUGGACUUCAGUAAUCUUGCCCUGGGGAAUUUAUCCCUAAAAAUUUGUGUGCAGAUGAUAAAAGUUCUUGCUUACAAUCCCAGGACUCGAGGUGAACACACCAAACUCAAGUGGCCUCACAGCACUAGACAUUCUUGAGCAGGGUCCCAGAGGCUCGAGAGUUCUUGAAAUUGAGACAUCCCUUCAAAGCUCAGGAGCUUUCACUUGAUAACGUUCCUAGUCAGCAAUCUUAUCUUUUGUAUCUAAUUUAAAAUAUUAUUGAUUAGGUUCUCAUAUUUUCUCUGCUUGCCUUAAGAAUCCUCAAUCAUCCCUAAUUUAGGGCUCUUGUAAUAUCCUUAUAUAUAGUGUGUACAAGAGAAAUCACAAUACAAUAUACAAAAACUACAAUUUCUUGGUGACAUUUCUAGUCAGCAAUCUUAUCUUUUGUAUCUAAUUUAAGAUAGUGUUGAUAUUGUUCCCAUAUUUUCUCUGCUUGCCUUAAGCAUCCUCAAUCAUCCCUAAUUUAGGGCUCUUAUAAUAUCUUUAUAUAUAGUUUGUACAAGAUAGAUCACGAUACAAUAUACAAAAACUACGAUUUCUUCGUCACUCUCCAUAGACAUCCAAAGAAACGGAGUACUUUAAGGAAACCCCUAUCAAAGAAACUGAGUGCUCUAAGAAGACCCUCGGUGGAAGCCGAUUGGCUGAGCCAGGAGAGAUUCACUAAUGGUGGUCGCUUCGCUGCUAGCGACGGUGGCGUUCCAAGUUGCGACCACGCCACCAGGAGGCGUCUGGCAGGAUGACUACAAGGUCGAUGCCAACGGCAACCCAGUGAAGGAGCCGCACAUGGCGGGCACCUCUAUCAUGGCCCACAUCCAGCGGAUGGCCUACGGAGAGUUCAUGAUCUUCAACCCACUGGCCUUCCUGUCCUCCCUCAGCAUCAUCCUGCUCCUUUUGAGCGGGUUUCCAAUAGAGCGGCGACGCUGGAUGUGGACCCAGAUGGUGAUCAUGUGGCUAGCGAUCAUGGGCAGGCGAUCACCUACUUCAUAGCGCUGCGCAACAUAUCGCUGGCUGACACGCGGGGGAUGCUGAAGGACGUGACGG